Molecule: long non-coding RNA, 98373 nt
Filed under: Capsicum annuum
Lineage: Eukaryota; Viridiplantae; Streptophyta; Magnoliopsida; Solanales; Solanaceae
Description: long non-coding RNA (CANN_LNC005323)
Source: RNAcentral
AAUUAGUCAAUCGUAGAUUAGACCAUACCGAAAAAUCCCCAAAAUAGUUGUAUUGUUCGAAUCCAAAAAGAUAGAAAAAGAAAUAUCGGAAAAUAUUCUCUAAGACUCAAAGUGUCGAACUCUCUUUAGAAUAAUGAUGAUGAUGAAUGAAUGCCUCCUAGAAAACCCUAAAACAAAGCUUUAAAUAGUUUAACCUAAAAAGGAAAUAAAAUUAAAGUUGCAGCUUUUUUUCAGAAUAGACGACGACAUCCGUGACAACUUAUCAGGAGUCUGACGUCUUAUCACGGAUGUCGUCAGCUUCUCUGCACUUUUUGCUUCUGCUGUCUAAGGUUGGCGAUGGCGUUGACGCCUUAUCACCAACCUAACGGCUUAUCUCGAAUGUCUUCACCAAAAUGUCUUCAACUCCUAUUCUCUAUUUAAGGCUGAUGGCAUCCUUGACAGCUUAUCACCAAGCUGAGGACUUAUCAUGAACAUCGUCAGCCAUACUUGUCUUUUAUUUUGCUUCACUUUUCAGCCUUUUUGCCUCCAUUAUUUUUGGUUCUCCUACAUCUCAACAUUUACUGCAAAAAAUCAGAGUAAACUAAUAAAAAACAACUAAAGUUGGUCAAGACCUUACAAUUAUUUAGAGUUAAAAGCCUAAAAUAUGUUAGCAUAGGCUCACACAUCAACACCCUCAACUUAAACAAUUGCUUUUCCUCAAGCAACCAUAACAUAACUAAGAUAAUACAAAGUACAAUUUGGCAGCUAACUACUCAUACUAGUUUAGAAUAUAUUCACUAUCUCCAAGGUCAGUUAAUUUUAAAGCUCACUGUUGAAUGUUUUGAAAAACAACCAUGCAACUCACAAGAAUCAAGAUACGGAAAACAUUUAGCAAUAAUAACCAUGACAUACCAAGAUCACACUUAUCUGAACAAGUCAGUGACUAGCAACAAACACAGUGUGCCCUCACAACAAAGAAAUCCCUUUUUCACUCAUAUCAGAAUUCAAAUACAUAAAUGGAGGGAUCAAACAAGAAUCACUCUUAGAAUGAAGUUCCAAACACUAGAUGUCAAAUGCCAUAGGCUUUCCUUAUAGUUAGUACCCAAUUUUUCAGUAGGCCAGUUAGGAUCACUAUAGCGUUUUUCUUAAGCUUGUAAUGUAGGCUAGGGGCUGAUGUGAUAUUCAUGGAUAUUUUAGAGUUACUAUGCCUCCUUCACACUACACUAAACUCUCGGGGUUUGAACUCCUAACCUUCUUUUCUUCCUCUCUUUUAUUGAUCACACAUGCUCAAGAUGGAUGCAAUCUUUUCAAUUAUCACAUUAUCUUUUUAUCAUCUUUUCAAAGCUUUCUCAUUUCUUAUUCUUUUUCAGCGAACUAAACUUUUUAUUCUUUUAUUUUAUUCUUUCUCUCUUCAUACUCAUUUUGUAUCACGCACCCCUAUGAUAGCCACCCUUAACUUAGGAUGUUUGCCUAAUUCAAGAUGCACAGUGUCCAAGGAGGACCAGGGCCAAAACAGGUUCAUUGUGAUAUAAACGGAAAGGUGAUAGAUUUCAUGAAAGAAAUAGGCUAUUUAGGCUCAAAAUAAGGAUCAAGGGAUAUUAUGUGUACAGGGAAGGUCAUUUAGGCUAAAAGUGGGCUAAUAUCAAAAUGGCCUAUGAUCCUCUCCUAACCUCUAUCCUACAACCAAGGCAAAACUAACCGGGCAAGUUCUAGAUUUACACAUAAACGGAACUAAGUAAGACCUCACACACAUAUGGAACACAAAUAUAUCGCACAUCACUACUUAUCCAGUUCAUGCAAUUUUUUAGUACUGAUUAUCAAGUUAACAGAACUAAUGCCACCAAAAGAGCACUAUGGUCAAAAUUAGAUGCAAAUCACACAGUAUUACAAAUAGGCACUUAGAGAGGUGGUCAAAAAUCACAAAACAUAUUAACUACCUCAUUACUUGUAUUUCUCCUAGUUAACCACAACACAUCACAAAAAAAAACACAAUACGCCUAAACAUGUCGGCUCUACUAGGAAAAAUACUCCGGCAAAAAGAGGCACAACAACAAAAACCCAUAAAGGACAUCAACACCCACAAGUAUCCCCACCCUCAACUUAAAAUCAUGCAAUGUCCCCAAUACAUCAAACCAAAAUAAGAGAGUUAGAAACAUACCUGUGGCACCAUGGGUGCAAAGAUCUGAUGUCAAUCACAUAAUAUGAAUACAAACUACAAAAUACCUUGGGUUGCCUCCCAAGAAGCGUCUAAUUUAGUGUCGCGGCAUGACUCAGUUAUCUUGACUACUCAGACUUCAUCAACAUACCUUGUUGAUAAUUAUUUAUGUCUCCACUUGGAGGAUUUGAAAUGUCAACCCAACUUUUGAUCAAUACAUCUCGAGGUGCAUUGGGCAAACGUACAGACACAAUGAUACUUCCUUUAUCUCCCCAAUUUAAUCACUUGAAUAACUUACCCAACUUCAUAUUAAAUUUUCGAAUAGGCUCAUUGGGUAUUGAUGAGAUUAUCAAUAAUUCACUUGAUGCACAUUGAAUUUUCCCUUUACUAACCUUCAAGUAGGGUGUUUUAUUUUGCUCUUUUUGAAUGCCAAACUCUAAAAUAUAAGGAUUAUGUUCCUCAUCAUCAAAACACCUCAAUUUCUUCGGUAGGUGGACUUCCAUCUUAUCCACCCAGCAUAAUUUUUAAAAAUGGUUUGAAUGAGGUUUUCUCCUUAAUUUUAGAGUUGCAUCCUUCAGGGCAUCCUCACCCUGAAUUGGGCUAGAGUCUUCAGAAGAGAUUUGCUUGGUUUCUUAUUUUGCCUCUUGAACUGUUUCCUUAAUCUUGGCAUCAUCCCUCAUAGUUAGUUUGGUUGUUUGGAAAAUCAUCGAGGGUUGCUCAAUAUCAAGAAUAACAUCGAUAUAGGAUUCUUGUUCCUUAUCUUCACACUCGUCCAUUAUGUUAAAUGCUUCCAUAGACAAGAUAUCAUCUAAACAUGAUGUGGAAAAGUUCUUUGACUACUUAACCUCUAUAUCCAUAUCCUCUAUUAUGAUUCUUUCCUCAUUAUUUUCCCUUAUGUCUUGAUGUAUAUCACGUAUGAUAUCAUUCGUUGUGUCCACACAAUCCAAUACUAGUUGAAGCAUAGCUUCAAUGCCACACUUUCUGGUGCUUUGUUCUUCCUGUUCUUGACCAUAAGACCUAUUAAUAUCAUAAGAAAAACUAGAAUUUAGGUUAGCAUACCGGGGGGUAGUUGGGCAAUCAGUCUAAUGUCUAUCUUGACCACCAUAUAAAGAACAAUCAUACUCCUAGUAGGAUGGAGAUGGUGCACACAUCUCUCUCCGGGGAGCAUAUCUACAAUUUUGGCAAAAGUAAGGCCCGUCACAAUAUGGACAUGGAUCAUCAAGAUACAAUUUCCAACCACCAAGCUCAUAUUUAUUCCAAGAUGCCAUAUUAAUAAGUAAACUAAAAUAAAAAUCUACCUAACACCAGAAAUAAAAAAAAAACUAAAAAUAAAUAUUUACAAGUUUAAAUACAAGCAAGUAGGCUAAAAUUCUAAACCAACUCAAUACGCCAAAUUGUUCCACGGUAACGGUGCCAUUUUUGAUAUCCCUCAACUUACAGGUCAAUUUAGUCCAAAGCAUAUGUCAUCAAUUUAUUUACCCAACUUUGGAGUCGGGGUCAAUCCUCAGGGAACAAUGUAAGUGACGAUUAAACUAGUUUGAAACUAAAGCUACAAGUUAAAUUCAAGUAAAUGAUAAUAAAAGAAAGUAAAAUAGGGAUUUGAGUUUAAAAAGUAAUUAUUGGUCACUUUAAUUUUAGUGUUCGUAAUCAAGAGUUUACGGAAAAACCAGAAUUAUGUUCACUUGGGCUUACGGUACAUGACAGAUGCUAAAGGUGACUCAAGAUUCUCACUGUGGUUAGGAUAACAAGCUAUCUUUAUCAAUGAUAUGCUCAAAUGUCUCUCAACCAAUUUAAGCAUCAAAUUUCCUAAUCCUCUCACACUUAGAAAAUCGCUAUUCACUACCCAGAUUUUACCUCAGGUUAAUCAACCUUGUUACAGCACUGAUUAUUCGAUGAAGUAUUUUUGAGUACCUGUUGAUAAUUCACUUCCUACUGUAUAUGAUUUCUUUUUUAAGCAAAUCAAAGUAGGUGUGUCUAUUAUUUGCAACCAAUAGACGUUUAUUAAAAUUUCAAAAUUAUCGAGAAAUCCUAACACCUAUUAAAUCUUGAGUGUUUAGCACAUCAUAAUGACAUAACCCUUGAUCCUAUAAUUCAGGUUAACGGAGUUUAGCCACUCAUGAUGCAAAGAACGAAACACAUAAUUGAAUUUAUAAUUGAGAAGAUUAACUUAUAGAGAUGAAUAAUAAUUAGUGAAUCAUACAUUAUAUCACAAAGGAAAAUUCCCAAAAUAGUUGUAUUGUUCGAAUCCAAAAAGAUAGAGGAAGAAAUAUCAAAAAAUAUUCUCCAAGCCUCAAAGUAUCGAACUCUAUUUAGAAAAAUGAUGAUGAUGAAUGAAUGCCUCCUAGAAAACCCUAAAACAAAGCUUUAAGUAUUUUAACCUAAAUAAGGAAAUAAAAUUAAAGUUGCAGUUUUUUCUCAAAAUAGAUGACGACAUCCGUGACAGCUUAUCAGGAGUCUGGCGGAUUAUCAAGGAUGUUGUCAGCUCCUCUGCACUUUUGGCUUCUGCUAUCUAAGGCUUAGGACGACAUUGAUCCCUUAUCACCAACCUGAUGACUUAUUAUGAAUGUCAUCACAAAAAUGUCUUCAACUUUCAUUCUCUGUUUAAGGCUGACAGCAUCCUUGACAGCUUAUCACCAGGCUGACGACUUAUCAUGAACGACGUCAGCCAUACUUUUCUUUUAUUUUGCUUCACUUUUUAUCCUUUUUUCUUCUAUUAUUUUUGGUUCUCCUACAUCUCAACAUUUACUACAAAAAAUCAAAGUAAACUAAUAAAAAACAACUAAAGUUUCUCAAGACCUGACAAUCAUUUAGAGUUAAAAGCCUCAAAUAUGUUAGCGUAGGCUCACACAUCAUAGGCAUCGCCUGAUUGAGCUCCAAAUGUAAUAUAAGCAUAAAUAACAUAUGGAGUAGUAAUUUAGUCUAUAGGUAACUAUACAAGAAAAUAAACAUGAUGAUUCUAAGAGAGAAAGAAUAAUAAACUCAUCGUGUCCUAAUAGUAAUCUGAUUCUAAGUGUAGUAUCGUAUGUCACUAGUCAAUAUAUGAGAAAGAUUGAAAAAGAGUUAUAUAAUAGUAUAUAAUGUCAAGAAUACCUAUACGAUAUGAAUUGACAAAAAAAGAGGGAUAUGCGAUGAUACCAUAUAUAUAUGUAUAUAUCUAUGCAUAUAUGUGUGUACAUAUAUAUAUAUAUAUAUAUAUAUAUAUAGGACUACUCAAGGUAAUGACCUAAGGUAACCAACCAAAUAUCUCAAAGCAUCCUAACCAAGUAGCAAAACUAUUGCUGGAAUUAUUAGAAUCCAUAACCAUAAUACUUAACCCUGAGAGACCUAUCAAUAAUGUAAUUUACCUUAAAAAGAGAAAGGUAUCAGAAUUAUACUGACACCCUCGGGUUCUAUAACAUAAUCAACCUUCCAUGACCUAAUGAUAAUAAUGAUAGUAAAGUAACUGGCUAGUUCGGACAACCAAUAUUUAAUCAGGGUCUCAUAAGCCAAGAAGGUUAAAUAAACACUCAGAAGACAUUAAUCAUAGCGUAUAAUAUACACUCCCUAUAAGGCCGAUAGAUAUAAGCACCAAACAAGAUACUAGUAAUCAGUAGUGGAUAUAAAUGAACAAGUGCAAAGUAAACCCAUAGCACUAUGUCUGAUCUGAGAACCACAAUUUGCCAAGUUAUAAACCUCCUCUUACUAUACAACUUGUAAAGGCAAGACCUAUGAUAACCUCUCUUCUCCGAUAUUAUUGCUCACAAAUGAAGGGGCUUGUAGGGGAUUUGACAAUAUUUAUGUACACUACCUGGUCAAGAUGUAGGACUUACAAUAAUCUUUAUCAUCAAUCAACUCUAUACAAUAUGUGCAUAUUUUAAGUGCACAAACUUAAAUCAUGACUAAAAGAGUAUAAGUUUGCAAUCCAUUACCCGAGAUUAACUCUGGGACUAAAGAUAUGUAAUAACACAAAAAUAGGUUAAAAUCUCUCUCAAUUGAGGUAAAUAGUAGUGGGUAAAAGAGUGGGUAAACUAUGGGAACAGAAUCAAUAUCUAAUUCCAAAACAUCAUAUUUAGUGGUAAAAGCUCAUAAAUCAUUAAAAAGGGUAUUAUGAUUUCCAUUAUAAUGAAUUCAUUUUAAAAUAGAAUUGACAAUAAAUCCAUUUUCAAAAAAAUAUAGUAAUACUAUUCUUUUGGUUGGAAUAAUAACACUAAGUGAGUAGGAAUAGACCUAAAACAUAUAUGCCAUCAGUAGUAUCCAAAUAAUACCAUCAUAAACGUCUAAGAAUCUAUAGACAAAAGUCUCAUCCUAUAUAAGAAUAGAAUGCUCACUUGGAGUUCAAUUGGUAUCGCAACCACGCGCUUGGGCCAAACAAUAUAUAACUACCAUAUUAGUAAGAUUAUAAUGCAAGAGUUAUUACCUAAUCCACUAAGUUAAAUAGUAGACCUUAUACUAAGGGACCUUACUAUCGAGCUAUCGUUAACAUGCUUAUAGUCUAGAGUGAUAGGAAUCUACAGCCAUAUCAAGUAUUUCAUCCUAAAAUUCAGGUCACUCUUCUAUUCACAAACUCCCUAAUUAGGCUAAGUCAUAAUGUAUUAGUGAUAGUCAUAUCCUAUAAUCCUUACCUAGCAUUCAAUCUACACAUACACCAUCUCAUAGAUAAAAGUAGACUGAAGCAUGCCUCAAUAUCAAAACUUCAAGUCUUGAAUCAUUCAUGAAGUGUUAACCUUUCUCUAAGACAAUGGAACACCACCACACUAUCAAAUUAAUAACCUACAUGUCAACUAGAGUAAAAAGAUAUUUAUAUUGCAUUAUAGAAGAUUGGUUAGAAUCAGGGUCAAAUAUGAGCCCACGAGGCCCAUAAAUGGAAUAUAUAAUUAAAUGAGUCACGAGGUCCCUUGAAGGAUAGGUAAUGUGAUUUCAAAAUGUGAGAAAAAUAGAGCAUAAAUUGGGGACCAAAUUAGCCCCUAACACCUAAUGAUUUUAAAACCUAAUUUCUAAGAAUUUAUGAUGAAAAAGGAUGAAAUUUGAUAGGGAAAAUAAUGAGAAAUGACCAAGGCGUGUUAGGUUAACUUACCAUAGAUUCAAUGGAUGAUUCCCCACACUUCCUACACUACUCUGAAAAAUUAAGGAAAUGGUUGAGAAAUGAAUGUGAAAUUUAGAUGAAGAUGGGGGGCUUUACCCCUCCAGGUGUCAUUAAAAUGGCUCAAUGAUUGCUUAGGUAAUCACUACUUAAGCGGUGAAUAUAUCACUGAAGCGAUCCUCUACAAAAAAAUUGAUACUUAUUUAAGUGGAACUCAACUGCUUAAGUAACCUUCUCUUAAGAGUUGAGGUCACUAUAUUAACGACUAUAUAGGACCAAGGUUGAUCGCUAAAGCAAUCCAGUAGUCGCUUAACCAACUCUACCGCUUAAGUAUUGAGGUCAUUGCUUAAGAGAUAUGCGGGAGCAAGUCUUGCAGCUAAAGUAAUAUACUAGUUUCUUAAUAGAAAAUGCUUAAUAGACCAAAGGUCUACUUAAGUGGUUGCACCAGUUGAUGCUAGAUAUCAAAUUUUUUCUAAGUACAUAUAGACUCUGAUCGGGUGUUCGGGAUUCAAUGGAACCUCGUGUGCACAAACUAACUAUGCUACCAUACUGAAUUAGGCAUUUCACAAUUAUUGGAACCAUCAAAACUUUCAUCCAUGACCAUUUUGACUAAACAUGGGGCUUAUACCUCCAGUUCCAUUUUUCAUGGAAUCCACCCAAUUGUCAAGAACAAGUACAAAAGCCUUAGGACCUUAACCAUGGGUGGCCCAACCUAAAAUAAAUAUUUUGGGGAUGAUGGCACUAUUAUAAUUCUCAUCCAAGGUUGUUACCUAGGAUUUUUGGUUCGAGACUAAUUCUAUAACAAUGAUAACUCCAAAAUAAGAAAAUGAGUCUAAACCCAAAUUAACUAUUGGAUAGCCUAACCAAUAAUUUUUCAAGUCAAUAAUUACCUACAACCACUACAAAAGCCUCAAAACAUAAAAAGAUGCAAAACUCAAGGAAAUGACCUAGAGGGUCAUAACCAUAUUACUAGGGAUCACCCUAUAUCUAGUGUCUUUGCCCUUUAGGUCCAUGGGUGGACAAAGUACGUAUGUAUAUUUCAUGAGGAAAGAUUCUUCUUUAUUUUGUAGAGAUCCUAGAUUUGAUACUUAUAUGUUCUAUCUUAGUUUUCUUGAGAGGUUGCAUAGAUUGGGCUUAGUGGAUUCUAAUAGAGAGGAUUUCACUACCUUUUAGUCCUUUGGUCUAGCUAUAGAGUGGUGGAGGACUUCGUUAGAAAGUAUACUAGUUUGAUCACCUUUCCUCUCAUGGGAUUAAUUUUCUCAAGAGUUUCUAGAGGAAUUUGUGCGGGGACAUGAAAGGCUUGUAGACUAGAGGCCCCCUAGAUUUGAUAAUGAUGGCAAGAUUCUUGGUAGAGGCCAAGAUUUUUCUGGUUAUGAUUUAAGAGGUUAGAUUAUUGUGGUCAGUCCGGUUUGUCAGGCCUCCAGUAGGAUCCUUCAUUUUUAGUUUUCUCUUUUAUAGAUAUCUCUAACACUAUAAGAGGGAUUGCCUAUAGCUUAAUAGAGAGAUGCUACACUAGUUUCUCUAAGAGAUGACCGGUCAUAGUUUCUUGUUCCUUUGGAUGGACUCGAGUUAGGAUUUUAUGGUAUAGUAGCAACAAGUAUGGUGUUGGUACUCUUUUAAUUUUCUUUAGUACUAAUUAACCAUAGUUCUACAUUCUCCUAUGUGUUUAUAUAUUUGGAAUAAAGUCUUAUUAUUAUUAGUAAGCAAUUUUCUACCUUAAUAGUGUUUCCAUAGUGGUGGAUCAAGUGUGUUGGUCCAAUGCUGGGACUCUUAUAGAGUAUAUUGCUAGACAAGAUUUGAUAUUUGUGGGUAAUAAGGAUUUUGGUGUAUUUAGGUAUGAUUCACUUAAUGGUUAUAUUAUGGAAUAGUGGUGGAUUAAUUAUAGGUUUUGGUAUUCUUUCAAAUUGGACUUAUAGUGAGUAAUUUGAAGGAUUUUCAUUUAAAUGAUUUUUUUUGGAUAAAGGAAGAUUUUGGGGCAUUAUUUCUUUGGCAUAUGUUACUUCCUUAGUGAUUAACUUUGCUUGCAUGGACAAACUUAAGGAUAUUGAUCACUUAUAAGUUAGACUUCAAGAACUUUAAAUUCUGAGGUUUCUUGCUUUUGAUUUGAAAUGAUAAUUAAUGAAAAAGUUGCCUAGUUUGUAGAAUUUACUAGGUUAAAAGUAAAAUGGAUUAAUGAAAUAUUUUGUUCAUGGGUUUUAGUUUAGAGUAUGUGUUACUAUUCCAUUGGUUUUGUGCUAAAGAAACACUGAAUGGGAAUUGAGUUAAGAAAGGUAUAAGAAACUUUCAUAUGGUACUUUAGUGUAUAAAAAAAUUAUAUAUGGGUUUGAGUUAGAAAUUUAAAUCCUUGACAUGUGUGGUUCUUUAGUGGAUAUGAGGAUUCUAGUUGUGACUUUCUUGAGAUUUUAUCUUAUAUGGGUUGAUCAUCCCUAAUAUGAUAGAUUGAAUAUAUAUAUAUAUAUAUAUAUNNNNNNNNNNNNNNNNNNNNNNNNNNNNNNNNNNNNNNNNNNNNNNNNNNNNNNNNNNNNNNNNNNNNNUAUAUAUAUAUAUUGUGAAGAUGGACUCUUUGUUCUUAAUAUUUUGGGUUGAUUGAUGUUACUUGCAUGUAAAGGAUUGCAUGGGUUAUUAUGAUGAGUUACAUGAGCUUUUGGUGCCUUUUGAGUGUUAAUGUCCAUUUUAUAUGUAAUUUUAUGGUGAUUCUUAAUUGCCUAUGAAGUUUGAGCAUAAGGAUUUUGCUAUAGUAUACUGUCUUAACUAUGAUAAUUAUGACUUUUAAGGAUUUGUGUGAACUUGAUGUUGACUUCUGAUUAAGCUGUGUUAGUUUGGGGAUAUAGUGUUAUGUGAGUUAAUAGUUAAUCUAUCAUCAUUGAAAUAGGUUGGUUCAGUAUAUUGGGGGGGGGGGGUUGUAUGGUUUCAUAAGUUCCUUAGUUUUCUGUGGGUUUGACGAAUUUUUAUUAUGUGGUGCAGUCAGUGUCUUCUGGUGUCUUGGGUAGAUUUAGGUUAAUCGGUGCAUUUAGAACUUGUUAACAUGAUCGACUAGUUUUGGGGUAUUAAGGAAGUUCGAAAUUGAGAAUUUGGCCUUAUAUAGCAUGUUGUGACAUUGUGAAUCAGUUAGUUGUAGAUUUUUAUUUAUGUAGUGAGAUCAGUAAUUUUAUACUUAUGACUACAAUUUUGAGUGCUUACUUGAUGUUCUUGAGGAUAUUUUCUAUCCCUUACCUAUUUUGGCUUUCCUUACUUGUAUGUUCGAGGGUGAACACGUCUCUUAGUGGUGGAUACAAUAAUGAUCCUUAUAGUGAAACUUAAUUUUUUAUUUUGACCAUUUUACCCCACCUCGUAGUUGUUUUAUGUCAUUUAUGAACUAUGGGAUGGUUGGCACAGCCCCGAUGUGUUCAAAAGUGUUUUAUAUGUGAUUUUAGUUUUGACAAUCCCUAAAGAGAUUAGUUUUACUUCUAUUAAUAUUUUAUAAUUUGUGCAUCGGAUGGUGAUUCUGGCAGUUUCAUUAGAUCUGAAUUGUCGAAUUUAUUUUAGUAGCAGGGUUGGUGUCACGACCUGAGACUAACCCUAAUCGUAACACAGUGCUUAAGGCUAGAAGUGACCCCUAAGCUAACCCAUGAAUCUGGUACCUGCUAUGUGUCUGAAUAAAUUAAUAACAAAAAAUCAUAUGUGGAAGCUAAACUUAAGAGAAUUUCUAUUAAGAUAUAAUACUAAAACAAUACCUAACAUGUUUGAACUUCUGAUAAAUCUUGAAACAAUUCUGACUAUCUGGAAGCAUCUAUAACAUGAGGAGUUGAUGGUACAAACCCCCAACUAACUCUUACUGAUUGAAAUAAAUGAAGUGCUAAAAAUAACUGUAAAUAAAUUGCGCUUGAUGGAUGAGAACGCACCACAACUGCUGUUGAGUGGCACUGAACUGACAAAGGGCUAUCAGGGAACUGAAUGUUCGAACAUAUGUUUUAAUACAACAUAGCACAAAAGAGAGUAUGUGAUUAGCUAUUUGAAUAUGAUGGUAUGUGAGAUAAGGACUAACUAAAGUACAUAUAGAGACUGAGUAUGAAUGCAUGAACAUGUAAAACAAAUGCAACACCUAGUAAAGCAUGUACUCAAAUAGCUGGUAACUUGAACACAUAGUCAUGCAAACCUAAACUAAAAUAAUAUUAGUACUGAACUAUAACUGUGGGACCUAUCAUUUAACCGAUAUGCCCCAAUUUAAGAUUAUUGAGGUCCAACCUAUUCCCACAAUUUGAAGGGUGUCAGUACCUUACCACCGGUACCAACACUUAUUGUGUGGAUCUACUAAACUUGUGUCCUGAUGGACUAGGAUGUCAUUCCUCUACUGGUGGGUGACCCCUAAAAGAUUGUCAGUCCUCUACUUGAGGGUGACAUCUCAUAACCUACGCUGGCUACAUAGUUCUUGAACUUAGGGGCUAUAACUAAAAGUCUUAGUCCUCUAUUGGCGGGUGAACCUUCAUCCCUAGGUUUGCUCGAUGUUAAAUCCUACUCCCAAAUGAACUGAUACUGGUAUUGAUUAAAGUUAACAGGACUCAUAAAUGAUAAUUGAUGAACAUGAAUACGAUGAUAAAAUAAUGAUUUGAAUGACUUGUUCCUUGAAAUUGAAAACAUGUAUAAACAUAUAGGUAUUGGGUGUUCAUAACCCACCAACAUUGAAAAUUACAUUAAGUACAAUAACAUCAUCCUAAUAUUGUACGAAUAUUCAUGAUUCGUAGACCCAAAACAUAGUAUAUUUCACUAAACUAAUGAAAUCCAUGAUUAUAAAUAUGGAAAAAUGUUAAACUUAUAAGGACAAUAUACUCACAUGGUUAAAUUCAUAAAUUUAUAAUCAACAUGGUGUCAACUGAACAUGAUAUCAGUGAUUGAGUUUAUAAUGAAUGUAAAAACAUAAUUCACAUUGUGAAACACAUUGUCAUGGUUUGUAUUCAAAACUAUUAAGAAAAAGUUGAAUAAAUUCAUACUUGACAUUGAAAUUUCAUCAAAAGAAGAAAAGGGUUUAUACUUGUAAAAUAAGGGAUUUAUGGAACUCAAUGGGUGGAAGGAACCAAUUGAUGAAUAAGUUAGCUUGAAUUCUUGAAGUAAAAUUGGAAUUGGGACCUUGGAUGGGCGAAUUCUUGGAAGAAGCUUUUGAUUCUUUGUGUUCUGGAGAAUAAGAGGAGAUUGAGUUUUGUUAACUGAUGAUGAAUUGGGAAAAUAAUUCCCCUAUUGGGUUUGAAUUUGUGAAUUGGGUGUUUAGAAAGAGUAAAGGGACCAAAAUGCGACUUUAACUACCCGACUAUACAAGCCUCCGUAAGAUGCAGCCCAUCACGGAGGCUAAGCUCUGUGACAUACUGUGCAUUAUGGAGACUACCCUCCAUGACACGAUGCAUGUCACGAAUACUAACCUCUAUGACAUGUUUCGUAUCGUAGAGGGUUACUACCUCCAUGGUCCAAAAUAACUCCGAACCAUUUCUGAAAACUCCAAAACUCUUCUGGAUGACCUUUUUAACAUUCCUUAACUUAUUUCAACUCAUAAAUUAACGUUUCAGACUCGAGAAAACAAAACAAAAAAUUUUCAAAAUCAUGGGGUGUUAAAAUGACCAUGUUAGUUAUACUUAGUGUGAAAUAUUUUCUGGGGGGGACCUUUAAACAUGCGACUAAAAACUGGAAGCUUUUCUAGAAUCUUACUGGGUAUUACAAUAUCUCACCCUUGGGAUCAUUCGUCCCUGAAUGAAACUAUCUGAGCUGAGAUACUAAGUAGACUUUAAUAAUAUACUGAAUACUUAUGAGCUAAAUUAUGAUUUACUUUUUGAAUCUGAAACAUGAUGCAUAGAAUGGACUGAAUUUAUGAAUGAAUACUAUGAUAUAAGGGUGGUUGGAUAGUUGAGAUAGAAAAUGAGAGAAUCAAUUUAAGGAAAACUAUUACCUCAAGAUGAAUCUGAAUUCAUAGAAAAAAAAUAGGGAUACUUGGCUCGCAUAUCGGCUUCUACUUCCCAAGUAGCUCCCUCAAUGAACUAAUUCCUCCACAAAUCCUUAACCAAGGAAAGCUCUUUAUUUCUCAACCUAUAAAUCUGACAAUCAAGGAUUUCAACUGUGACUUCUUCGUAGGAAAGUCUAUCUUUCGCACCCACACACUCUAAAAGAACGACAGAAUCUUGGUCACCAAUAUGUUUCUUUAGAAAAGAGACAUGAAACACCAGAUGCACUAAUGCCAAUUCUACAGGCAACUCUAAAUCAUAAGCUACCUUCCCAAAAUGGCUCAGAACCCUAUAUGGGCCAACAUAUCAGGGACUAAGCUUCCCUUUCUUAUCAAACCUCUUAACCCCUUUCUUGGGAGAAAUUUUCAACUAAACCAAGUCGCCAAUAUCAAUAUCAAAAUCUGUUAUCCUUACAUCGACGUAGGAUUUUUGUUGUCUCUAGGUUGUCUUCAGCAUUUUUUGAAUCAACUGAACUUUAAUCAUUACCUCAGAUACUAAAUCUUGCCUUAUCAAAAUAGCCUCAACUACUUCAAACCAACUAAUAUGAGAUCCUAAUGAAUACUAGAAUGAUAGUUGUUGUGAUAGUCAAGCUCAAUUAAAGGUAAGUGGUCAUCCCAACUACCCUUGAAAUCAAUAAUACAAGACCUCAACAUGUCCUCUAAUGUAUGAAUGGUCCGCUCUACCUGACCAUCUGUCUGAGGAUGAAAAGGUUUACUAAGAUGCAUUUGGGUACCAAGAUACUUCUGAAAAGUGUUCUAAAAGUAAGAGGUAAAUUAGGUACCUCUAUUUGAAAUGAUGGUCAAUGGAACCACAUGCAACUUUACUAAUUCCCUAAGAUAGAGUCUAGCAUAAUCCUCAGCUAUCUAUGAAGUAUGAACUGGCAAGAUAUGGGUUGACUUGGUCAUUCUAUCCACAAUGACCCAAAUUGAAUCAUGUUGAAGACGUGUUUGAGGUAGUCCUAUAACAAAAUCCAUGAUCAUCACCUCCUACUUCCAAGAGGGGAUGAUAAACUACUGAAGCAUACCAUUAGUCCUUUAGUGAUCAACUUUAACCUACUGAUAAUUUGAAUACUUAGCCACCAAUUCCGCAAUAUCUUUAUUCAUACCAUUCUACUAAUAGACUUCUCACAAAUCAUGAUACAUCUUAGUGGCUCCUGGGUGAAUAGAAUAUCACGCACCAAGUGCCUCCGCUAAUAUAAUCUUCCUCAAAUCAUCCAAACUUAAAACAUAUAACCUACCCUGACAUCAAAGCACACUAUCACCCCUUUGGGUGAAAACCUCAACUUUCUAAUCUCGAACUGUCUUUUUAUACUUGUCCAAAACAGGAUUUCUUUCUUUCUUUAAUUUAACUUCAGCCACCAAUGAAGAUUAUUAACCCAUUUACUAUCUUUGGCCAAAACAACCAACCAAACAUCUAAUCUAGCAAGAUGAUGAACCUCACAGACUAAUGAUGUGCCAUAGAAAUAUAGCAUUUUCAACACUUGAAAAGUGAAAAAUAUGAAAGUUUCUAAGUUUAUUUUGUUAGAUAUGAUGUUUUUUGGGUAUGUUUUGCAGGAAAUAAUUUAUGAAUGCUAAGUUCAUGAAAAAGUUAUUUUUAGCUACAUUUUGGAACAAUUAUGGAUGUUCGAGACACUUUCUAGCUUGAACGUGGUCAAAGCAUGUUCAAGAAUCAAAGAAGAGCUAAAAAUAUGACUCCCUACACCUACUAAGUCAACCUAUAGAGUGUAAGUAGGACCUAUGGACUACAGGUACGCUAAGCAAGUGCUAUAUGUCAAAAAUCUUGAGAUCUAAACUUGUAAGAAUUUUUCACCCAUAACCUUCUCAUUGUACAUUUGCCUAGGGUCAGGACCCCAGGUACUACUUAUGCUCGGGGUCUAAGCACAGGUACUGAUCACAUGAGGUCCCUGACCUGGUUUUUACCUAUUUUGUUCAGUCUUUUGAUUUAGGGUUUCCUAUUGUACUAUAAAUACCCUUUAUGAGUUUUUUAGUAGGAGUUACACAUUUUUUAUACUCACAAAUAUAUUUUAAUUCCAAGAUCCAAGUUUGAUCUUGGGAUUCACUUGUGUUGAAUUCAGAUGAUUAAUUCAAUUACAAUUGUGGGUUUUUAUACUUCUUGUCAUUGUGAUUUCAUCUAUGCUUUCAAUCAUUAAUGUUAUUGAUUUCUUCACAAGAAUGAGCAACUAAAACCUAUAGCUAGAGUUGUGGAAACCCUAAUAGAUUGAUAAAGUAAGGGAAGUGCGAUUGUUGAAUUGAACCAUACCCAUGCAUGUAUUGAUUUAUCUUUGUUAUAAUAGUUUUCUUAAUCAGUGCACACAUUAGGAUCCUGCCGAGAUAUUUUUGCUUAGUCUAAAAGAGGAGUAGUGACUAGGAAAAGUUGAAGAUAAUAGUAAGUUGGAGUAUAACUGUUGAUCCACGUUUCUAGUUUCUAUCUUAGAAAAAUGGUUAGGUUUCAUCUAAUAACUAGAGAUGAAAAGAUAAUAGUUAACACGGAUCAACAUAAUGGUUAGUAAGGUGACAUCCUGAGACUCAAAAUGUAAAGGGUGAAAUCCUUUUGCUUAUCCAAAAUAUUAUAGAAGGUACAUAACUUACCGAUUCUGCAUAUAAGGUAUUAGGUUGUUUCAACAAAGCACGAUAAUUCUACGGAGUUGAGAAGUCUAGGGGAACACAAACCUAGUGUUCAACUACACUAAUUAAUACCAAAGUUAAUAUAGUUACUUGCUCAAGAUUACAAUAUCAAAACCUCCCAUUUACUUUUCUUGUUCUGUCCAUUGACUAUAACUGCUGAGAUUUGCAAUUCCAUGUAUUCCCUUGGGAUUCAACCCCAACUUUUUUUGGAUUACUAUAUUUUGAAAAAGGUUGCAUCAACAUCUAAGAGGAGGAUUUUCUUAAACAUCAUCAAAUUUUUGGCACCAUUUCUAGGGAACAUGGUAUUGAUUUAUGAUUUUAAGUUGUUGCAGUUUUUGGGUUUUUUUCUUAUUUCUGUUUAUUGUUGGCUAUACGCCAGUCUAUGCCUAGCAUAUAGAGUAGAGGCAAUCCCUUACUCCCAGUAUAUCCAAAUGUAGAAAGGAUCCUAUAAACACCUAAUAGUUUGUCUGAGCAGAAAAGAGAUGAACCUUGUAAAGAGGUUUAAGAUAUUGUACCUCCCUCUCUUCUUGAAGGAGUAUAGGAUAGUAUUGAUCAUCAAAUUGGUGAGUUGUUAGCUCAAACUAAGGCCGAGAAGAGGGCAAUAGAAGAAGCUCUGUACAGAUUUCACCCUUACACACUUUUCCACCUAAUGAUGAUGAUGAAGAGGAUACUGAGUCUAUGUCUACUCCACAGGUUCUUGCUUAUGACCUCUAGUCUGAGUAGCGGUCCCAAGAUUCAUCUAAUAAGGAGCCAUCCAUAGUGCCCUAAUCUGAGGAUGGUGUCGCUAUUCAGGUUUAGUAGUCAGGGGUACCCUAGUUUGAGGAGGGUAUAGAAUAGACUUCCUAUGAUGCAUUAGUACAACAGAGUUCCACUCCUGCACAUGCCUCAAAUGCACCUCCCAAGGAGGGACAUCAUAGGUGGUGUGUGAAAGGAAUGCGGGAGAUAUAUGAUAUCGAUAAUCAGGGCUAGAUCGAGUACUAAGUUAUAAACAACACUUGAUAAAUAUCAGAUAGAGUGAAUAACUAGGCCACUUGGUUCCUAUAGUUCGACUAUGGUAAGGGAACUUUUGCAUCCUAUAGAGCUACGAUGGUUAUUCUCUUACACAUACAUCCAGGCCUGGUUAGAAUUGGGAGGUAGCCAGAGCUUGAUCAUACACUAGUUAGCGAGGUUAGAGUUGACAUUUCAAUGGAGAAUAUCCAUAGAGUUAUCUUCAAACUAGAUUACAUCACUCCUUCACCUACAGCUAAGUAUGACCAUAAAAUAAGGGUAAUACAUGAUCGACAUAUUAUGUAGGAGUCUAAGUGCUAAAGAGAGAAGGUUUAGAUGAUCAAUAAGCGCCAAUUGACAUUUCAGGACAAGUUUUGGUGGUUGCUGAUUUAAAGCUGACUGUUACCCACUUCUUUGAAUAAUAAAUUUAUGUAUGAGGGAGAAGCAUUAUUAGCUUGUAUGAUGGUCAGUUAUGCCAUUGAUUUUGCUGCCAUCCUUAGGUUUGAUUUACAAGAUAGAGUAUUUGGGGAGUUUAAUAAUCAUCAAUUACCUUGCAUGAUUUAGAGGAUGUGUGAUAAAACUAAUGUGCCUGAGAUCCCAUGAGUAGACGAGAGGGUACUUACAAUGGCAACUGUAUAGACAAAGACUAUGAAAGAUCUAGCACAUCCAGAAACUUCUAGGAGAUCGAGAUAACAAGCAGCAGUACCACAAGCCUAGACAAAGGGCCCAACAGUUUCCACCGAGCCUGAUAAAGCAUAUCAAGGUGAUAAGGAUAUUAGUAUUGACAUGGAUAUUGGGGAGCAUAUAGAGGCUCCAGACUUUAGUACAUAUGGCAAAGGGACACCAGCUACGUCUUAUUCAGCUUUGGUUUUGGGCUCAGAGCCGGUGGGUAUACUUUCAGAGCAUACUCUUCCAUCCACUAUAGCUCCUACUUUAGGUAUAAUCACUAUAUCUAACAAGUUUUUGUAGAGGUUAGUUGAUAAAUAGAGGGAUACCAAUGAUAGAGUGAGGCUUGUUGAGACUAAGAUGGAUACCCUCUACGAGUAGAUAAAAUUAGGGGUUAUGACUAGAUUUGUGUAGGAAGAGGCCUGAUGGGAGGCUUCACUGAGUACUGCACUUUUCAAGCUAUGUAUGCUGACUUCUAGACACAGCUCAAUGAGUUUGAGAGAUAUGUUAUAUCCCAAAGCACAUAGACAGCUUCAUCAAAUCUAGCCUAGAUGAGGGACGAGUAGAGAUGCACUCUUUCAAAGAGAGUUGUGUAGUAGUCACUCCCAUAGUUAUACCCCAGGUGGUCAAAAUAUCAUAUCCAUGCACACCGAGAUAGUUUGAUUUCUUUGUGAAGGAGAAAAAGUAGGUCCCAAUAGUUGGGACCAAGAGAGGUCAUAUAGACGACUUGCAGGACCCUGAUCUUCUAUAAGAAUAGGCUGUUAAAAAGACCAUUCUUGAUUUAUGGAGUAUGUAUUCAUUGAUAGGUAGAGUCAUGCAUUUAUAGCAGUGGGUGUAUCAUCUAGUAGUGCACCGCCACCACCACCACCUCCGUUAUAUAAUAUUCCCCAGUCUGGGGAUGCUAAGGAUUUGGGCUCUUAGUGCAUCCCAAGUAGGUUCUCACUUCCCUAUUUUUUUACUUUGUUUUAGCGUGUUGAGAACAAUGUGAAGUUUUUAGUUGAGGGUGGGCAUACCUUUCUGCUAUAGGUUUUUGUUGGCGUGCUUAUUUUCCUGUCAGCUAUGGUAUGGUUAUAGAACCGGCAUGUCUAGGAUAAUUUUCUGUCGUAUUAUGUUUUUCUUUGUAUUGUGUUUUGUUUUUCUGUAAUUAGGAAAUUUGUAAGUAUUUAGGGGAAGUAGUCAUGUUUUGAAUUAUUUUUUAUACCCUCCAAAAUUUUGUGUGUUAGAACUAUGUGAAUGUAUAUAUGUGUGAACAUUGCACAUCAUGUUAUAGCAUUAGAAUUAGGGAUAUGAUAAUCACUCGCUAACAAUUGUACAAACUGGAUAGUUAUUAGUUUGUAAUAUUGACUCUGUGCCACGUGUGUGUGAGAUGCUACCGAGUUCCCUUUGUUUGUUGAAUUCAGAACUUGCUUGGUUAUUCUUGCCUAUGUUGAAGGAUAGUUGGUUAGGAAAGGAUCAUAUGUCAUUUUUUAGUUUCAAUCUACUUUUAGAUAAAUGACCUUCAAUGUGUUAAUUGUAUCCUUGGAUCCCUGUUUUGAGCCUGGUAGCCUAUUUUUCUUAUUUCACCAUCCACAUUCCCAUUUAUAUUACAAUGAACCUGUUUUGGCCCUUGUCCUCUUUGGACUUUGUGCACCUCAAUUCUAGAAAAAUACCAAAGUUGAGGGUGGCUAUCAUAGGGGUGUGUAUCGUAUAAUGGUUAUGAAAGAAAGGUAAAGUAAGAGAAAAAGGUAGCGGGGUUGGGUAUGAUAGAAAAAGAAAAGAAAAAAAGAGAAGAAAAUUUCUAAAAAAGAUAAAAAGAAAGAAUAAAAGACCACAUAUAACUUGAAUGUGCAAUAAAGAAUAAAAAGGGAGAAAUAAGGGUGGAAUAAAAGAAAAUUGUCUAUUAAGUGAGACCCCAAGGUUAGUAUAGUGCCAAGGAGGAUAAGUCACUUGAUAUGUCUAUAUGUUCCAUACUAGCCCCCAAGCCUACAUUACAAGCCGAUAAAAGUCCUAUAGUGAUCCUAACUUGACUAUCUAAAUGCUAAGGUAAUGAAAAUAAGGAAAAGCCUAUGGUAUUUGACAUGCAUUGCGUGGAAAUUCUUUCUGAGUGUGAGUAUCUCGUGACCGUCCCUUCAUUGACAUGCAUUAUUUCAAAUGAGUGAGUGGGACAUCUUUGUUGUGAGGGCACUUGAAGUCAUAUUUUUUGCUAUUUUCUUAUUUCAGGUAGUGUAACUUCUAUAUAUGAGUGGUUGUUUGUUAUUAAUGCAAUUGUCAUACCUUGAUCCCAUUGUGUUACAUUUUUGUACUUCAUGUUCAUAUAUAGUUGUUUUGAAAAGUGAGAUUUAAGGGGAUUUGUGCUCUAAGUUGUAAGUGUUGACUGACUGCCUUGAAUAACAUAGACUCUCCUAGUUAAGCAUCAUUUUUUAUUUUGUUGUGUUUCAUUUUUGGAGGACACACAAGCAUUCUAAGUUGAGGGUGUUGAUGUGCAAUAGAAAUAUAGCACUUUUGAUGCUUAAAACAAGGAAAUUAUGCAAGUUUCAGAGGUUAUUUUGGUAGAUAUGAUGCUUUUUGGGUAUGUUUUGAAGAAAAUCAUGUUGUGGAUGCUAAGUUCAUGAAAAAGGUUUUAAAGAAAGGUGUUUUGGCUACUUUUUGGAGCAAUUAUAAAAGUUCGGGACACUUUCCAGCGUGAUUGUUAUCAAAGCAUGAUCGAGAAUCGAAGAAGAGCUGAAAGUAUGACUCCCCGCACCUUCUAUGAUACGAUCUGCACUGAGGACUUGUCGUAAUAGGCAUCCAAAGUCCAACCAGGAUAUGGGACGACCGCCGAUACCCAACCCAACCGCCAAACGAAUACCCUAAGUCGGAUGAAUUCCGAACAUAUAAUAAGAUAGCAUAUUUGUACCAAUCUAGACUCUGGAAUAGGUCCAUAACCGUGACCAACCCAAGCAAGUCCAACCAUCCAAUACCCAACCAAUAACUAUACAAAAACCAAAAUAUUACAAAGUAUGAGUCCAUGACAUAGGAGGAUGAAACAAUUAUAAAUAUAGCCUACCUAUAUCAUCCAUAAUACCAAUGCUAAAACUAAGGCUGACACUACUACCGACACCACCCAUACCAACCAAUAGUAGUCCCAUAAAGACUCUAACCAAAAGUAAAAUAAUAUCCGGUCGGAGCAUGCCCCCGACCAUAGCCAAAACCAUUAUCUAUGUAACGAUAAAAGUAUGUAAAAAUAUCUGUGACAUGAAAUGGAGACUUUAGAAAUAUGAAAGAUCGAUCCUGAAUCCAAUCACUAAGCAAGAGGAGUAGAAUGGCGGAUUCUUGAUCGCAUGGAGAUAUAGCCGCCCGAAUAUGGGUUAAUGGAGAAACGCUAGAAAGUACUCAGGAUAAGGAUAAAAUAAUGAAAACCUUUAAAACCAAGUAAACCAGCCAUAUGCAUUCACAACCAUACAUACAUAUAUAUUACCAUGCAUGGAAAGGGAACUAAGUUUAGCACACCUUUAAAACCAUUAACCUCGGUAUAUGUAACUUAACUGUCCUAGAACCAUCACGUGCUAUAUGGGUCCAGUGUAACCCCCUGAAAGAGCCCCAAUAAGUGUAGCCACACAAACCAGAGAUACCAUAGGAGUAGGGAACUCCCGAGUACACUUUGUUCUCCAUGAUACAUAUGUAUAAGUGUACUUAGGUGAUUCCCAUGUAUCCCAUAAGUAUCAUAUACGGUCGCCAUGAACAAUCCUCAUGUCGUCAAACAUGAAUUUCUAGUGUCUGUCCAUAGGACUCACACUUUCAUGGUUAACUAUCACACCCCGUCAUUACUGCCCAAUUAAAACCAUUACCACAAAACCAAACCAUCAUUCCAUUUAUUAUUAACAAAGGCUAUAAGUAGUGGUAUUGUCAUACCAACUAUAUCUUGCAAGCAAUGUCUUUAGCCAAUCUUUUUAAAGAGGACGAGAUUCUCAUGUACCCAUUGAUUACAUAAUUAAGUUGAAUUGGGGGAGUCUCAUGUACCCCACAAGAUGUUUAUUAGCAAGUUUUCCUGGGGGAUUCCCUUGUACCCCACAAGGUAUUCACUUAGAGCAACCAUAAUCACCAAGACCUUAACAUUUAACCAUUCCAAACCAUUUAUACGAUUUAGGGUUCCAUUACAAAGUUAUACCAUGCAAUAGUUUAAUAAAAGUCCAACAACUUAACACAAAACAUUCUCAUAGGAAUUUUAUCAAACAUGUUAGGUGUAUAGUGUUUCCAAAGCAAAAAUCACGUACCAAUUGACCAUUACUAUGCAACCGAAUUUUCAAACCACCAUAAUAAUAUGAAAACCAUACGUAAAAGACAUAGGAAAACCAUAACCAAUCAUUGUAAUCAAAACCCCCAACAUACAAUUUAAAACCUAAAACCAUACAACAAUAAUGCAAAUAAAUAAUUCAUAAAACAUGUCUUUAGUUGGAACUAACAAUGAGGGAGGAGUAACAUGCCUUAAAUUGAGAAGAAUAUGAGAAGAAAUCACUCUUUUGAGCCUCAAUUGACUACCUUGAAGGAAACAAUAACUUUCCUUAAUCCAUGAGCCUUUGAGUGUGUUUUAAGAUAGUUUGAGUGAUUGCAAAUAGGUUAAAUAAUGUCCCAAGAGUGAUAUAAGUCAUGCGGCCUUAAAGGGCUAAGAGGGGAAAUGUCUAAAUUACCCCUAACUCAAAUUGCAUAAAAUUACCGCAGGAAAGUACAACUCCACCAUACUAUUUGAACCCUAUCAUACAAGCGGUACCACCACUCGUACCCUAGGCAUCCCUUGGACCCCUAAAAUUGACCAACAUAUGACUACCAGGCUCAUAUUGUACCCAAGAAUAAGACAAGUACCCUUAACCCAUACCUUAGGAAUAAUCAAGAGGGGUUGACACUGUCCAACAUACAAGUUGGAUUAUACCACUCGUACCCUAUCUCAAGACUCAUGGUGAGCCACAUGUACUUAGAUCCAAGUUAAGUUACUAAGUUUCAUAUUAAGUCAAGGAAAACCCAAACCUAUGACCCAUCGCCCACAAUAUGACUAGUACCUACCCAAGUGGUACCCAUUCCAGAAACUCAACCACCCAAUACUGGACAACGUAUGAAUGGGUCACCUUACCCGUAGCCUCACCAUACGACUAGUAUAGUGAGUCGUAUGAUUUACAGAAAGUCUAAAACCCAGGAAAUUUCUAAGCACCAAAAACCAGGGUGUUUCAGGCUCCCCCACUAGGAUCAUUCAUCCCAUAAUAACGAAAAAGGUAGUACAAGCAUGGAUUAUACAAAACAAAAACAUUCCAACCUUUGACUGAGUUAGAAAACAAAUAUGUGAUCAAGAACACAUACCUUCUGCAUAAAUAUCUGGAGCAGAAAACAAAUGCGGAUACUUAGACUUCAUGACCUAUUUCACUUCCUAAGUAGCUUCUUCCACCUUGUGGUUCUGCCAUAGAACUUUAACGGAAGCUACAUCCUUGGUCUGCAAUCGAUGAACCUAUCAAUUCAAGAUCUAAAUCGAGAUCUCUUUAUAAGACAGAGAAUCCAAUAUACCUAAUCCUUCCAAAGGAACAACCUAUAAAGGAUCACCUAUAAACUUUCUCGACAUAGAGACAUGGAAUACCAAAUGAAUGGAGAUCAAAAUCAUUACCAACCCUCUGCAAAACUACAUAAGGACCGAAAUACUAGGGACUGAGCUUACCCUUUUCCCAAACCACAUUACUCUCUUCAUUGAAAACAUCUUUAGGAACACCCUAUUACCAAAACCAAACUACAAGUCCCUACGCCUUACAUUCGUAUAGGACUUUUGGCAACUUUGGGCAGCCUUAAACCUAACUUGAAUUACUUUUACCUUCUCUAUAGCUUUAUAAAACAAACUCGGUCCAAACAUAUCCACCUCACUAAUCUCAAAUCAUCCGAUAGGAGAUCUACACCUCCUACUAUACAUUACCUCAAAAGGGGCCAUUCCAAUGCUAGAAUAAUAACUAUUAUUGUAAGCAAACUCUACAAGAGGUGAAUACUCAACGCAAUUACCACCAUAAUAAAUCACGCAUGCAUGAAGCAUAUCAUCCAAUAUUUUAAUAUCCCUCUCUACUUGCCCAUCCAUCUAUGGGUGAAAAGCAGUACUCAGAGUAACCUUAGUACCUAACCUCUUCUAAAAUUACCAAAAAAGUGAGAUGAAAACUGCAUACCAUAAUAAAAACUGGUACCUGAUCAAGCUUCACAAACUCCUGAAGAUACAACCUCGCAUAAUCCUUAGCUAAAAAGUUAGUCCUCACUGGUAAUAAGUGAGCUAACUUUGUCAUCCUUUGCAAAAUGACCCAAACCAAAUCAAAUUAGUUUCGUGACCGAGGGAGUGCAGUAAAGAAAUCCAUAUUGAUCACUUCUCACUUCCAUUCUGGCAAUUCAAUUUUAUGAUAUAAGCCUCCAGGUCUCAUGUGCUAAACUUUUACUUGUUCAUACACUAAACACUUUGCCAUAAAAUCAGCCACAUCCUUCUUCAUAUCAUUCAACCAAUACAUCUUCUUGAGAUCAUGAUACAUUUUCAUCUAACCGAGAUGAACAAUAUGAAGUGCCUCAGCGAAUACCCUUUCUCAAAAAACAUCAAUGUCAAGAACAUAUAACCUACCUUAGUACCACAAGGUACCAUCACCAUUGAUCUCAAAUACCAUUACCUUUUGCCCACCUACAUCCUCUUUGACUUUCAUUAAGACAGGAUCUUAUAUUUGCUUCUCCUUGAUGUUAGCGCCAUGAGACAACUGCACCACUUCCUAUACCAACAGAACGCUAUCCUCGAAGUCUAAGAGACAAACUCAAAGCUUAUCCCAGUGGUUAAUGUCCUUCACCAACUCCUGCUUCUUAUUUUCCACACAAGCUAAACUCCCCAUGAACAACCUGCUAUGAGCAUCAGCAACCACAUUAGCUUUACCUGGGCGGAAGUGAAGACUCAUUUCAUAAUCUUUGAGAAGCUCAAGUCAUUACCUUUGCUGAGAUUAAGCACUUUCUGAGUGAACACAUAUUGCAUACUUUUAUGAUCCGAGAAGAUGUCCAUAUGCACACCAUACAAAUAGUGCCACCAUAAUUUCAAUGCAAACACCAUCGCUAAAAGCUCCAAAUUAUGAGUAGGAUAAUUCCUAUCAUACACCUUCAACUACCUAGAAGCAUAGAAAAAUCUCCUUCCUAUACUACAUCAAAACACAACUAACUAUAACUUGGGAUACAUCACAGUAAACCCAAAACCCCUCAUUGCCUUCAGGCAAGGUCAAAACGUGAGUCAAAGUUACCUUAUCCUUCAACUUCUCAAAACUACCCUCAUAAUCAUUCGACCAAGAAAAAUUUACCUUCUUUUGAGUCAACUUGGUCAAUAAGGUAGCUGUAAUCAAAAAAUAUUCCACAACUCUCCUAUAGUAGCCAGCCAAACCCAAGAAGCUCUUAGUAUCGAUCGGAGUCAUGGGUCUAGGCCACUUCUUAUCCACUGCCACCUUUUGUGGAUCCAUCAUGAUCCUCUCAGUAGAAAUAAUAUAACACAAAAAAGUAAUAGUGUUCAACUAAAAUUCACAUUUUGAGAAUUUAGUAUACAAUUGCUGUAUUUUUAAGGUCUUCAACACCACAUAGUGGAGAUAGGCAUGAUCCACCUCACUCUUAAACUAAACUAAGAUGUCAUUAAUGAACACAAUGACAAAAUGAUCCAGCAACUGAGGGAAGACCCUAUUCAUCAAAUCCAUGAAUGUCAUCAGGGCAUUAGUCAAACCAAAUAACAUUCUAAGAACUCAAAGUUCACAUACCGAGUAUAGAAAGCUAUCUUAGGCAUAUCCAUCUCCCUAAUCUUAAGUUGAUGAUACCCAGACCGGAGAUCUAUCUUAUAAAAGAAUUUGGCACCUUGUAACUGAUCAAACAAGUUAUUUAUCAUUGGAAGAGGAUACUUGUUCUUAACUGUCACCGUAUUCAACUGUCGGUAAUCAAUACAUACCUCAAGGGAACCAUCUUUCUUAUGCAUGAAUAAUACCGGUACACCGUACAAGGAUACACUAGGAUGGAUAAAACCCUUAUCCAAAAGAUCUUUAUAUUGCUCCUUGAGUUUCCUCAACUCAGUUGGUGCCAUUUUAUAAGAAGGGAUAGCUAUUGAAUGAGUGUCUAGAACUAAAUCAAUAAUCAGAGGAACAUCAAGAAGAUCAUCCAAAAAUACCUCACGAAACUCAUUUAUCACCAAAAGCAAAUACAAUGAAGGACCUUCAGAAUUAGAGUCUUUAACCCGAACCAAAUGAUAGAGACACCAUUUAGAGAUUAACCUCUAGCUCUAAGAUAUGACAUAAACUUUCCCUUAGAAGCUAGGUAACAACCCUCCCAUUAAAUAAUCAGUUCACCAGGGAACAUAAAGACAACCUUACGAAUCUAGCAAUCUAAGGAUACAUAGCAUAAGGAUAACCAAUCAAUUCUCAAAAUGAAAUCAAGAUCCUUCAUAUCUAUUUUGAACAAAUUCACCAAUGUCUUUGUACUACCAACAGAUACUGCACCCCCCUUAUAGACUUUUUUAACAACCAAAGAGUCACCUACCGAGGUAGAAAUAGAAAAAGGAUCCAAAAAAUAGGGUCACAUAAGAGAGAAUGGACCCCGAAUCAAGUAAAUAAUACACAUCAUGAUAAAAAAGUUGUAAUAUACCAGUGACGAUAUCAGGUGAAGCCUUAUACUCCUGUCGGAUAGCAAGUGAAUAUAACCUAUUCUAAACUGUGUUGGUAACAGAAGAAGAAACAAAUGCAGAAGCAGUACCCUCCACUUAUCACAGAAACCCCAACCCAACUAACCACAGAACCUACAAGGAAGACAUAAUAAAGCUAACUAAGCCCCACUAGCCUGAGAUUAGGCACCCUAUGCCCUUAAGUUCUAUCCACUCUGCUGAUGUCUGUCACUCGAUUGCUUCAGGUAGGGAAAACUAGUUGUAGAGAAAGGACUAUAACUCCCCCACUACUUCUUUGGUAAUUUAACAUUAUCUCGUCCACUUUGUUAUUGUCCACCUUGCUCAGAGAACCUAAACUUGUUACCUUGCCUUUUAUCUAUCUCAGCCAGCUUUAUUUUUUCCUCAUCCACCUAUUGCAUAUGAAUAACUAACCUAGAGAUAUCUAUGUACUUGAUCAGCAAUGCAAUCUUGCUUUAAAAGAUCAACUAACGAGACAGUUCUAAAGUGAACUUUCUUAUUAUGGCCCUCAUAUCAAACACUAAACUCAAAAUAUACCUAGACAACUGGUGAAAUUUAAAGGCAUACUCCUUGACUAACAUAUUUUUCUAUUUUAGAUUAACAAAUUCCUCCACCUUUGCUUUCCUCAACUUCUAAGGAAAGAAGUAGAACAUAAGAGCAUUAGAAAAAGUGUUCCACAGAGAUGACUCAUCAAUAUCACCCGUUGCCUAAUCCCAUUCCUUGUACUAUUAGUAUGUCAUAUCCUUAUCUGAUAGGUAGAAAAAUUUACCUUGUCCACAUUUGUGACCUACAUGACCCUAAAGAUCUUUUUCAUCUCAGCCAGAAAACCUUAAGGAUCCUCAUUCACCUAAAUACCAGUAAAAGUUAAAGGAUUCAACCUCAUGACUGGACAAAUCUUAUAGCCUCAGAAGAUGCAAUACCCAUACACCAUACUCAACCUGAGAAGAUACCAACUUAGGAACCACAUGAAUCGACUAACAAAACUUAGUAAUCGUUAUGUCUUCCUGACAAUCACUAGAAAGAACUGGUAGAACUCUAAAAAUAUUAGGGAUUGGAACCCUAGACUAAGUAUGGAUACUAUGAGAAGAGUGUGUCCCAUCAACAUUAUCCCCAGUUGGGAUAGAAAAGUUUUAGUGAACUUUAGAUCGUUGAGGCAUGAUCUGAAAGGUGAGCAAACAGGAAUUAGAGAAGAUUUCAAGACUUAGACUACAAACUUGAAAAGAGAACACAAAGAAGUGAAAUAUUCCUAAAUUCCUUGUAGCCUCUCCCUUAUGAGUGUGGCAUACUAUACACCCUUAAAAGAGACUCUAAUCGACAUGGCUUUAUGGACUCCCAAUCAACUAUGAACUGAAAACUUUGACACCAACUUGACACAACCCAUAUUGGGGCUUUGUUAUAAUAGGCAUCCCAAGUCCAAUAAGUACUAGGGACCACCCCCAAUACCUAACCCAACCACAAAAUCCAUACCCUAAGUCGAAUGAAUUCCAAACCUAUAACAUGACCGAGUUUUGUACCAAUCCAAACUCUAGGAUAGGUCCAUAAUCGUGACCAACCUAAGUAAGUCUAUAACAUAAGAGGAUGGAACAAUUACAGUAAACCGAUAUCAUCCCAAAUACCAAUGCUAAUACUAAGGCCUACACCACUACCGACACCUCCCAUGCUAACCUAUAGUAGUCCUAUAAAGCCACUAACUGAAUAUAAAACAAUAUUCAAUCGAGACAUGCACCCUAGCACAGCCAAAAUCAUAGUCUAUAUAAAGACCAAAGUAUGUAAAAAUAUAUGUGACAUGAAAUAGAGAAUUCCAAAAUAUGGAAGCUCAACACUUUAGUCUAACUAAGCUGAUCUUGAAUCCGAUCCAAAGCAAGAAGAGUUAAUUCCUAUAUCGCGUAGGGAUACAGCUUCCCGAAGAUGGGUUAGUAAGUGAUGCUACCAAGUACUUAAGAUAAGGAUAAAAUCAUGCCAACCUUAUAAACCAAGUAAGCCAACUAUAUGCAUUCAUACCAUACAUACAUAUAUAUAACCAUGUAGGGUUUAGCAUUCUUUUACAAUUAUUAACCUGGGUAUGUGUAUCUUAACCAUCCCAAAACUACCCAUGAGUUAUGUGGGUCUAGUGUAACCUUCUGAACGGGCUUCAUACGUGUAGGUGCAUGAACCUAGGAUACCAUAGUAGUAGGGGAUUCCCAAGUACCCUUCGUUCUCCAUGAUACAUAUGUACAAAUUUACUUAGGGGAUUCCCGUUUACCUCAUAAGUAUCAUAUAUCAUUGCUAUAACCAAUCCUCAUAUUUGCAAAUAUGAGUUUCCAGUGUCCAUCCAUUGGAAUCACACAUUCUCUAUUAGCUAUCACACCUCACCAUUAUUGCCCUAUUAAAAUCAUUACGACAUAACCAAAACAUUAUUGUAUUUAUUAUUAACCAUGUCUAUAAGUGGUGGUAUCGGCAUAGCAACUAUAGCUUGGAUGAAAUGUCCUUAGCCAACCUUUUUAAAGAAAAGAAGAUUCACAUGUACCUAUAGAUUACAUUACUAAUUUAACUUGGGAGAGUCCUAUGUACCCAAUAAUAUGUUCAUUAGCAAUUAUUAUUGGGGAAUUUCCUUGUACCCCAUAAGGUUUUCAAUUAGACCAACUGAUGUUGGGUGAAUUGAUGCAUUUUAACAUUACUAUUCUAGCCUUUUUACCCUUGUUUUAAGGAUAAUUCAUGUGCUUAAUGUGUUAUACUUAUAUAAAUGUACAUCUAAGUAUCCAAGUAUGUGUUUAAAAUGUUUAAUUGUGUUUUCACAUGAGUUUUGAUUCAAUUUGAGCAUUUAGAGUUCAACCGAGAGAACUAGCGUUACUAACUUCAACCAGGUAUUUGUCUAGUCUAUCAUGUUGGGUUCUAAUAUGUUUAAUAAGUUCCUCAGAUUGUUAUUAUGUUUUAAAAUGUGAAUCAAAUUGGUUAUAAUGUUAAGGGGUCAAUUGGAUCAAGACAAGAGUCGAAACAAUGAGUUAAAGAUCAAAGUGAAAUUAGCCUAUGCUUAGCUCAUGUUUCUAGUUCACCGUUGAGGAUGUUGUGUUGUUUCGAGCUCUAAAUUAUUGUGUUUAAUGCUAUAGUAUUCUUGGUGAAUGUAUUAUUAUUAUAUAUGAAGAAUAAAAAAUCUUCAAAUUAAGUGUAAACAACUCAAAAAGGCUUGUAAUGGCUCAAUGGAAGCACAAUACACAAAGUGAUGCAAUUUGGACCCCUGAAAUGUAUGGGACGUGUAUGGUCUGUAGGAGUGGAAAAUGGAUGAGUGGGAAACAGAAAUAUAUUCAGAAGAGGGCUAAAAUACUGACCCAUUGGCAUGUAUGGGUCCUAAUAGAGUUUAAGGAAGCGCCGAGAUGCACAGAAUUAGGAUGAGAUUUUGGAUUUUGACAGAUUUUUUGACAAUUGUGAUUUGGCUCAACACUGUGAAGCGGUGAUGCCCAAAAUUAAGAUACUUCUUCCCAGAUGAAAUAAAAUAGUGUGGAAACCCAAUCCAAGUUGGUUUAUGACUUGUAUACUGAUGUUUCGACUUUUGAUGGAACAUUUUACAUCUAUUUAAAAGGAUAAUUAUAUGUUUUCAAGAAACUAAUGUUGUGUUAAGUACUGGAUUUUAGUGUUUCAGGGUAAGGAGUUAGCUAAAGGAGAAAACAAGAAAAAAUAAUAGAAAAAGGUCACUGAAGGUAAAACUAACGGACCAUCAGCCAUGCGACGGACCGUCGGGGUAACCAUCAAAGCUAAAUAGAAUGAAUCGAGUGAAGAACUCAUCUGAAGGUCUAAAUAGCAAACCGUCAAACUUCCGAAACAGCUCCAACUUGUCCAUCAAGCUUAACCAAAACAUAGGAUUUCAGAAGAUCAAGUGACGAUCCAUGCGAUGGACCACUGGGCGAGCGACGGGCUGCCAACAUGAGCGUCAUCCCUUAACAGAACCUAACUUCCUGGGACAUUCAAUAAUGGUCCAAUAGACGGACCAUCAGGCUUUUGACUGGCCGUCAGUUCGACCGUCAACUUGGACACGACUUUGUUGAGCUCAAAUUUUAAAUCCUCUACACCUGGGAACAUAUAAAUACUCAGUUUAGGUUUUAUUUUAGGUAUCUUUUAUCCUAUUUUCAACAUUGAAAAACUUAUUGUAACGUAGUUUUCUCUGAGUAUCAAGUUAGAAUUGUGGAUUUAAACAUUUCAUGCAUAUUUUUUUCUAAAGAUUCAGGAACAAAUCUUGUGAUUUUUGUAAGUAUUUUCUGAACUUAUUUUUGAAAAAUACAAUGACAACUUCUUCUUCUUCUUUGGAAAUGUGUGGAUAAGCUCCCAUAACUAGGGUUAUGGGAGACUAGAUGUGAAAAACUAAUUGGGGUUGUGAAAAUAUUUGAUUUCCAUGGUUAACUAAAGUUAUAUAAACCCUUCUUCAUAAUAAUAACCUUUCUUGGUUGCAAACUUGAAGGUUAAGCCCAAGAACAUCACUUAUUCGAAUAGAAAAGUGUUUGUUGGGAAACGAAGAGGUUUACAUAGGAUCUAAAGGCUUUAACCUUUGGGUCAAGGGGUGAUUCCUUAACGGGAUCAACCAAUAUGAGAGAAUAAUUGAAUAAAUUAAUGUAUCUAUAAGUUUGAGAGAAUUGAAGGAUAAUCUACUCAUUUAUGUUGAGAAACAAAUGGGUAAAUUAUAGGAUUCGAUAACUCUUGCAAUUGAAGCGAUUAAUUAGAAAGACAAAAUAAUUCACAACCCUAGCUGCUUAAACAUCUUGGUAACCAUAACUCUAGUUUGUGCAUUCUCAUUGAAUUAGCAUUUGCAAUAAGAAUCACUAUCUGGAACACUUUCUAUUACAAAUAAAGAGAUAAAAUUUGCAAACCCAAACCCCCCUUUAACUCAAAACGUUUGAUCAACAGUCUAGUAACAACCACAAUACUUAGUGAAUGUAGUAUUCCUUGUGGUAUUCAACCUCAACCUAGUUGGAUUAUAUAUUUAACAAUUCCCACUUACUCUCUCAUAAGAGAGGUGUAAUUUGGGCGUAUCAAAUUUUGGUAUCGUUGUCAGGAAAUAUAGUUGUCAAUUAAGUUUGUGAUUAUUAAUUGACCUUUGGUAAAGUUUCCCAAAUUUAACUUUUAUUUAUUAUUUUUGGUUCAUUACAGGUUCAUUGUUGUUUAUGUCACGCACCAAAAGUUCAGGAAAACUACUAUUACCCUUUAAUCCCGAACCACAUCUAAUUUGCAGAAUGAAGAACAAUAAGAAGCUAAGAGACUAGCCAACUUGGCUUGAGCACAGGUUAAUCGGCAAAAUAAUGGGCAACCAGCUCCUGAUCCUAAUCCUGAUGAUGAGGAUUUGGGAGAUGAUGAUUUGAUUAACCCAGCAAAUAAGAGGCAUGUGGAGAAUGCAACGGUAGCUACCAACAAAAAUCAGGUAGCUAGAGGGAGAGCGAACCAUCAACCUAUUAUGAAAUUUGAUCUUGAUGAAAAGGAUGACGACUUGGAUAAUGCUAGUGCUAUAGGAAUGAUUAUUCCACCUCCACUAGUACCUGGGGUUAAUUUCAACAUAACCAGCACCAUGAUACAGCUGCUUAAUCUUAAGGGGUUGUUUGGAUAACUUAUAGGAGAUGACCCAAAUAUGCAUUUGGUGAAUUUUAUCAACAUUCGCAAGUCAUUUGAUAACCCUGGUGUUAGUCAAAAUGCCAUUCGUCUUUUGUUGUUCCCAUUUCUGUCUGGGGAGACCCAACAAUGUGAUUGAAUGAGUUGGAACCUAAUUCUAUAACAAACUGGAGGCAAUUAAAAGGAGCUUUCCUAGAAAGGUUCUUUCUACCCUCCAGGAUGAUACAGUUGAGGGAUAAAAUCAGCAACUUCAGACAAUUACCAAAUAAGGCAUGCAUAAAACUUGGAUGUGAUUCAAGAAAAAGUUGACACAAUGUCCCAACCACAAAAUGACUGAUAAGCACUCAAUAGAGACUUUCUAUAAAGCUUUGAACUAUAUAAACAAACAAAUAAUUGACCACGUAGCGGGAGGAGCAUUCAUGGAUCUUACAUUCAAUGAGGAUACAAAUAUGUUGGAACGGUUGACUAGGACAAGUAGAGCUUGGCAUACCAUGGAUUCAGUAGUAGCAAGCCCUACUGUGUCUAUUGGUAUGUUGGCAGAGCAACGUUAAAAAGAGAAGAAGUAUGACCAAGAUAUGGCAUACAUGAAAACACAGAUGGGUAUGCUUACAAAAUAUUUAUUGAACUAGUAAGCCUGAGAAGGUAAAUGCUAUAGGGUCUUAAGGGAAAGCUAAUUUUGGUUUUGAGAAGGAGGCAAACUAUCUAAAUAAUCAGGGAGUUUUCUGAGGCAAUAGCCAAGGGAAUCAAGGUUGGAACUAUUACGACAAGGUUGGUUACAAAGACAGGGACAAAAGGAGUUUGAAGAACAAAAAUAAUAGGAGUGGACUAUAUGUACCUCCUGGAAACUGGGAUAAUGCAGCUACCAGUUCAGGCAAGAUAUCUAUGGAGGACAUGAUGGAAAAGUUGUUAAAGGGAGUUGAUACUACCAAUGCUGGGGUGACAACAAUAAAGAGUGACUUAUCUUCCAUGCGUCAAUUAGUGAAUUCAUACUCAACUUCUAUUCAGCAGUUAGAGUAGCAGAUUAGCUAACUGUUGGCCUCAUUUAAUUGGAGGAAGAGAGGUACCUUGCCUAGCGAUGCACUAUAAAUUCCUCAGAAUUAUAGCUCUUACAUGGUAGAUACCACUCAGAGUGGUAAAAUAUUACAUGGCCCUUCUAUAGGAAAAGUUGUUAUCGAUGAUGUGAUUAAAGAAGAGGUUGAUAAUGAUGAAAUCCAUACAGAGAGUCUGAGGAGCUGGAUGGUAAAGCGAGGAUAUCUAACCAUCAACGGGUUGAUAAGUUAGCGGAAACAAAUAAAAAGAAGAAGGAGGCAGUGGUUACUACUCUUCCAAAACCACUGCCACCCAUCCAUAUAUAUUCAAAAAAAUGUGGAUGAUACAAGGUUUAGAAAAUUCAUGGCUAUGUUAAAGUAGCUGAUGGUGAAUGUACCUUUAGUAGAGGCAUUAGAGCAGAUGCCUGGGUAAGCUAAGUUUAUAAAAAAUUUGGUGACGAAGAAGAGAGAAGUGAGCUAUGAACUGGUAGAUAACCUUCAUCACUGUGGUGCUAUUUCAACAAGGUCCUUGGUAUAAAAGAAAGCGGACCCAGGAGCCUUCACUAUUCCUUGUACUAUCAGGUCUCUUGAUUUUGCUAAGGCCUUGUAUAAUCUGAGAGCAAGUAUUAACCUGAUGCCACUUAUUGUCUAUAAGAAGCUGGGUGUAGGGGAUCCUACACCCAUAAACAUACGACUAGUAAUGGCAGACAGGUCGAUAAAGUGGCAAGUACGUAUUUCGUAUGAUGUGCUAGUGAAGGUGGCUAGUUUUAUAUUCCCUGCAGAUUUUGUUAUUCUAGAUUAUAGGUGGACUUUGAGGUGCCCUUAACUUGGGUCCACCUUUCCUUGCAACUGGAAGCGUGCUUAUUGACUUGCGAACUAAUGAGCUCUUAUUCAGGCUUAAUGAUGAAGUUGUUCGAUUUGAUGUGUGUGAAUCUAUAAAGAAGCACAAGGAAAUAAGUGUGUUCUCUAUUGUGGAUGUUUAUUAAAAGGGUGAGUGAGAAGUUCCUAUGUAGGAGAAAUUUUUUGUCGAACCUUUAGCUGCUGUCUUAAUGAAUUUCGAUAGCAAAGGCAUCAAAGAGUAUAGGGAGACUAUUUGUGCCUUGACUGGAAUGGGAUAGUAUUGUUAAACUUCCAAAAAGAUGGAUCUCGAUCUUAAAAAUUAACCAACACCACCGGCGAAGCAAUCUAUUGAGGAGACAACAGUGUUGGAGUUAUAGGAAUUACCAGGCCAUCUGUGGUAUGUGAUUCUAGGUAGCAAAAACAUGUUACCUAUGAUUAUUGUGGUAGACCUAAGUGAGCAGCAAGUGGAUGCACUUAUUUCAGUACUUCGAAGGUACAAAGGGCCGAUAGGCUGGACUAUUAUAAAUAUUAUUAGUAUCCCUUCGGGUAUUUACACCCAUAAGAUUGAACUUGAGAAAGAUUGUACACCAUCCAUUAAGCAUCAACGCCAUCUUAACCCACCUAUGCAAGAGGUGGUUAAUAAGGAGAUCAUCAAAUGUCUUGGCGCAGGAGUUGUAUAUCUUAUAUUCGAUAGUAAGUGGGUAAGUCCUGUCCAAUGUGUGCCCAAGAAAGGGGGCAUGACUAUUGUAGCAAACGAGAAAAAAAAGUUGAUUCUGCUCAGGCCUGUAACUGGGUGGAGAGUUUGUAUGGACUAUCGCAAGCUUAACUCGUAGACUUUGAAGGACCACUUCCCAAUGCCUUUUAUGGAUCAGAUGCUUGAUCAGUUGGUAGAAAGAGGUUGGUAUUGUUUCUUAUAUGGGUAUUCAGACUAUAACCUAAUUUCUAUAGCCUUAGAGGAUCAGGAAAAGACAAUAUUCACUUUCCUGUAUAGGACUUUUUCCUUCAAGCGGAUGCCGCUUGGUCAGUGUAAUACACCCACUACCUUUCAAUGGUGCAUGAUGUCUAUCUUUUCCAAUAUGGUUGAAGACACCUUGGAGGUGUUUAUGGAUGACUUCUCAAUAGUAAGUGAUUCUUUUGAGCUGUGUUUGGUGAAUCUGAGUAAGGCAUUACAGCGGUGUGACAAUUUUAAUCUUGUGCUUAAUUGGGAGAAAUACCACUUCAUGGUGAAGGAGGGCAUUGUCCUUGGUCACAAAAUUUCAGCCUAGGGAAUUGAAGUCGACUGGGCUAAGAUCUAGGUUAUUGAGAAGCUACCACCUCCUAUUUCAGUAAAGGGAGUGGAUAGUUUCCUCGGUCAUGUGGGCUUUUAUCGGUGAUUCAUAAAAGACUUAUCAAAAGCUCAAAACCCACUCUGCAAACUUUUGGAGAAGAAGGCCAAGUUCAUAUUUCAUGACAAUUGCUUGAAGAUAUUUGAAUGCCUUAGAGGGAAAUUGGUUGAUGCUUCUAUUAUUGUUGCUCCAAAUUGGUCAAAGCCAUUUGAGAUUAUGUACAAUGUAAGCUAAGUGGCGCUUGGGGCUAUACUUGGUCAGAAUAGGGAUAAGCUAUUUCAUCCUAUUUAUAAUGCAAUAAAGGCCUUAAAUGGACCUUACACAAAUUACACUAUUACUAAAUAGGAACUUCUUGCAGUUGUUUAUGCCUUUGAGAAUUUUUGGUCCUACCUAUUGGGAACCAAGGUGGUGGUAAACAAAGACCACUCAACCUUAAGAUAUUUGAUGGAAAAAAUGGAUACGAAGCUGAGAUUAACCAGAUGGGUAUGGCUCCUCCAAGAAUUUGACUUUGAAGUCAAAGAUAGGAAGGGAUGCAAAAAUCAAGUCGCAGACCACUUGUCUAGACUGGAGAGAAGUCAACCACUUAAGGAUGAGCUAGAAAUUGAUGAUGCAUUUCCAAAUAAAGAAAUCAUGGCUGUUGUGUUAGAAAGAGUAUUGUGGUAUGAAGACUUUGUAAACUAGGUGGUGAGUGAGGUUGUUUCAAAAAAUCUUUCUUUUCACCAAAAAAAGAAGUUUCUUCAUGAUGUGACACAUUACUUUUGGGAUGAGCCAUACUUGUUUCAGUAUUGUGCAGAUAAUAUUAUAAGGAGGUAUGUCCCAGAAGUAGACAUGCUGAACAUUUUAGAAGCUUGCCAUGCCUCUCCAUUUGGAGGUCACUAUAUAGGUGACCGGACUGCUAGGAAAGUGUUGCAGAGUGGCUAAUAUUGGCCAACAUUAUUCAACGAUGUUUAUGAUUUUGUGCAGAGAUGUGACCAAUGCCAACGACAAGGGUUAAUCUCAAAGGACCAUGAUAUGCCUUUGACAAAAAUAAUGGUAGUGAAGUUGUUUGACAUCUGGGGCAUCGACUUCAUGGGGCCCUUCGUGAGAUCUUAUGGGAUUAAAUACAUUUUGGUUUCCAUUGACUAUGUAUCUAAAUUGGUCGAUUCUAUUGCCUUGGCUGAUAAUGAAGGGAAGAGAGUUUUGGUUUUCCUUAAAAGGAACAUAUUCUAUCAUUUUGGGGUGCCACGCACCAUCAUAAAUGACGACAGAUCAUAUUUCUGCAACCGAGUGUUUAGGGCUGCCUUGGCAAAGUAUGGUGUUAAGUUGCAUAAGGUGGUAACUCCAUACCACCCAUAAACUAAUAGGAAAGUGAAGAUUUCAAAUCGAGAGAUCAAAGUCAUUCUUUCUAAAAUAGUGAAUGCAAGCAGACAAGAUUGGUCAAGGAAGCUCAAUGAUGACUUGUGGGCAUAUACAACAGCCUUCAAGACACCUAUUGGCAUGUCACCAUACCAAUUGGUGUAUGGCAAGGCAUGUCACUUGCUAAUUUAAUUAAAGCAUAAAGCGUUGUGGGCACUUAGAAGGCUAAACUUGAAUUAGAAUGAGGCAGCGGAGCUAAGAUUGGGAUAGCUGAAUUAGAUAGAUGAGUUCCGUCUCAGCGCGUAUAAAAGAGAAGACCUGUAUAAGGAGAAGAUGAAGAAGUAUCAUGACCAGAGAAUUGCAAAGCAAAACUUUUAGAAGGGUGAUUGGGUUCUUCUCUUCAACUCUAGAUUGAAGUUGUUUCUAGGUAAACUUAAAUCAAAAUGGUCUAGCCCAUUCAAAGUUAACCAAGUCUACUUAUCUGGAGUAGUUGAAUUUGAGAAUAAAGACGAAAGUGUCUUCAACGUUAAUGGGAAACGAGUUCACUUCUAUAUCGGUCCAAUGGAUUCAAUAAAAUGUAUAGCUACUGUCUAUCUUGAUGAAGUCUGAGUAAUUGAGACAACCGAGUUGUGCCAUGAUAUUAAAUCAGGCACUAGUGGGAGGCAACCCACAAAGUGUUGUUGUAACCUUAAUUAGGAUUUAUGCGUUAUGUUUGUGCAAUUUGAUAUGUUUGUGAAGUGGGCAGGUCUGAGGAUGGAGAAAGAAGAGAUUUUCUCAAUAGAAAAAAGGAUGAAGGAAAGAUCGAUAAAUUGUUAGUAUAUCGACGGACUGCUAUAGCAACCGUCAAGGUCAUGGUAAAACAAUGACAUUCUGGAUAAGGCUUGAUGGUCGAGUUGGUAGACUGUUGCUAUUUCGAUGGACUGUCACUCCCUCUAUCAACCAGGUGUUGAAAUUCCAGUUCACUAGAAUAUACUGAUGGGCAAGUCGACGGACCGUUAUAUCAUCGAUGGACUGACAGACAAGCCAUCACAGCAAAGCAUAAUAUCCUGGUCUCUGGUAAGUUACGAAGGCCAACCAAAUAGACCAUCGGACACCUGACAGACUGUCAAGUAGGUCGUUGAUGAAACCCUAAGUUCAGGUUAGGUUGGGCUAAUCUGAAUUAUUAUUUAAAUCUCAAGAAGCUGACCCAAUUAUCUUUUAAACCGAUAAGAUAAAAUGGUUACAAAAAUUGAGACCUUUUCAAAUUCUACAACUGUUUAACUUCAUCUGAAUUUAAAGAAUUUGGAAUUACUUAUUUCCCUCUAGGAGUCUUCCUCUUCUUUUCCUCCCCUAUUUAAACAAACCUAUCCUUCUUUUCUUUUCAUCACAAAAUUAAGAUUAGUUUUCCCUGAAAAAGCAUGUUUUUACUCUGUGUGGUGUGCAAAUUCUGUAAGUUGUUUAGUAAACACUCGAAAGUCAAGGUAUGAUAAAAAUUCUUCUUCUUUCUUGUUUAAAUCAUGAAUUUCACUGUGUAAAGAUUGCAAUAUGUUGAAAAGGAUUUUAUCUUGUUUUCUUCUGCUGCCUUGUGAUUGAUGUUUUUGUUUGAAGUCAAACUCUAGUAUGCUAUAUUUUUGGUGAAGUCUAAGUAACCCCUGUACCAUGUACUCAAAAAUAGAAAAAAUUUGUGCUUGAAUGCUGAAUUGAUGUCUUUUCUAUGUUAAAAUUGGACUGAUGCAUACUAAGUGUUCGAAAAAAUAUCCAAAUGAAGUUUUAAACUGAAAGGGUUGCUGAUGAUCACCUUGGUGGACCAUUGCUAUUGUAAUGAACCAUCGGGUAGGCCAUCACAAUGAUGCCCAGUUUGUUGUUCACUGGAUAGGCUAUGACGGACAGCUUAGCAGACCGUCAGUAACCCAACAAACCACCAAUUCGACUAUAUCAACCCUCUGAAGGGACUCACUAUUUAAGGCCUGAUGGCCAGAUCAGUGGAUCGUCACAUUAGUGAUGGGCUGUUAGGUUGACCGUCAAGCCAUAUUUUCAACUUCUUUCAAUCUGUUUUACCUAUAAACUGAUUCCUAGACUUUUUUUCUGGUAUCAUGGCACUUAAAAUCCCUUUGACCAGAGGUGGGAGUAUAGCACAAGUGAUAACGCUCAAAUUACACUCUUAAAUGGGUGUAAGCGAUCAUUGUUAAUAUAAAACCUAACUAGGUUGGGGUCGAAUCCCACUGGAAAUAUGGUGUGAACUCAAGUUGUUUGCAAUUUACUCCACUGAUAGUUUAAUGUUUCCUGAAAUAAAGGGUUUAGGUUUAAAAAGUUGUUUUUCGCUUUACUUUCGGUGUUUGUAAAUCAAGAGUUUAUGAAAUAACCAAAAUUAUGUUCACCAGGGAUUCCGGUACAUGACAAAUGCUAAAACUGAUUCAAGAUUCUCACGGUGGGUAGGAUAACAAGCUAUAUUUAUCAAUGUUAUUCUUAAAUGUCUCUCGACCUACUCAAGCAUUUAAUUCCCUAAACCUCUCGAACUCAGGGAGUUUCUAUUUACUGCCCAAAUUUUACCUCAAGUUAACCAACCUUUUUACAGCGUUGAUUAUUAAAUGAAGUAUUUUCGAGUCCCUAUUGAUAAUUCACUUCCUACUAUAUUUUAUUUCUUUCUCAACAAAAUCAGAGCAAGUAUAUCUACUAUUUACAACCAAAAGGCUUUAAUUAAAACUUCAGAAUUAUCAAGAAAUCCUACCACCUUUUGAAUCUUGAAUACUUAGCACCUCAUCAAGACCUAAUUCUAGAUCCCAUAACUCAGGUUAAUAGAGUUUAGCCACUCAUGAUGUAACGAACAAAACACAUAAUUGAAUUCAUGAUUUGAAAGAUAAAUUUACAAAGAUGAAUAAUAACUAGUGAAUCGCUGAUUAGAUCACAAAAGAAAAAUCCCAAAAUACUGAUAAUAAUCUCUCAAAAAUAGUUGUGUUGUUAAAGUCAGGAAGUAAAGAGAGAAAAUAUCAAAAUAUGCUAUCCAAAACUCAAGGUGUCGACCUUGUGUGGAAUAAUAUUGAUAAUAACAACAACAAUAAUUCUCCCUAGAAAACCCUAAAAUAAAGCUUUAAAUAGUUUACCCCAAAUAAGGAAACAAAUCAAGGUUACAGCUUUUUCUCGAAAUAGACGACGACUAUUGGUGAUGCCUUAUCAGGAUCUUGAUGACUUAUCAAGAAUGCCAUCAGGUCUUCUUCCAAUCUGCACUGGUCCUGUCUUAGGUUGAUGGAAACUUCUGACGGCUUAUUAGGUCUAUAAUGACUUAUCAGAAAUGUCAUCACACUUUUUCUCCAAUUCUCAUGUCCUGCCUUAGUCUGAUAGCAUUCCUGAUGACUUGAACUCAUUUCCUAUUUAAGGCAGACGACAGACUUGAUAACUUAUUAGACCCUUGACGGUUUGUCACAAAAUGUCGUCACAACUUCCAUUUUAGGCCAAAUCUCUGUCUACAAAUGACAACCAACCUGAUAGCUUAUCACAGGGCUGACGACUUGUCACAAAUAUCGUCAGCCACACUUGUCUUCAGAUUUCUUUAAAUUGUAACUUCUUUGCUUUAUUUCAUGUUGGUUCUCUAUCAUAUCAGUUUAAACUACAAAAUCAAACCUAAACUAAUCAAAAAUAACUAAAUUUGCCCAAGACCUUGUAAUUAUUUAGAGUUAAAAGCUUCAAAUGUGUUAGCAUAUGCUUACAUAUCAACAAAUUCAACUUAAAACAAUUACUUGUCCUCAAGCAACCAAAAUAUAACUAAGAGAAUACAAAGUACAAUUUGGAAGCUAACUACUCAUAUUAGUUUGGAAUAAUAUCACCAUCUACAUGGUCAGUCAAUUUAAAACUCACUAUUGAUAUUUUGAAGAACAACCGUGCAACUCACAAGCAUCAAGAUACGACAAAAAUUCAGCAAUAACAAGCAUGCCAUACCAAGAUCACACUAUAUGAACAAGUCAGUGACUUAGCAACAUACCUAAUGUGCCCUCACAACAAAGAAAUCCCUUUUUUACUCAUAUUAGAAUUCACAUACAUAAACAUAGGGAUAAUCAUAAGUCUCACUCUCAGAAUGAAGUGCCAAACACUUCAUGUAAAAUGUCAUAGGCUUGCCCUUAUAGUCAGUGCCCAAAUCUUCAGGUAGGCCAGUUAGGAUCACUUUAGGGCUUUUCUUAGGCUUGUAAUGUAGUCUAGGGGCUGGUAUAAUAUUCAUGGAUAUUUUAGAGUGACUAUGCCUCCUUGACACUACACUAAGCUCUUAGGGUUUCACUUCUCAACCUUCUUUACUUCCUCUUCUUUUAUUGAUCACACAUGCUCAAGAUGGAUGCGGUCUUUUUAAUCAUCAUAUUUUUUUAACACAACUUUAUCUUUUCUUAUUUAUUGUUUUCUCUUACUCUACCUCUUUUCAUGUUCAUUUUGCAUUACGCACCCCUAUGAUAGCCACCCUCAGCUUUGGUUGUUUGCCUAAGUUAAGGUGCACAGUGUCCAAGGAAGACCAAGACCAAAAUAGGUUCAUUGUGAGGUAAAUGGGAAGCUGAGAGGUUUCACAGAAAAAUAGGCAUAUAGGCUCAAAUCAAGGAUUAAAGAAUAUUAUUCACAUUGGGAAGGUCAUUUAGGCUGAAAGUGGGUUACAAUAAAAAAUGGCCUAUGAUCCUUUCCUAACCCCUAUCUUACAAUCAAGGUAAGACUAACUGGGCAAGUUCUGGAUUUGGCACACAGCAGGAGCUGAGUAAGACCUCACACACACAUAGCACACAAGUACAUCGCAUAUCACUACUUAUCUGAUUCAUGCAUUUUGUUCAGCAAAAAUUGUCAAGUUGCCAGACUAAUACCACAAAAAGAUGCACCGCAGUUACAGGUGAAUGCAAUUCACAUAGUUAUAAAAUCACAACAAUAGAGAGGUUUUCGAAAGUCACAAAAUAAGCUUACUAACUCAAGUACUUGUAUUACUUCUAACUAUCUACCAAAAGUUGUUACAGCAAUAUCCUACCUUACACCCUCAACUUAAAAUUGAAAAUAAAGCUAAACUAAGAAUUAGAGUAUACCUGGAAUGGAUCAACCCCAGGGUUCAUGGGUUUUCUGACCCUGCUGCUACAUCAUCUACUACCUUCUCUCCAUUAAGACCUUCUACUCUUGCAGUGGCAGGGGGUCUGCUAGAUGAGGCACCUGCAGCCCUAGAUUUUAGAGCCUCCUCCCAUCUCUCAUUAUCCACUAGGGACUCUAUUCUUGCUUUCUUUAACUCCUUUUUUUUGGCCUUUUUUUUCGCCUUCUUUUUCACUUUUUUUUCUUCCUCGCUAUCAGGAUCUUCUCUCUUAUCUUUUCCCUUUCGCUCCUCUUUUUUCCUUCUUUUUCUUUAGUAAAUAUCCAGUGACGUCAUGCAUUUGAAUUUUCUCCUCAAAUUCAUGCAUAGUUGGAUCUGUCGGCACUAUAAAUUAGUGAUGCUGUAACACCUCAACAUAUGCCUUUACAUUGUUCAAGGCCACUCUAAAUUUAGCAAAAUCGGCUCCUAACAUUUCUUUUUCCCAUGUAUUAAAUUGAUUCUCCAAAUAUGCAACCCAUCCAGGAAAAGUCCCAAAAGGCUCAAGGGCAGCCUUGAUUCUCUUGUCUACUACAGUGGCAAACUAUUUGGCAAAAGCAUGUAGUUGUGCCUCACAUCAUUUGGAUUGUUUGGCCACUUUUCUAGUAUCUAUCAGAUGAAAUACAAAUCUUGCUGAUGCUGUAGGAGCUGAGGGAUUGCGUUCAUUCUCAGGCACUGAACCUGGUUGUGCUAAAAAACUUGGCUACAUAGUCUCAGAAUCUUGCACUUUCACAUUAGGUGUUGCAUCAGCAUCUGUAACUGGAGGGUCUACUGAUACCUCUACACCUCUAUCAAGUCUCAGUUCUGGAUAAUUUUCAUCAUAUCAUAUGGGAUUGUGAGUCUUUCGAGAAGGAUUGUCAUUAUCAACCCCUACAAUCUCUAGAAGAUUAGCAUCUCGGUACAACUAUGUGAUAAGACAAGGGAAAGGAUAAUCAGUGUUGGUUCUUGACAUUCUAAUCUUCAUCUCAUCAGCAAUUAUUUCCCCAAAAUUAAGGGGGAGCUGUUGCACCAUGCUUGUUACUAGGACAGCUCGGUCGUCACCCAAAAUGUUAUCUCCAUCAAUGGGCAUCGUCCAGAUAUGCACUACACCCCAUAAAAACAUUGCCUCUUGAUUCAAAGAGAACUUAUAGAUUCUCUAAUUUAGGUUGGUCACCCAUGCUACUUCCUCUUCGGCUAUGAUGUUGGAUAACCACGGACGUUGAUUUGCCCAAUUUUUAAUCUGAGCAUAGACUAAUGGUGAAGUGGCCUGACGAGCAAAGUUGGGGCCAUGCAAGAACCUGUUAAUGGUUCUGAUUGAGAUAUCAACCCUUACGCCCCUUACCUGAACUGUCUCCAAUAGGGGCUGGUCUGCAACUCUUUCUCCUGACCUACACAUGUUUUCCAACUGAACCUGGUAGUUCACAUAAAACUCUCAGACCAGUGCAGGGAAAAAUGAGCUUCCCCUUUUUGUGGUCUAUCCCAAGCCUUACUCUUGGAACUUCUGUUCAACUUCAGGAUACCUACACAGAACUUUAGUGAUAAUCCUUUUUUCUUCUUGAAUUGGCCUUUUAGUCCUUACCUUUAGUGAUCAUCCUUUUUUCUUCCUGAAUUGGCCUUUUAGUCCUUUUCUAUCAGUUCUGUGCAGCCCAGCAGUCAAGAUGCCCUCUAUCUUAGGAAUUUUCCAUCUAGCAUUGUCUUGAACUUUGGGGUUCAUAAAUUUGAUAAGUGUUCCCCAAAUUGGAGACUCCUCAUUAUCUAGUUAUUUAGUGGAAGGAGAUUCAGAUGUUGCUCCCUCAGACUCAAGCUCCUAAGACUUUUCAUGUUCUUCCUCUUCAGAUAGAACCUACAAAACUUUAUCAACUUUUGAUGACAUUUCUGAUAAGCCAUCACAAAUGUUAUAGCCUAUCACAAAUGUUUCAGCUCUAAAUAGAACUCACUCAUUCUUAGUAGCCUUUGAUGAUGUUUCUGAUAAGCUGUCACAAUUGUGAUAUAUUAUCAUGAGUGUUGUCAGCUCUCAUCAAAACCCUACUUUUGAUUUUAACUCAAUUUUUGGUCCCAUUAUUUCUCAAAAUCCACUCGAGUUCUGAUUUGUAAGAUGAAUUUUAAGCCUUAGGCUUGUACAGUAAACCCUAGUUCUGAAUUUCAGCCCCUUUUCUAGUUGAACUUGGUUCAACUCUCUUGGAAACUUGGGUUGUCAUAAAUGUAUCACUUAUCACUUGAAAAGAAAAUUCAAAUUUAGAGCAUACCUGAUGGAAGCCUUCAAUGUGAUUACACACACAAGAGGAAGUAGGAAGAAAUUCUUGAUUUUAAUUACAAACCCACACACAAGGAAACUUACCUUUUGUUUUACUUGGAAAAAAUUUUGAAUAAGGAAAUAAAAUACUCUACAUAUUGAAGGGAACUAACUUAAAAGGAAGUAAAAAAACAAGCGGGAAGGUGGAAAGGUUCGACUGGUCCCAAGUCGGAUCUUUAUAAUUAGCCCAGAUUUGGUAGUUAAGUGACUUUCUGAUGACAUCUUAUGAUGGCUAGUCAUAGGUGUGAUGACCUAUCACGGAUGUCGUCAGCCUUAAUAGAACUUCAAUUCAAAAUUGUCCUCUCUGACGACAAUUAUGAUAGCUUAUCACAGUUUUGAUGGCUUAUUAUAAAUGCCAUCAGGACCUUUUCUAUUGAUUUCUUCAGUUUUCUACCUUCUGCGAACUAAAUACUAACUAUAAAAAUAAACACUUUACUAGAAUAUAAAACUUUAGGUUGCCUCCCAAUAGUGCCUAAUUUACUGUUGCAGCACGACUUGGUUAUCUUGACUACUCAGACUUUGCCAAGAAAACCUGUUGAUACCCCUUUAUCAUCUUCUAGAAUACAUCAACAAUUAAGAAAAAACCCAUCUCUUUUUGCUGAGUCAUGUAUAAGUGUAUCUCAAAGCGUGUUUCUUUAUCAUUUAGCCUGAACUUCAGCUCAUUCAGCUCCAUGUCUAUGAUCACUUUCCCGGUUGCAAGGAAUGGUCUACCUAAGAUGAUGGGAUACCUUUAUUAAAACAUUAUGUAAUAUGCCCACAGGCUGCUUCACAUACCUAUUUGCCAUCGCCAACUGCAUAUUUGUUGGGGUAUGAUUCCCCAAACCCAAUUUCUUGUACAGAGCAAGUGGCAUUAGGUUUACACUGGCUCCUAGAUCACAUAAUGCUUUGGUAAAUUUAAGGGAACCAAUAGUACAUGGAAUGGUAAUUGCUCUCAGGCCUGCCUUUUUUGACACUAAAGACCUUGUAGAGAUAGCACCACAAUGGAGAAAAUUGUCCUCCAGCUCAUGGAUAACCUUCCAUUUCUUGUUCACAAGGUACUUCAUGAACUUUGUGUAUCUUGGAAUUUGCUCAAGUGCCUCAACCAAAGGCACAUUUAUUGCCAAUUGCUUGAGAAUUGCCAGGAAUUUGCUAAAUUUUGCAUCCUCAGACUUCUUCUUCAAUCGUUGAGAAAAGAGGGGUGGUGGUCUUGGGAUAGUUUUCAACACCACUUCCUCUACCUUCUCUCUUUCCUUCUCCAAAGCUUUAAUAGAACUAUCCAACUUCUCAGACUCUACUGGAUUGCUUUUUUUGGAUUUAUCAACAACUAUAUCACAAUCUAUAGAUUUGCCCACAAAAGGUCUAGGUAAUAUCUUACCACUCCUAGUGGUAAUCGCCAUACAUAAGAUAUAAUUUUGUAGAUUUUGAAAUGUAUCUCUUGGUAAUGUUCUGCUCUUUCUAUGGUUAAAUACAGUUUAAAGUUGGCUCAUCUGCUGCUCCAAUUAUUUGAUGGCAGUGGAGUGUGAGUUCACCAACUGACCGAUGGAUGUCAGAUCGGUCGUCAUAGUGGUUACACAGGAGUUGAUGGCCUCAACUUCCUUCAAUAAUUUAUCCAUCAUGUCCUCCAUGUACAUCUUUCUAGAGCUAGUUACAGCAAUUUCCCAAUUUCCAGGAGGAACAUAUAAACCACUACUGUCAUUAUUGCUUCUCCAAUUUCCUUGCUCCCUGUCUUUUUAGCCAAGCUUAUCAUAAAUGCUCCAACCUUAAUUCCCUUGUCUGUUGUCCAGAAAACCCCCCUUAUUAUUAACAUAAUUUGCCUCUUCUUCAGGCUCUACAUCUACUCGAUCUUAAGACAUUACAGAUUUCACUUUCUAUCUUCCCUGACAAUAAGUGCUUUAUGAGCAAGUCCAUCUGAGUCUUUAGAUGGGUCAUAUCUUGAUCCCACUCAUCAUCUCUCUUAUAUUUUUCAACAGACAUACCAAUCAAAAUAGUGGAUCUUCCUACCAUAGACUCCCUGGUAUGCCAAGCCCGACUCUAUUUGGUCAUCCUAUUUAGCAUAUCUGAGGCAUCUUGAAAAGACAGAUCAACAAAUGAACCACCAAUAAUAUUAUCUACAAUCGGCUUUAUUAUAGAGUUGAGGGCCCUGUAUAAAGUCUCCAUCAAGUUUAGAUCUGUCAUACUAUGGUCCGAACACUAUUUUAGCUUUUUCUUGAAUCUCUCCCAAGUCUUAUGCAAAGCUUCAGUAGGAAGCUGUCUAAAAUUAUUGAUUUUGUCCCUCAACUAUACCCUCCUGAAGAGUGGAAAAAACCAUUCUAGGAAUUCUUCUUUCAAUUUCAUCUAGUGUGUGACGGAAUCAGGCGUAAGCUCAUUCAGCCACAAUGUUGCCUCCACAAAUAGAGACGACGGGAACAACCUCAAUCGGUAGCAUUCUAUCCCACUUCUGGGUUAUAAAAAAAUUUGCAAAUAAUGACUAGCUGCUGGUUCGGAUUAUCCCCAUGAAGACCACUAAACAAUCCCUUCAGAAUAAGGAGUUGGAUCAUAGUACUCGUAAUGUUAAACUUUGCUCCAGGUGCCAAAUGUGGAGGAAUAAUUUCACCCGUUGCACCUGCCCCAUCCAUGCCAUCAUUAUGAUCAUUCAGAUCAUACUGGAUCGGCUGGUACUCUUGUCUUCUUUGGAACGGACGGUUCCAAUUAACAUUAUGUGGCACUUGUGUAGCUAUCUGCUCUGCAUGCUUUAGGUUACCAGGUUUCAAUAACUCCUCGUCCCCUAAAUAUUCUCCCUUAAGGUUUAUAUGCUGUGCAUGUUGCCCGACAUUUUGCACAUUCACCUAAGCUCUAGCUAAGGCUGCCAGUCUAUCAGCCUCUUGCUAUUCUGCCAUUCUUUCUAUUUGUUGUGUUUCUAGAUUUAGUGGUAAUAAUGUUUCUCCGAAACUUCAAGUGCUUGGCAUACACUAUAAAAUCCUUCAAAUAAACAAAAACAACAAAUAAACAUAAAUCUAGGAAACUUAACUGACAGUCAAUUAGCGCAUACAAACUUCAGCUUACAAUCGUAUUCCCCGACAACGGCGCCAUUUUUGAUAAUGCUCAAAUUAAACUUUUGAAUGGGUGUAAGUGUUCAUUGUCAAUAUAAAACCCAACUAGGUUAGGGUCGAAUCCCACAGGGAGUAUGGUGUGAACUCAAGUUGUUUGCGGUUUAAUCCACUGAUAGUUUAAUAUUUCCUGAAAUGAAGGGUUUAGGUUUAACAAGUUGUUGUUUGUCACUUUACUUUCGGUGUUUGAAAAUAAAGAGUUUAUGAAAUAACAAGAAUUAUGUUCACCAGGGAUUCCGGUACAUGACAAAUGCUAAAACUGAUUCAAGAUUCUCACGGUGGGUAGGAUAACAAGCUAUAUUUAUCAAUGUUAUUCUUAAAUGUCUCUCGACCUACUCAAGCAUUUAAUUCCCUAAACCUCUCGAACUCAGGGAGUUUCUAUUUACUGCCCAAAUUUUACCUCAAGUUAACCAACCUUGUUACAGCGUUGAUUAUUAAAUGAAGUAUUUUCGAGUCCCUAUUGAUAAUUCACUUCCUACUAUAUUUUAUUUCUUUCUCAACAAAAUCAAAGCAAGUAUAUCUACUAUUUACAACCAAAAGGCUUUAAUUAAAACUUCAGAAUUAUCAAGAAAUCCUACCACCUUUUGAAUCUUGAAUACUUAGCACCUCAUCAAGACCUAAUUCUAGAUCCCAUAACUCAGGUUAAUAGAGUUUAGCCACUCAUGAUGUAACGAACAAAACACAUAAUUGAAUUCAUGAUUUGAAAGAUAAAUUUACAAAGAUGAAUAUUAACUAGUGAAUCACAGAUUAGAUCACAAAGGAAAAAUCCCAAAAUACUGAUAAUAAUCUCUCAAAAAUAAUUGUGUUGUUAAAGUUAAGAAGUAAAGAGAGAAAAUAUCAAAAUAUGUUGUCCAAAACUCAAGUUGUCGACCUUGUGUGGAAUAAUAUUGAUAAUAAAAACAAUAAUAAUUCUCCCUAGAAAACCCUAAAACAAAGCUUUAAAUAAUUUACCCUAAAUAAGGAAACAAAAUCAAGGUUACAGCUUUUUUUCAAAAUAGACUACGACUAUUGGUGAUGCCUUAUCAGGAUCCUGAUGACUUAUCAAGAAUUUCGUCAGGUCUUCUUCUAACCUACAUUUGUCCUAUCUUAGGUUGACGACUACUUUUGACGGCUUAUCAGGUAUGUGACGACUUAUCAGAAAUGUCAUCACACUUUUACUCUAAUUCUCAUGUACUGCCUAAGUCUGACGGCAUUCUUGACGACUUAGGCAUUCCUAAUGACUUAUCACCAUUAUGAUGGCCUAUCACAAAAUGUCAUUGAUUCUACCAGCUGGAACUCAUUCCCUAUUUAAGGCUGAUGACAAAUAUAAUAACUUAUUAGACCCUUGAUAGCUUGUCACAAAAUGUCAUCACAACUUCAACUUUAGGCCAAAUCUCUGUCUACAGAUGAUGACCAACUUGAUAGCUUAUCACAGGGCUGACGACUUAUCACAAAUGUCGUCAGCCACACUUGUCUUCAAAUUUUAUCAAAUUUCAACUUCUUUACUUCAUUUCAUGUUGGUUCUCUAUCAUAUCAUCUUAAACUACACAAUCAAACAUAAACUAAUCAAAAAUAACUAAAGUUUCUUGAGUCCUUUCAAUUUUUAGAGUUAAAAGCCUCAAAUGUGUUAGCAUACGCUCAUACAUCAACCAGGAAGUAUUGAGUCAGCUAGAAGUAAGGAGGCACCCACCUUUAACACCUGGCAAAGAGACAGGGGAAUCCCUACACUCUCCCAGUCCAAAGAGGAGAAUUAAAGCAGUACUAGUUGUACCAGUUUAAGCCCAGAUAAGGAGAGGGUCAAUAUAUCUAACCCCAACUCCGUUGAAGCAGAAACUUGACCUGUUGAAAUAAAUACUGAGGAGGAAAAUCUAAUUAAGAGCAAGGACCCUCAAAUGAGGAAAGAACUUAGGUGACAAAUCAAGGAUCAAAGGAUAAAUUGCUUAACGAAUUAGAGCCAACAGCAAGUAGGGCAAUCAAAAGGCCAUUUGCUAAAGAGUACCAGAUAGUGAAAAUAGAGUAGCAUGAAUAUCCUGAGCUAGAGCGUCAUUUCAAUAAGUAUGAAUUAUCCUGGAUGAGCAAGCAUCCCGGAUCAUAUUAGCCAAAUAUGGUAAGAUAGUUCUUUGCUAAUUAUUUGGUGUUGGCAGAAAAAGAUUAUCCAAAAGAUUUGAAGAUCCCAGAUUUUCCCAAUAGGUAUUCAGUCCCUAUCUGAGGUGUUAACAUCGAUAUAUCGUCUCGAACCAUCAACAGGAUAUUAUUUAGGCCUGACUAGGAAGUGCCACUUGUUGUUCCUGAUCUUGAGUACCGACUAACAUCUGUAUCUACUCAAAGACCUUGGUUGGCUGGGCUUCUGACUGCAACCAACCCACAUGAGCACAUUGCUAAGUCCUCUCUUAGCUUUAGAGCUAAGUUUUAUGGGUUGCUGUUAGAUUGACGUUGAUGCUAACCAGAGAUGAUGCAAAUUUAGAUACUUACAGUGUUAUUUUAGUGGAUAGUUUAAUUUUAGGGAUGAAGAUUGAUUUUGGCAAAAUAAUUAGUGAUGAACUAUUUGUGAGGGCGCAUAAAAUGGGAAGUACACUACCAUUCCCAUGUCUAAUCACAUAGUUAUGUAGGAAGGUGAAUAUGCCUUGAUUUGAGGUAUUGAUAAUAAAGUCUGAGCGACACAUUGGUAAGACAUUGAGAAAUCAAAAGAAUAUUCAAAGUUCAAGAUGUGGGUCACUAAACCUUCAGCCUAUCAAAUGCAAUCUUUGCCAGCCCCAGAUACUUCAGAAAUCCCCACACGUAUGUGGUUUCCCAUUGCCACUUAUGUGCUUCCUGGUUAUGUGCCACCAAGUACUUCUGCAGGAUUAGGGUCUGUACCAUCAAUGGGUAGGGCAGAUUAUACAGAAUAUAGGUUGAUGCAGGAGAAUUUCACCAAAUUGGUGAAGUUGCAAAAGAAAUUUCAGAAACAACUGGACAUGUGGGCUUCACAAUUUGAACCUUUUAUUGAUCAAAUUAUGGCAGAAUAAUUCCAUCCAUUCUUAAACAUUCAGCUGAGGAUGGAUCACAUGGAAGAAUGUAUUAACAAGAGGUUGGAUGAAAUAUCCAUUCAAGAUCUGGUCAAGUUCAUGGUGGAGUUUAAAUAGGCACAGGCUGACAUAGCAGAAUUGAAAAACAAACAGACUCAGCAGCCCAUCUUUGACCCAUUCCUAGUGAGAAGUGAUGAAGAUAAGGGAAUUAUUGAUUUGAUGGGAAAGCCACUGAAAGACAAAGGAAAAAACCAAAUUGAUGAAACUGUAGAAAAGAAAGCUACAAGAAGAAGAAAAAGAGAAGCAAUGACACCUAAAGAGAGAGAGAAGUAUGAUAUAAGGAAAGCUUCAAAACGAUCAAGAAAAGACAAGGAGAGAAGAUAGAAGAAGGCAGCAGAUGAAGCUACAAGAUUUUCUAUGAGUUCUACCCCAGCUAGGGGGCCCAGAUCAGACCCAACUCGGGUCAUACCUCCAAUUCUGAAGGAUAAGAUUAUGAGUACCCCUACCACCAUAGGGGUAAAUAUUAUAUCAGGUGAGGACACUGGAUCCUCACUAUAUUUCACAGAUGCCUCAGAUUAAUUAGAGGCAUUACAAGUAUUUCCCCUCCUCUAUUCUUUAUUUUUAUGCAUUGAGGACAAAGCAUAUGUUUUUUGUAGGGGUGAGGUGUACUUGUACCACAGGGUUUUUUGUUGCCGAUGUUCUUUUCAUCCUGUGUGCUAUCUAGUAAAACUGGCAUGUCUAGGAGUGGAUUUUAUUUUCUUAGGUUGCUAUGUAAAUAUAUGUUUGUUAAUAUUUAUUUAUAAAAGUGUCUUUUUUUUUCAGUAUCUUUUUGUAUAUAUGAAUGAUAAAUGAUAUGGCACAAAACUUUGAACAUGUUGUGUAACUAUUUCUCUUUAUCAUUUAGUGUAUAUUGAAUAACAUUGGUGAUUCUAUAGUUGGCAUUUACAUAGAAAAUAUUCAUUAUCAUGUGAUGAAAAAAUAAAGAGCAGUAGAAAAAAUUUGACUCAGUUGCCUGUGUGUGCGAGUGGUUGUGUUAGUUCUUGCAUAGUGUAAUACCUAAAACUUGCCCAGGUCAUUGAUGUUGUCUUGUGGUUGAUUCAAUGAGAUAGGAUAGUAGGCCUCCUUGUACAUUCAGUCCAUUUAGCCAAAAUAAUUAACCCCACUAAAAAGAUUUUUUACAUUUUUGAACCUUUUUUGAGCUUAUAUUACUUUUAUUCAUCACCAAUAACUCUAAUUAACUCUCUUAAGGUUGUUCACACCUAACUCUAGCCUGGUCCAAUAGUUGACAUUGUGCAUGUUAACUUAGGGAAAACACCUGAGUUUAGGGUGACUAUUGUCAAGAUGUUAGCCGGCUAACAGAAAGUUGAUUUAGAGCUUAGUUUUAAGCAUUCGGCUCAGACCUAUUCAUGGUAUUAUACACCUUAACUGACUGUAUCAGCAUAAGUUAAGGGUGGGUGAUGCUUAUACAUAAAAAAAAAAGAAACAAGGUAGGGAAGAUAGUGGUAAAGUAUGAGUGAAUAAUAAGGAUUGUAAGUGAGCUGGUAAAGCAGUAGCCUUGGUGAGUACAAUUCACGGGCAAGGAGAGUUAAAGUGUGAAAGUUGAGUCAGUUUUCCCAAAAAUUGUCCUCACCUAACCCCGAGCCUCAUUAAAAUCCUAAAAAAACCUGUUUGAUCUUGGCAAAUCAACCAAAAGGAGGCAUUAGAUGAUAAGGUAAAGCCUAUGGGUAUGUAGAGUAUGUUUGUAACUUCUUUGUUGAGCGUUAGAGUCUUGAUUGUAUCCACAAGAUAUAAUGAGUGGUGGACUUUAUUGGCUAUGAGGGCAAUUUGAGUUACACUUAAUUUUGUUAGUCUCUGUAGGAUACAAUGUCCAUGAUUAUGUGUGUAUACUGAAUUUGAAACAAUGCCAGUUAUAGAUCCUCAUGUGUUAAGCACAUAUGAGUGGGAUGACAAGUGAAUGGUUGUGUAAACUUUAGUUCAAUAGUUGAUUGCAUGUCAUUGUGUUAUUUAUGUGUGCAAGUUGGUGUUGAGUUGCUUGAAGACAAGCAAUUGUCUUAACUUGAGGGUGUUGAUGUUCCUAUUGAAUCAACCAUAAGACAACAUCAAUGACCUAGACAAGUUCUAGGUAUUACACUAUGCAAGAACUAACACAAGCACUCGCACACACAGGCAAUUGAUUCAAACUUAUUCUACUGCUCUUGGGAUUUUUAUCACGUGAUCAUGCAUAUUUUCUAUGUAAAUGCGAACUACAAAAUCACCAAUGAUUGUUCAACAUGCACUAAGUGACAUAGAGAAAUAGUCACACAACAUGGUCAGAGUCUUGUGCCAUAUCAUUUAUCAUUCAUAUAUACAAAAAGAUAUUGAAAUAAAAGACAUUUUUAUAAAUUAACAUUAACAAACAAAUAUUUACAUCACAACCUAAGAAAACAAAAUGCACUCCUAGAUAUGCCUAUUCUACUAGAUAGCACAUGGAAGGAAAAGAACAUUGGCAAAAAAAAAACCCUGUGGUACAAGUACACCCAAACCCCACAUAAAACAUAUUCUUUAUGCAUAAAAAUAAAGUACAGAGAAUGGGAAUACUUGAAAUUCCUCUUAUUCAUUUGAGGCGUCUGUGAAAUAUGGUGAGGCUCCAGUCUACUCACCUGCUGCAAUGUUGACCCCUAUGGUGGUAUGGGUACUCAUAAUUUCAUCCUUCGGAAUUUGAUGUAUCACCCGAGUUGGGUCUGAACUGGGCCCCCUUGCUGGGGCAGAACUCAUAGAAACUUCUGUGGCUUCAUCUGCUGCUUUCUUCUGUCUUCAGUCCAUAUCUCUCCUAAAUAUUUUUGAAGAUUUCCUUAUAUCAUACUUCUCUCUCCCUUUAAGUGUCAUUGCUUCUCUAUUUCUUCUUUUUGUAGCUUUCCUUUUUGUACCUUUAUCAACUUCCUUUUUUCUUUUGUCUUUCAGUGGGUUUCCCAUCAAAUCAAUAAUUUCUUAAUCUUUAUCACUUAUCACCAGGAGUAGGUCAAAGACUGGCUGCUGAAAUUGUUUAUUUUUUAAUUUUGCUAUGUCAUCGUGUGCCUAUUUAAACUCCACCAUGAACUUGGAUAGAUCUGGAAUGGAAAUUUCAUCCAACCUUUUGUUAAUACAUUCUUCCAUGUGAUACAUUCUAAGCUAAAUAUUUUGGAAUGGAUGAAUUUCUUCUUCCAUAAUUUGAUCAACAAAAGGUUUGAACUGUGAAGCCCACGUGUCCAGUUGCUUAUGAAAUUUUUUUUGCAACUUCACUGACUUGGCAAAAUUCUCCUGCGUCAACCUAUAUUCUGCAUAAUCUGCCCCACCCAUUCGUAGUGCAGACCCUGACUCUGCAGAUGUACUUGGUGGCACAUAAUUAGGCGGAACAUAAGUAGCGAUGGGCAAUGGCAUACCUAUGGAAAUUUCUAAAGUAUUUAGGGCUGGCAUAGAUUGCGUAUGAUAGGCUAGAGGUUUAGUGUCCCACAUCUCGAACUUUGACUCAUCUUUUGAUUUCUCAUUAUAUUGCCUAUGUGUUACCCAUACUUUAUUAUCAAUACCUCAAAUCAAGGGCACAUUUGCCUGCCUGCAUAACUCCUUGAUUAGAUAAGGGAACGGUAGUGCACUUUCCACUUUAUGCACCCUCAUAAAUAGUUCAUCAGUAAUUAUUUGGCUUAAAUCAAUCUUCAUCCCUGAAAUUAAACUAUCCACUAACACAGCCCUCUGACUGUCUAAAUUUGCAUCACCUUCGAUUGGUAUCAACCUCAAUCUAACAAUAGCCCACCAAAACAUAGCUCUGAAGAUAAGGGAGGACUUAGCAAUGCACUCAUGUGGGUUGGUUUCCCAUGAGAGGUUACCAUCAUCAGUCAGUAGCCCAGCCAACCAAGGUCUCUAAGUAAAAGAAGAUGUUAGCCGGUACUCAAGAUUAGGAACAGCAGGUGGCGCUUCAUAGUCAGGCCUAAAUAGCAUCCUAUUGAAGGUUUGAGUUGAUAUAUUGAUUUUAACUUCUCGGACUGGGACUGACUCUCUAUUGGGAAAAUCUGAGAUCUUUGAACCUUUUGGAUAAUUCUUUUCUGCCAACACUAAAUAAUUAGCAAAGAACUACCUUACCAAAUUCAGUUGAUAUGAUCCGGGAGGCUUGCUCAUCUAGGCCAAUUCAUACUUACUUAAAUGAUGCUCUAGCUUGGGAUAUUCAUGCAACUCCAUUGUCACUAUUUGGUACUUUUUAGCGAAUGGCCUUUUGAUUGCCCUUCUUGCUGUCAGCUCUAAUCAAUCAAGGAAUUUAUCCUUUGAUCCCUCAAUUUGCCACCGAAUUGCUUCCCUCAUUUGAGGGUCCUUGCUCUUAAUUGUAUUUGUUUCCUCAGUAUCCAUUUCAACAGGGCCAUUUUCAAUUUCAACGGGGUUAGGGUUAGAUGUAUUGACCUCUUUCUUAUCCGAGCUCGAACUGGUUCUACUAGUCCUGCUCUCACUCUUCUCUUCAGACUGGGAAAGUAUACGGAUUACCUUAUUUCUUUGUCGGAUGUAUAAGCCAGGUGCCUUCUCAGUUUUAGCUGGCUCAAUUCUUUCUCGUGCUCUACCCUCACCUCUGGUCAAAGGGAGUUUACGUGAUGCCUAAAAAAGAUUCCAGGAAUUAGUUUGCAGAUCAAACUGAUUGAAAACAACUAAAAAUAUGGCUAGACGAUCAACUUGGAAGCUUGUCACUGUCCCGAUGGUCCGUUGCGUAGACCGCCGCUUGAUCUUCUGAAAUCCUAUGUUCUGGUUAACCUUGAAGGCCAAGUUGGCAGUCCAUCGAAAGGUUGAUGGUUUUUCCACUUAGACUGUAACAUGAGUUCUUCACUAGAUUCAUUUGUUUAGCUCUGACGGUUACCCCGGCGGUCUGUCGUAUGGCUGAAGGUCCACCGUUUGGCUGUCAAUGACCUUUUUCUUCUAGUUUUCCAAGUUUUAUCCUUCAACUAACUCCUUACCCUUAAACACUAAAAUUCAGUAUUAAAUACAACAUCAAUUUCUUGAAAUCAUACAAUUAUCCUUUAAAAAAGAUGUAAAAUGUUCCGUCAAAAGUUGGAACAUCAUAUACUAUUAAUAUAACAUCCCAAACUCCGUUUUAACCAUCUUGAAACAUCUUGGAACACCCUAUAUCAAUUGGAACAUCACUGGACGCUACCACAACAUCUUUUUAGGUUUUAUCAUUCUUUAAUUUAGUUUUUUAUGGUUUGUAUCAUCACUCCAAGGGAUUGGAUGAGGAAUAUUUCCAUUCAACGCUAAACUACUUUUAGGAUUAAAGCCAAAAAUAUGAUUAUUAUUGUUUUGGAUUAAUUUUGUUUAAUCCACUUAUCAUUAUUGGUUGUUUGUUUAUUCUUGAUGUAAUUAUUUUGGGGAUUGAUCAUCCUUAGAAUACAUAUAUUGGCGACGUUUUUAUCUCAGAAGAGGUAAUAAGGAGAUAGAACAAGGGAAUAAAUAAAGUAUGGUUCUUAUUUCUUUAUAAAAUAAGGAAUUCAAAUUAGCAUUUAGGACAGGGAUGUACUUAGAUGCCUUACUUGAUUCAACGUAGGAUGAUUUCUUUAAAACACUUGAUUGGAUUAUUACAUCCCCGCUCAACGAUGUAGUUGUAAGCUCCAAGUUAGGUAAAUGGUUAGUGGUUGGGAGACCAUGAUCAUGCAAUUAACCCUAUGAAUCAAUAACCAAGAUAAGCAAAUUAACAAAUGAAGUCCAAUAAUGUAGUAUAUGAUUGUUCUAAGUGCUUUAACCCUUGGGAUUUACUCCAUUGAUUGUUCCAAGACUUUUUCUUUACGCAUUCUUUACUUUAAUUUUUAGUUUGCAAUUCCAAAACUUUAUUGUCUACUUUUGCUCAAUUGUUAAACUAGAAUUGGAUAGUUGGCAAAACUAUGUACCUGUGGGAUCAAUAUUCGACUUUAUUAAAGGCCCCUUUACUUUUUGGUACCGUUGCCGGGGACUUGAAUUGACAACUAUCUUAUUUUUAGUUUUUCUAUAUUGAGUUGCAAAAUAGUUUUUGUUUUUUUAGUUUCUUUUUAUUUUUCUUUAUUUAUAUUUUUCUCAUAGUCUUCUUGAGAUAUCAGUCUUGGAUAGAUGGUUUUUUAGGGUUGAUGAUUCUUGUUACAGUAUAUAUCACUCUGCAGAUAUGUGUAGUUUUAAUAUUGAUUCAGUCAUGUUUAAGGGAGAUGCUCAAAAGACAACAAAGGAGGUUUAGGAGAUACCAUCACCACCAUGUCUGUAAAUUCUAACAGAAGAAAAAUAUGCGGAGGAUACUAGCCCAUUUAUAGAGCAAACACAAGAAUCAUAGCCACUCAACUAUCAUCUUUCUUUUGAGACUAAAAAUAAGAAGGUGAACAAAUGUGAGUGUAGUAGGUUGUGUAGAUUUUGAAGUGGGAUUAGUUGGGUCUCACUCAAAGCACUUUUCUACAUUAUAUUUAGAUGAUGUCUUGUCUAUGGAAUCAUUUAAAGUAGUGGAAGAGUAUGAAGAUGAGGAACAAGAAUCCUAUAUUCUUAAUUUUACACCGGAUAAGCAACAUAAAAACACACCUCACUUCAAGGCCAGGUGAUUUACCAUGAAUCAUCCAUUACUCAAUUCCUUAAUUUGUGUACCACCUCCUUAUGAUCGAGGCAAAAAGAUGGAUGCGAUGUUGGGGGUGAAAUUCAUAUCCUUAAGGUGGAGAAAAAAGUUGGUGUGGGUCAUGUCGCGACACUAAAUCAGGCGCUUCUUGGAAGGCAACCCAAGCUAAGGUAUGUUUUCUUUUUAGUUUUUGGUUUUUCAUUUUCACAUAGUUUUUUUUGUUUUUGUUUGAGUCGCGGGUUAAUGGGAAGUCUGAGUGCCGAAAACUUGAGCUAAGGAGCAUGGCAAAGACUAAGUGUGGGGUCCCCUAGACCUCUUUAUGCUAAAGAUGCUACUAGCUAGGCCUAGAGGCCUCAGAAAGUAUUUCUAUCGCUUACUUUUAAGUUCACUUUGGGGACAAAGUAGAUUUUUAAGCGUGGGGUUGGGAAAUUCUUAAUUUUUGCUUAAUUUAAAAAAUUUUAGGUUAGGAAUAAGUGAGAUAUUCUUGUUGGUGCUAUUUUUGAUUGUAUGGUUCAAGUGUUUUUUUAAAAAAAAGAAUAUUGAAUGAGUAAAUUGCUACUUUUGGGACUCUUAAGCUCAAGUUUUUGACUCUUGUAAUUUUUGGAUUCAAUUUGAAUUGAUGCUAUCAUUUGGUUGGGAGUCUAUGAUAAUCCUAUGUGAGUUGAGCAUGUGCCAUAUGCGUGUGAGAUUUUUGUAUUUUCCUUGUUGCAUAUGAUACUGGAACUUGCCCGUUGUGUGUGUAAAGAAAAAUAAAGAGUGUUGGUUUAGGAGAUAAUAUACGCAUUUCUUUGAUAGCCUUGUUUUAUACCUUCUAUUUGUCCUACCCUUUGUGCAUUAUCCUAGUUAACCCUCAUUGAGCCCUUAACGUUUUCUUUGGUAGCCUCAUAUGUAGCCUAAUCCCCUUCUUUGAUAGUCCAUAAUUUGAUCCAAAAAGCUCUUAAGUUCUUUAAUAAAAAAUUGAUUUAGUAAGAAGUUUGAUAAAUUGAAGAAGAAAAAGGUGAAAUUGAUGCCCCAAGGUAAUAGUUAUUGAUUCUUAUAUUUGUUGUAUGGUGGUUGGGAGUGAUAUAAAUGGUUUUAGAAAUAUUCCAAUUGUUGUACAAAAAGAAAAAAAUUGAAUCUUGAAGGAAUAAACAAUACACCCAUCAUGUAUUUAUGAAAAUGCUUAAAACAGAUAGGGCAAAAUAAAAGUGAUGGGUAGAUGGAAAAAGUGUAAUAUGGUUGUUGAAGAUUGAUUUUAAAUGUAUAAUAUAGUGAAUGAAAGCGCUUAGAGAGGUUAGUCACUAUUCCCAAAUAGUUCCUACCCAUCCCUUAGCCUACAUUACAACUCGAAAAAGACCUAUUUGAUCCUAAAUUCAACAUUCCAAUAUUAGUGGAGUACUACACUAAGGGCAAGCCUAUGGUUCAUCUAGUGUAAUUAGUGAAUUCUUUGUGAGAGUGAGUGUAACUUGAUCCUUGUACCCAAUGUAUAAAUUGCAUUAUUGUGAGUGAUUAUGGGUAACUCUCUUGUUGUGAGGGCACAUAUUUGAUGAAUAUGGGUGAUUCGUGUGAUGUCUUUGAUUGAUAAAUAUGCAUGAGUUUGUCACUUGUGGAGUCAAUUCUUGAGGCAAGGAUAUUUUGAAGUAGGAUUCUUAAGCUUUCAAUUGUGUAUGUAACGUGCUAGUGUAGAAACUUGCAUUCUGUGUCUUCACUAGCUUGAGUGUCUUGAUUUUAGUAGAAGUGUGGAGUCUACUCAGUUCAUGAUGCGUAUAUUUAAAAGUUGUUCGAGUACGAACAAGGCUUUAAGUGUGGGGUGGUGACGUUGAGCGAAUUUAUGCAUUCUAGUGUUACUAUUCUAGCCUUUUUAGCCUUGUUUUGAGGAUAAUUCAUGUGCUUAAUGUGUUGAUAAUAAAAUAAAUGUACAUCUAAGUGUCCAAGUAUGUGUUUACAAUGUUCAAUGGUGUUUUCACAUGAUUUUUUAUUCAAUUGGAACGUCAUUAAAGGCUACCACAACUUUCUUUUAGGUUUUAUCAUUCUUCAAUUUAGUUUUUUAAUAGUUUUUAUCAUCACUCCAAGGUAUUGGAUGAUGAGUAUUUCCAUUCAAGGCUAAACCCUCUUUCCCGGGUUAAAGCCAAGAAGCCAAGAACAUGAUUAUUAUUGUUUUGGAUUAAUUUCAUUUAAUUCGCUUAUCAUUAUUGGUUGUUUGUUUAUUCUUGAUUUAAUUAUUUGGAGGAUUGAUUACUCUUAGAAUACAUAUAUUGUUAACCUUUUUAUCUCGGGAGAGGAAAUAUGGAGAUAGAAUAAGGGAGUAAACAAAGUAUGGUUCUUAUUUCUUUAUAAAAUAAGGAAUUCAAAUUAGCGUCUAGGACAGGGAUGUACUUGGAUGCCUUACUUGAUUCAACGUAGGAUAAUAGCUUUAAAACACUUAAUUGGAUUCCAACAUCACCACUCAAUGAUGUAGUUGUAAGGUCCAAUUUAGGUAAAUGAUUAGUGGUCGGGAGACCAUGAUCAUGCAAUUAACCCUACGAUGAACAACCAAGAUAAGUGAAUUAACGAAUGAAGUCCAAUAAUGUAGUAUGAUUGUUUUAAGUGCUUUAACCCUUGGGAUUUACUCCAUUGAUCAUUCCAAGACUUUUUCUUUACACAUUCUUUACUUUAAUUUUUAUUUUAUAAUUUCAAAACUUUAUUGUUUACUUUUUCUCAAUCGUUAAACUAGAAUUGGAUAGUUAGUGAAACUAAGUCCUUGUGGGAUCGAUAUUUGGCUUUCUUGAAGGGCACUUUACUACUUGGGAGACCAUGUACAAUUGUGUGUUUGCUUGGCACUGUCAAGUUUUUUAACCACCAAGACCUUCCAUUUAAACAUUCCAAUCUAUUUAAACCAUUUAUACCAUCAGGGUUCCAUUACAAAGUUAUACCAUGCAAUAGUUCAAUGAAAGUUCAACCAUUUAACCAAAAACAUUCUCAUAGGCAUUUUAUCAAACAUUUUGGGGCCAUAGUGUUUCAAAAGCCAAAACCAUAUACCAAUAGACCCUUCCCACGCAACCAAAUGUUCAAACCACAAUAAUAAUAGGAAAACCAUAAGUAAAAUAUAUAGGCAAACUAUAACCAACCAUUGUAACCAAAACCCCCAUCAUAUAAUUGGAAACCCAAAACCAUACAAUAAUUCUACCAAGAAAAUAAUUCAUAUAACAUGCCUUUAGUUGGAACUAACAAUGAUAAAGUUGUAUCAUGCCUUAGAUUGAGAAGACGAUGAGAAUAAAUCACCCUUAUGAGCCUAAAUUGACCACCUUGAUGGAAACCCUAGCCUUCCUUGACCCAAGAGUCUUUAAGAUAGUUUGAGAGUGUUUUAAGAGAGUUUGAGUGAUCGAAAAUUGGUUAAAUGAUGUCCCAAGAGUGAUAUAAGUAAUGGGUCCUUUAGAGUUUAAGAGUGGUAAUUUCUUGAUUAUUCCUAACUUAAAAUGCAUAAAAUUCCUAGAGGAUGGUAUGACUCCACCAUACAACCCGUACCCUAUCAUACAAGUGGUACCCACCUCCCGUACCCUAGGCAUCCCUUGGACCCCCAACCCUAACUAACAUAGAACCACCAAGCCCCAAUCGUACCCAAGCAUACGACAAGAAUCCUUAACCCGUCCCUUAGGCAGAACCAAGAGGGACAACAUAUGAAUUAAACAAUUCCACUUGUACCCUAUCUAAUGACUUAUGGCAAGCCAAACCUAUGACCUGUCACCCACUAUACGACUUAUAGCCACACAAGUCAUACCCAUUCCAAAAACUAAACCACCCAACACUAAUAACAUACGACUGGGUCUCCUGACCCAUACCCUCACCAUAUGACUAGUAUGGUGAGUCGUAUGAUGUCCAAAAAGUCCAAAACCCAGGAAAUUUCUAAGGACUGACACCCAGGAUGUUUCAAACUAAGUCAAUCUAUGGACUACAAGUAGGACCUAGAGACCGCAGGUAGGCAAUGCAAGUGCAUAAAUUCCAAAUUUUUGAGAGCUAAACUUGUGUAAUGCCCCGCAAAAUCCUCUUCCAGUCUGAGCCUUAGAGCGUAUUUGGUAAAGGAAAAAUCCAAGUCAAAAUGUUUCAGAAAUAUCCUCCCAAGUAUGAAAUACUUUGAAUCUUGUGGGAAUCUAUUUGAGCAUUAAUGAAGAUCAUAGAGGUUCCCUAACUCAUGAACGAGUUGAAAACUUUCCUAUCGUUCAAGUUUUAGUAACCGUCAAAUUUGGGUCAACUUAAAUCAAUGAUAACUCAUUGUAUAUAAAAAACUGGGUGGAUUUAUAUAUAUCAAAUGAAAUAUCUUUGAAUUAUAUUUCCAACAAUACCAAUUUUGCCUAAAUCCGAUAUCGGAGCAAAGAGUUAUACUCAUUUUACUCCGGCAUGUCAAGCUGGAAAACGAUGACGAUGUUUUUGAGGGGCUAUCAUGUUUCUGACGGCCUUUUUGAUGACGUCGUCAUAUUCUGACGAAAUUUAUGAUGACGUCGUCAGCCCUGAGAAGAAAAUCACGAAUUUGGACCCUUUUUGUGACAACUAUUCGUGACGGCCUAUCACGAACCUGACGGCCUGUCACAGAUGACGUUAAGUGUAUUUUUCCAGCAAUUCAAGGGCAUUUUUGCAAGGAUAAUUUGGACAUUUUCCACCUUUUUUGAGCCUCUAUAAUUAUGAGGAAGCCUCAUUCAAACCCUAAUUCCAUCAUUUUCUUUACAAAUUCUCUCUAGAAUAUCUAGGGUUUCAUUCAAGAACCCUAAUCUUCAAAAAUUCAUCCAUAAAUUCGUCAAGGUUUCUUCAAGAAUCAAGUUCCUCAUAGUGUGGGCUUCAAGAAUUUAUUUAUUUCAAGUGUGGAUAAAUUUUCAAGCAGUAAAUUUCAUCCAAUUUCAAAGGUUAAGGUAUGUAGAUGUUGAUUCUUGGGUCCCUUUCAUCCAAGAAGCUCAAGAACUUUUUUCAAAACUAAAAGAUUUUUAUGUUUAUGAGUUGUAAAUGAUUUGUAUGAUUUGAAAUGGAUGUUUAAUGUGUUGUUGAGUUUUGAUUUAUGUUUGCCUACAAAAUUUAUGAGGUUUGACCCUAGUAUGUGGAAUUCAUGGGAUGUUUGUGAUAGACCCUCUUGAAGUUGUUUUCCAUGUGAUGUGUUCAUGACUUUUGGGUGUAAAAUGGUUGAAUAAGUGAAGAACGUUCCCCAUAGUUUUGAUAAAGAACUUAGAUGAAGCAUAAGGGCCACUAUAGUAUAUUGAAUAGGAAACCCCAAAUUGUGAGCUAGUCCAUGCAUGCCUAGUGUUUGAUAAAAUGCCUCAGUGAGUGAAAUGUGCCAAGAUAGCAUGAAAUCCCCAAGUAGGUGUAAAAUCGGUUGUGUCUAGUGGUUGUUGAAAGACCCUAGUGAACAAGUUGAGAUAUGAUGGUUGUAAAUUCCCUGAUUUUUUGCUCUUUGAUAUAUGCUAAGCUUUUAAUAUAUGUCAAGUAGUUAGCAAGUAAAUAGUGACGUGUUAGUAUGAACUUUCCCCCAAAUCAAGUGAUAUCCAAAUACAUGACAAGACCGAUAUAGGUAUGAAGUACUUGAUGUAAGAUCUCGUUGAAUGGGGUAUAAUCAAAUAGCAUAUCUUCCUUAGUCUAGAAUAUAAUGGUGAACCGAUGUUGAUAAACCUUAAAGGUUUGGAGUGACCCUUUUGCGGCUAUGAUGAUGAAUAGAGGUCUAUUUUUCUAAAUGCUUAAUGUGAUGUCCUAAGGAUCUUGAGAGGGAAAGUAUGUUAUGAUACCCAACUACUUAAAGUGAUGAUUUAACAAUUGUGAUAAUACAUGAAUGAUUGUAAUGAUGAAUGAAUGCUUGUAAUGAUGAAUGAAUGAUUGUAGUGAUGAAUAGAUAACCAUGAUGAUGCAUGUGAUUUAUGAUGAAGAAUGAUUAUGUCUUACUUUUAUGUUAUCGAGUUCUGGUGGUAUUUAUACCCAAAAAUAAAGUUGUUAUCUAGAGCCCGUGUCAGUUUCUCGAUAAUUCCAAUCGAGCCAUAAUUUUUAGAACUCAAUGAACUAUGGAACUCUAUAUCCUUAGACAAGUGCGAAGCUUAAUAAAGCUCAGUAAUCUCAAUUAUCUCUGUAAUCUCUAUAUUGUUAGUAAUCUAGCCACAGACCUAUAAUCAGCUCAGUUGUAAUAGUAUUCAAGUGAUUCAAUCCUAAUCUCAUAAGUGAUUUGAGUAAUCUAUUCAUGCUCUGUAUCAGCAGUCAGAUACCAUGAUUCGAUAUCUUUUCCGUCAGAUACAGAACCAAGUCAGACCAUUUGAGUAAUAUGAUUAGUGUCAAAUUCAGUUCAGCCAGUAUUCAGUUGAAAAUUCAGUUCUGAGUCUUUUAGUUAGGAGUAGAAACUAGCACUGAGCAAGGUCAAGAAUGGGGACUCACCUACUAGUAGAGGGUAUGAUUCUUAGAAGCAAUCCUUGUGCUCCAGAACUAAGUAACCAGCGUAGGUUGAGACAUCACAUUUGUUAGUUGAGGGUGGAUGAGAGACAUCAUACCUACUAGAUGAGGGUAGAUGAAGUGUCUUGACUUACUAGAUGAGGGCUCCACCGUUCUUGUUUGAUAACUUACUAGAUGAGGGUCACAUAGAGUUGUCUUUACCAGUGGCGCAGUAAUGACACCCUUCCAACUGGGGCACAAGUUGCACCCCACAUGUGGUAGGUCGAGGAAUGUCGAUUAAGUGACUAAUUCCCAUAGUUUCAGUUUCAGAUUCAGUCUCAGUUUCAAAAUCAAUCUUCAAAAAUUAGGACUGUCAGAUACAGUCAUCUAUCAUUGUGAGGAACUCAGAUAGUUUCAUUAAUUUAUGGGCCAUCCCAUUAGAUAGACUUGGUCUCACAUAUAGUUAUUUGAUAUUAUAUUCAGAGAUAUGCUGUUAGACAGGCUUGAUCACAGUAUCAGAUAUAAUCAUAUUUCUUAUCAUUGAUAAAGCUUCCAAAAUCAUCUAUUAUAAAGGUUGAUCUCUAAUCCUGUUAGUCGAAAGCAGUAAUUCCAAGAAUUCAGUCAUUGAUGUAAGCACAUCCAGAUCCUCAGUUAUCAAUAUCAGAUGAGUCAAUAAUUCAGUAUCUCAGUGUCAGUAGUGAAUUCAGUCUGUAGUAAAGUGGUAUCUGAGUUUCAGUAUCUAGAGUUGUGAUAAUUGUGUUCAUGUUCUGUGCAUUUAUGUAUGUAUUCUCAUGCGGCAUUUUCAUGAUUAUUCAGUUUAGAUAUUGUGCAUGCAUAAACCCUUGCAUUAGAAUACCCCGUCUACAUACUCGAUACAUUUUUGUACUGACGCAUUUGUGCUAUGGUGUUUUAUUUGACACUAUCGGUUCAGAGGCACAGGGUCUAGUUUAUCCUCAGCAGUUUGGUCCCAGUCAGCAGCAGUAUCAGUGAGUCCUCUUCUUUCGAGGACAAGUCUCAGUUUACUACUAUUGUUUCAGAUUUUGUUUAUUUUCUAUUGACGGAGUUAGUUGCGGACAUAUCCCAUCAACUACACAGUUCAGAUAGUUAGAGGCUUUUCAGACGAAUGUAUUAGUAUUCAGUUUUCAGUUUUGAGUAUGUAUAGAUGUGUUGAACCUUAUGGCAAGUUUCUGCAUUUUUUUCCAAAUAUUAUGUAGUGUAUAGGUAUAGAUAUCAGAAAAGGGUUAGCUUGUGGUCCUUUGGGUCCAUAAGCACCGUGUGUCAUCUCGGGAUGGGAUCUCAGGGCGUUACAACUUACAGGAAGUUUUUACCCACUAUUUGCGCCCUCUACCUACACCUAGGGUCAGGACCAUAGUUAAUACCUACUCUCGGGGUCUAAGCAUAGGUACAGACCACAUGUAGCCACCAUUCUAGUUUUCUCCUAUUUCAUUUGAGCUUUAGUUUUAGGGUUUUCUCUUGUACUAUAAAUACACUUUAUGUGUUUUUCAGUAGAAGUUAUGCACUUUUGAUACUAACAAACAUAUUUUGAUUCCAAUAUCAAAUUUUGAUCUUAGGAUUUGCUUUUAUUAACUUUAGUUAAUUAAUUCUAUUACGGUAAUGGGUUCAUUAUGAUUUCAUCUUGGCUUUCAGUUAUGAAUGUUAUUGAUUUUUUCACAAGCAUGAGCGGCUAAAACCCAUAGCUAGGGUUGUCAAAACCCGAGCAGAUUGAUGAAGUAGGAGAUGUGCGAUUGUUUAAUUGAACUAAUACCCAUGCAUGUAUUGCUUUAUCUUCAUUAUAAUAGAUUUAUUAAUGGGUGGACACAUUAGAAUCCUGCCUAGAUGUUGUUGCUUACUACAAAAGAGGAGUUGUGACUAGGAAAAGAUAAAGACAAAAGUUAGUUGGAGUUUAACUGUCAAUCCAUACUUCUAGGUUCAAUCUUAAAAGGAAGGUUAGGUUUCACCUAAUAACUAGAGACUUAAAAGGUAGUUAACUAUGAUCAAGAUAAGGGUUAUUAGCGCCACAUCUUGAGACUUAAAAGGUAGAGGGUGAAAUCCUUCUGCUCAUCCAAAAAAUUGUAGAAAGUAGAUAACUUUUUCAUUUUGCAUGGAAGGUAUUGGUUUGGUUCAGCAAAGCACAAUAAGCAUACAGAGCUGAGAAGCCAAGGGGAAUACAAUCCAAGUAUUCACCUACACUGAUACAACCAAAAUUAAUAUAGUUACUUUCUCCAAAUUACUACAUCAAAACCCUCAUUUACUUUUCUUGCUCUUCCCAUUGACUACAACUGUUGAGAUCUACAAUUCCACGUGUUCCCUUGUGAUUUUCCCCAACCUUUGUUGGGUUACUAUAUUUUCACAGCGAUCGUAUCAUCAUAUAAGAGCAAGUGUUGUUUGGACAUCAUCAACAAGCUCCUUCUUAUCCUCCUCAACAUGUGCAACACUUUUCAUAGAUAAUCUACUAAGGGCAUCGGUCACUACAUUGGUCUUACCCAGGUGAUAAAACAUACUCAUAUCAUAAUCUUUCAAUUGUUCAAACCACCUUAUCAAACAAUGAUUCAGAUCAGUCUAAGUGAAUAAAAACUGUAAAAUCUUGUGAUCCAUCAAUGCAUCAACAUGAACCCCAUAAAGAUAAUUCAUCUAAAUUUGUAAGGAAAAGACAACUGUUGCAUACUCAAGUUCAUAAGUUGGGUAAUUCUUUUCAUGAGGUUUGAGCUUCCUAUAGGAAUAGGCUAUGGCCUUACCUUAGUACAUUAACACACAACCAAGACUAACUCUAAAAGAAUCAUAAUAAACUACAAACCCAUUUGAACCCUUUGGUAGAGUUAAUAUUGGUGGGGAAGUGAGGCGAGUAUUUAACUCCUGAAAACUUUUCUCACAGAAAUCAGACCACUGAAUUUGGACUUUUUUGGGUUAGUUGAGAUAUGGAAGAAGCAAUAUAAGAAAAUCCUUCAACAAACUAUUUAUAAUAACAGUCUAAACCCAAGAAACUCCUGAUAUUUGAUGAAGAGAUAGGCCUAGGCUAAUUUCUUACUACUUUAGUCUUUUGAGGAUCAACUAAAAUGCCUGCACUGAAAAUGAUCUGACCAAGGAAAGCUAUUGAUCUCUACCAUAAUUUACACUUUCUAAACUUAGCAAAUAAUUGGUGAUCUUUAAGGGUCUUCAAUACAAUCCUUGAAUGGUCUGCAUGAUCAAAUUCACUACAAGAAUAGACGAGGAUGUCAUCUAUGAAGACUAUGAUGAGCAUGUCCAAGUACUGCUUGAAAACCAUGUUCAACAAGUCCAUAAAAGUUCUAGGAGAAUUCGUUAGUCCAAAAGACAUAACUAGAAAUUCUAACUGACCAUAUUGAGUUUUGAAGGUUCUCAUUAAAAUGUCAUAUUCUCUGACUCUAAGCUUAUGAUAGUCGAAUCUGAGGUCUAUCUUAGAGAAAUAGUGCACCGCAAUCUUGGUCAAAAAAAUUCAUCAAUCCUUGGGAAAGGAUACUUAUUCGUCAUUGUGGCUUUGUUUAACUGAAGGCAGUCGAUGCACAUUCAAAGAGAACCAUCUUUCAUGCACAUAAAGAGAACUGUAGUAUCCCAUAGGGAAAUUCAAGGCUUGAUGAAACCCUUUUCUAAGAGGUCUUUCAACUAUUCCUUUAUUUCCUUAAUCUCAGUUGGAGUCAUUGUAUAAGGUGGAAUUGAAAUAGGUUGGGUAUCUAAGAUAAGAUCUAUUCAAAGUCAAUCUCCCUUUUCGGAGAAACUCUGGGAAGAUCUUCAGGGAACACUUUUUUUGGAAACUCACUUACUACUGGAACUUACUUAAGACUUAGAGUUUUAGAAUUUGACUUCUUGACUCCAACGAGAUAUUAAACACAUCCCUUGGAUAUCAUCUUUCUUGCCUUAAGAUAGGAGACAAACUGAUCUAUAGGAACUGAAGUACUUCCCCUUUAUUCAAUUACAGACUCAUUAGGAAACUAGAACUGGACUAUUUUGUUUCUAUAGUUAUCUGAGGCAUAGCACAAGUGGAUCCAAUCUAUGAUGAGAAUGAUAUCAAAAUUAGUCAUCUCAAACUCUACAAGGUAAACUAAAGUGACUUUUUGAGAGUCUGUGACUAGGCAAUCUGUAUACCCAUCUGGCUAUAAUAGAACUACCUACUAGGGUAGAAACUGAGAAAAGCUCUUCUAGUAUGGUGGAAUUAAAUUCAAAGUCUACUGCUAUAUAAGGAGUCAUAAAAGAAAGUGAACCUCUAGGGUCUAACAAUGCAUAAACAUGAAGAUGGAAGACUUGUAACGUAGCCGUAACCACAUUAGGAGAACUCUACUAAUUAUGUCAAGUCUAGAGAGCAUAAAGUCGAUCCUGACGCUGCCCACUAGUGGUGAUAGAGGUGGCGCUCUACUCAGUCAGGCGACCUACUAGAUUCGACAAUAAACUAGACUGACCUAGUUGACAAAAGUCUUUACCCUUCUGGGAAACCACUGGUAAUCUAUGAUCUUAUAGCAUGGCAUGCCACAUCCCAAAAAUGUAUAAUUUCCUACCCUGUACUUCUCUAAUGGUUCUUACACAUCUCUUGCAAAGUGGAUUGUCAUACUACCUUAGGACUUAGAGCCAGGCGUUCUAUCCUAAUUGCCCUGCCUAAACAUAGGCACUAGCACACUAGAUGAAGAUAGGGAUGGGGCUGAAAAAUUUUGGCGGGGAUGAGAAUGAUUCCCACCAUCAGACCUUUGUCGAGAAGUUGAAGUUAGUAGUUUUAGCUCUCUUAUUCUCCCUUUUCUUCUCUUUGAACUUCUCCUACUCAAUCUACUGAGCAUAAAUAAUUAACCUAGAAGGGUCCUUCUUAUUAAUCAACAUAUCUAUUCAAUACUCCUUGACUACAUCAUCUGACACCAUAUACAAACCUACUCAUUCUGGCCCUAGAAUCAUCCACCAUAGUUGGAGCAUUAUUCGCCACCUAGGUAAACUUGAGUGAGUACUCCUUCACACUCAUGUUACCCUGCUUUAGAUUUAUAAACUCUUGUACCUUAUCCUCCCUUAACUUGAGUGGGAAGAAUUUAUCUAUAAAGGUCAUAGCAAAUUUAUCCCACUCUAUAGGUCCUACCUCAACACCUCUAUAUCUCUUCUACUUCUUGAACCAAGUAUGAUCCACCCAUUAUAAUUAGUAAUCAGCUAAGUCAGCACUCUCACUAGCACUGAAAACCAUACUAUAUGUCUCUUUCUUGACACCAUCCAGAAACUCUUACGAAUCCUCCUCAAACUUGGAUCCAGAAAAUAAUGGAGGAUUCAUUUGAGUGAAGUGUCGUAUCCUAACUAAUGUCGUGCUCACUACUAGAUUGGCUAGGGUAAUAUCCUUCUAGUAUUCUCAGCAACCAUAGUCUUGGCCAAAAUGGUGAAAGUGGUCCUGAAUUCGACAUAGAAAACAUGUUAGUUCAGUGGAUCUUAUAGAAUAGGUGGUGAUACGGGCUGAUCCCUGUUCCUUCUUCCAAUAUUUCUUUUGGGGUAUUUUUUGUAAACAUAUGAAGUACAAGUUAGAAAAUGUAAUUCAAUAGAAUUCACGCUCUUUCGCAUGGCAUAAAUACUUAAAGAAUGGAAACUUUCCUAAAAUAUCUCGUAGCCUCUUGACCAUAAGUAUGGUGCGCUUCACACUCAUGUACAAAUAUCUACUCAACACGGAUUUAGACACCCUAGGACACUUUAAAACCUUAGGCUCUAAUACCAAUUUUAUCCUGACCCGAGACUAUCUAUUUGUCAGAACAUAAUGCUUAAGGCCACAAGUGACCCUAAGAAAAUCCAUGAAUUUUAUACUUGUUCUGUACACUGAAUAAGGAAAUAAUAAAACAUCAUAUUUAGAAUCUGAACUAAUGAGAAAUUCUAUUAUGAUGUAAUACUGAAAUAAUACCCAAUAUAUCUAAACUUCUAAUAAAAAUGAAACAAGUCUGACUAUUUGAAAGCCUCUAAAACAUGAGGAGUUGAUGGGACAAACCCUGAACCAACUCUGACUGACAAUAAAGGAAGUACUAAAAAUAACUACAAAUAACUAGUCCUCGAUGGAAGAGAACUCACCACAACUACUGCAGAGUGGUACUGAAUUGACUAAGGGUGAUCGGGGAAUUGAGCAUCCAAACCUAUAUUAUAAAAUAACAUAGCAUUAAAAAAAUUAUGUGAUCAGUAAAUUAAAUGUACUAGUAUGUAAGAUAAAUACUAACUGAAGUACAUAUAAAUACAGAUCAUGAAUGCAUGAACAUGUAAAAUGAAUGAAAGACCAGGUAAAGCAUAUACUGAAAUAAUCUGUCAAAAUUGACUAACUAAAGAGCUGGUAAAAUGAACACUUGGUCAUGCAAACUUGAGCUAAUAUAAUCUGAGUACUAAACUAAAAUUGUUCCAGUUGCAAUUUACCUACAUGUCCCAAUCUGAGCUCAUCGGGGUCUAACCCAUAACCCCAAUUAGAAAGAUGCCAGUACCUUUUCAUGGGUACCGAUAUUGGUUAUAUGGAUCCACUAAACCAGUGUCCCUAAGGACUAUGGUGUUAGUCCUAUACUGAUGGGUGACCCUAAGUGAGUGUCGAUCCUUUACCGGCGGGUGGUAACUCAUAACCUAUGUGGGCUAUAUAGUUCUGGAACUUAGGGACUGCUACUAAAGGUCUCAGUCCUCUACUGGUGGGUGAUCCUUCAUCCCUAGGUUCACUCGAUGUAAAAUUCUACUCUCAACUAAACUGACACUGGUAUUGAUAAAAGUUGACAGGACUCAUAAUUGAUAAUUGAUCAACAUGAAUAUGAUAAUCUGAAUAUGAUCAUAAAAUCAUGAUCUGACUAACUUGUUGCUUAAAAUCAGAAAAAUGUAUAAACAUAUAGGUAUCGGGUUUUAAUCCACCAGCUCUAAAAAAAUAUAUUAAGUACAAUAACAUCAUCAUAAUAUUAUAAGGAUGUUCAUGAUUCUCAGACCCAAAACAAUAUUCAUGAUUAUCAGACCCAAAACAUAGUAUAUUACACUAAACUGAUAAAAUCCAUGAUUAUGAGUAUGGGAAAAUGUUAAACUUAUAAAGAUAACAUGCUCACAUAGUUAAUUUCAUAAAUUGAUAAUCAACAUGGUGUAAAUUGAAAAUGAUAUGGGUGAUUGAGUUUUCAAGCAUAUAAGAACAUAAUUCAUAUGGGGAAACACACUGUCAUGGUUUGUGUUCAAAACUAUUAAGAGAAAGUUGAAUAAAUUCAUAUUUGACAUUGAAAUUUUAUCAAAAGGGAGAAAGGGUUUAUACUUGUAAAAUAAAGUAUUUUUGGAACUAAAUAGGUGGAAGGAACCCAAUGAUGAAUACCCCACAUACCUGAGUUUUCUUAAAUUCUUGAAGUAAAAUUGGAAUUGGGAACCUGGAUGGGUGAAUUCUUUGAAGAAGCUUUUGAUUCUUUGUGUCCUUGAGAAUGGGAGGAGAUUGAGUGUCAUUAACUGAUGAUGAAUAGAGAAAAUAAUGCCUCUCUUAGGUUUUAAGUCAUGAAUUGGGUGUUUAGGGAGAGAAAAAAGACCAAAAUGCCGCUUUAACUUAAGGAAAACUGGACGACUUUACAUAGCCUCCAUGACAUGUUACCCAUCGUGGAGGCUAAGCUGUGUGACAUGCUGCAUAUCACGGAGAAUAACCUCUGCAAAACAUUAAAAUCGCAAAGGCUUACUAUCUCCGUGGCCCAAAAUCACUCCAAACCUUUUUUGAAAAUUCUAAAACUCUCAUGGGUAACCCUUUUAACAUUCCUAAACAUAUUUCAACUCAUAAAUCAAUGAUUCAAACUGAAAGAGGCUAAAAAAAAUAUUUGAAAUAUUAGGGUGUUAAAAUGGCCAUAUCAUUUGUACUUAGAGUGACAUAAUUGUUUUGGGGACCUUAAAAUAUGUGACUAGAAGUUGGAAGCUUGUCUAGGAUCUUAUGGGGAAUUACAGUUAGUUUAGCUUUGGAACCUUUAUUUUUCAUUUUGACCAUCUGUGCGAAAACUAGUUUAAAUAGCCUAUUAGGGGUCCUAGAGGUUAAUUUGUUAUAAACAACCUUAUUUCAUAAGUUACAUGAUUUUGUUGAGUCCAAAAUGUCAUUUCUAAGUUGUUUGCAAAUAUGGUUUGUAUUUUGGAGGUUCCAAAUGAGUUUUGAAUAAGUUGAAUAUUUUUGGUGCAUUGUUCCUAUUUAAGAAAAAUCAAUCGAGAAGAAGGUUCAUUGUUAGUUGUAGAGAUUGAGAAAUUAUUUCAAAACUUCUGAAAUGUCAUGCAUAAAUUAUAGGAUUGAUCUGGAGGGUUUGGUGCAAUUUUGAUAAGUUGAGAUUCAAUUUUAUUGUGAAAUAUUGAUGUGCCAUUGAAACACGGCACUUUCGAUGCUUAAAAUAAAGAAUUUAUGCUUGACUGAGGUUGUUUUAGUAGAUAUAAGGUGGUUUGGUGCUUGUUGUAGGUAAAAUAGGUCAAUAAUCAUUUUGGGAUUAAACUGGAAGAAAAAACCUGUACUAGAUAAAGUUUGAAGAUAAUACGAGGCACCGUAUGAGUCGUCAACACAUCAUACAGCUUGUAGGUUUACUCGUAAGCACAACAGAACCAAAGGCAAAAAAUAAAUACUAAGCGAGGAAAAGAUAUGACUCAGACAUCUGAGUCAUAAGAUAAGGAUAUGGGUCGUGUCAAGAAAUCGUAAUGAGAACAGAAAAUAAAGUCAAGAUUUAGAGUUGAAGUCUUAGAAUAAAAUGAGUCUAAGACACUUCAAAAAUCAGGCCAUGUCGUAUGGAUACCACAAUCCCACAUGAAUCGGAGGUCACCCAGAUAACCCAACCUAAUCAUCAUCAUAACAACAAUAAGGGUCAGGUGAAUCCCCACCAAUAAUAAGAUAGCAGAAAUAUAAGGCUAACAGGUAAUACUUAGACAAUAUCUAAUACUUUAUUAAGGUCAACAGUCUAGCCAAUAUACCUAAGUCCACAAUUAUCCACAAAACCUCUACCAAGCUGAGUCAAUAAUAUGUCGGAACAUGCCCCCGAGAAUAGCCAAGUACCAAACCUAGACAAUUCUAUGACAUAAGAUAAAGUAACUAUGAAAGGUAGGUCUUCUAGAGUAUGGAAACUCACCACUUCAAGGUCAAUGCUUGAACCGCUUGAACAUCUGAUUAUUACGUAGAAGAAGAAGAAGAAGAAGAUGUUGCGACCCCUAUGUCGCAUGGGUACAUAGCGUCCAGAGAAGGUUAGAGGUUAGAGCUCUAGCAUGUAACUCAAGGAUAAGAAUAAAAUAGUGCAUUUGUUCAAUCUAGUCAAAUCAUCAUAUGCAAUCAUAUUUACACAAGUGUAGGCAUAUAAGAAGAUAUAUGUACAUAUAGUUACAUAAUGAGUUAAAACAUAGAACAAGCUAUAACAUACAUUUUCAAAUCAUUCAUUGAUGAAACAUGAAGUGAAGAACUUUCAAUAUUCCACCUUACCAAUUUUAUAACCUUGAACUUCUUCAGUGCACUAGUCAAGAGGAUCCGAACCUCUAACCUACUCAAUCGAUUUAACUAAUUUAAUCAAUUCAUUAGGAAUGGGACUUUAUCAUAGACUUACACAUUUAAUCGGGCAUGGAACUCUAAUCACAUGUGCACACAUUCACUCGGGCGUGGAACCCCUCUCACAUGCUCCCACAUUUAAUUGCGCAUGGAACUCUAAUCACAUGCAAAUUCAUAAGGCGAGUUAUUUUAACCUCCAGAGAUCUCUUUAAGCAAGGAACUCCAACCAUAAUACAAUAGAUGAGGGACUUUAACCACAAAUCCUUAGAUGAGGGACCUUAACAACAAGUCAUUAGAUGAGGGACUUUAACCACAAGUCAUCUUAUUUCCAUCAUUAGUCGACAUUUUAAAUCUUAACCCAUCAGUUCAUGCAUUAAUAUCCAUACAAUUCAUUUUGACAUUAAGGGCUUGAAUCCAUUUAGGUAAUUCUAGCCACCAGGGUUACAUAUCAACACCAUAGACAACCACAUGGUCUUUGCCAACCCAAUAAGCCAUUAGCCAUAUAAAUAGGCAAAAGGACUUAGUUCGCAACACGAUGGAAGUUGAUUUAUGAUUAUCAAGGCCUCUACAAACCAACCAUUACUCAUUAUUAUUCGUACACACACCUUUCAUUCAAACACAAUUUGAGUUCAUGUUUUAGGGACCAUGACCCAUUUAACCAACCAACUAUCAAGGACAUGCCCUUACUCGUUGAAUGGACAAUAAGGCCUCUAGCAACCAUUUACCAAGCAUUCACAAUUAACAACAUCUUACCUUAUUUAUUUCCACUAGACUAAUACCAUAGAUACACAUUUGGCCUUCGUACAACCAUUUAACCAUUAAUCACUUCAAUGGUCUAAAUGUUUUAAUUCAAUUCAUCAUUCAAUUCAUGUUCAUCAAGAUCUACACAACUAUUCACAUUUCAUUAGAAAGCUUAUAGCAUAAUCUCACCAUAUUUUAGUUGAACAUACUAUUGAAAUUCAAUUUUAUGAUUAGGAAAUUUAAUCCCUUAUUAGUCAUCUACCAACAAGGUUAUAAAUUAUACAAUACAUCUCUUAUAAUACCUUCACGAUGUCAUUUAUCAGUCAUUCAUUCUUAUUGGGCCAUUACCCUAAUUCAAAACAUUAUAAACAUGUUACUAGACAAUUUGCUUAGAUAUUUUCACAAAUACCUUAUGUGCAUACCUUUAACAAGGCUAUUUUUAUGGUACAAAUCAUCAAGAUUUGGGUUAAUCAAUACCCUCAUGUUAAACCACAUACAACCAGCACCCACAUAUGCUAUUCAUCAUCAAUAACAAGUAAUAACACAAGUCUAAUCAAGAAACAAUAUUAUUCAUUAUUUGUCAACAAAUCCCUUUUCAUUUAUUUCAAAUCACCAUAUACACUUACUAAUCCAAGUGUAAAAUACAUGGGUUUAGAGUUAUUUAACAAGGGUAAGGGUUACAUGCCUUAAAAAAGAUGGAUCCACAAAGAACUUGACUGCACUUUGUUUUCUAGAUGAGCUCCCUUCAAACCCUAGCCUCUAAUCUUGCUUAAAAAAACUUUGAAAGUGUUUGAGAGGGAGUUUAGGAUGUUAUAUCCACAUAAAAAAAUAUGUUUAAUGAGGAUAUAUACACUUAUAUAAUGAAGGGGCUUAGGGUUUGAGAUGUUGGAAAUGACCACAAUGCCCUUAGUUAAAAGCUGGAAAAUAGACACAUCCAGGGGGAUAACUCACCAUACGACUCACUAAAGGAACCGUACCCUAGGGUACGAAUGGUACCCUAACUAGUAACUUAGGCUUAUCUUAAGUCACACAUACUGUUAAGGAUACGACCAUACACCCUUAAGUCAUACCCAAAUGGUACAAAUCACACCUAACUCGUAUUGUCCACUUGUAACAAAAAUAGUCCACUCCAAGAUAAGACCUCACUCCGUAUGACUCACCUAGGUACAACUCAUAUACUGAGGGUAUGAUUAAGGAGGGGUCACUCAUAUAUGGGAUAUAAUGACACUCUUCUAGGCAACUCAAUGUAUAAGAGAGGAGGAGAGUGUGGAUAGACCCAUAUCCAAGGAUACGAGUGGCUUGUCCAAUCGUAUAUUGGACAACAUGCUCAAAAACCAAAAGUAUUUUUAAGGCCAAGAUCUUAGGUGUUUUAGAGUUGGAAGUCUGAGUACGACUAGGAUGAUCAAACUAUAGGCUGACAAGUGUUCAGAGCAUGAAAGAAAGAAGUCCCAAGUCAUAACGAGUGAAGGCUACGAGUUGUAUGGUCAUGAUAUGACUUGGUAAGAUGAGUUGUAAAGUUAAUAGAAAGUUGAAUUCUGGAAGAUCAGACACUAGAGAACAUAUGACAAGCAUGGUACAACUCAUAAGAAGAGCAUAUAAGUGGAUGAAGAGGAAGUAAAGUAUCUAGAUUGUCAGCUGGUGGAUUUCUGAGCCUAAGGGCGUGAGAAUCAAGGUCAAAACUAUUACAAUGAUAGAUACAGUGAUAGGAGCAGAGACUAAGAUUGUGAUUGGAGAGGCAAAGAAGAUUACAAAGAGAAGAGUGACAGAUAUGUACCACCAAGUAGUCGAGAUACUGGGUGUAGAAUAGAAGCAAUGUUGUCAAAAUUAUUCAAAGUCCAAGAAUGUCAAGAGAUUUGUCUUAAGGAGAUUAUGUAAACCUAUCAGGUUGAAUUAGAAAGUUGAUUCAUUGCUACCACAAUCAAGCAACUAGAGCAGCAGUAUGGGCAAAUGUCGGCCACAUUAAAUCAAAGGCAACCUAGAAAUCUUCUGAGUAUCAUAAAUACUAAGAAUGAUGGUCACUACCAUGCCAUUACCACUCAGACUGGUAGAACCACCAUAGAUUACCUAUACCCACAAUUGAUUAACAAAAGAAUGAAGAUGAUUUUGUUUAUGUGGGGAGUGGUAUUAAGCACGAUAAAGGAAAAUAUUAGUCCGAGGAGCCUAUUUUAAAGACCAUUCUGAGACCUCACCAUCAUUUUUCUCAAAGGUAGAAAAAGUAAUAAGAAGAGGGUAAGUAUUAGAAAUUUUUUCUAUUUUAAAGAAGUUGUCAAUCAAUAUCCCACUUGUAGAGGCAUUAGAGAAAAUGCAAGGAUAUGAAAAACUAAUGAAGGAUAUAAUCAUCAAGAUAAGGUCAAUCAGUUAUGAUCCAGUCAAUAAUAUUCAUCAUUGUAAUGCGAUAGCUACAAGAUCAUUAGUAGAGAAGAAGAAGGAUCCUGGUGCUUUCACCAUACCUUGCAUUAUUGGAUCUUCCAACUUUACUCAUGCAUUAUUUGAUUUAGGUGCUAGUAUCAACCUCAUACCCUUAGCAGUAUUUAAAAAACUGGGCUCCCAAACCAACUACCAUGAGACUAGUAAUGGCAGAUAGGAUGAUUAAAAGAACAAUUUUUAUUCUAUAUCAUAUAUUGGUGAAAGUGGCUUCUUUCAUCUUUCCUACUGAUUUUAUGAUCUUAUAAUGGAAGUGGACUUUCAAGUCCUAAUUAUUUUGGGAAGAAUGUUCUUGGAUACAGGAAGGACACUAAUUAAUUUGGAGCUAGGACAUCUGAUAUUGAGACUCAAUGAUGAACAGGUGACUUUUAGUAUGUGCAAGUCAAUAAAGCAGCCUAAUGAGAAGAGAGUGAUAUCUAUGAUUCAUGCAUUUUAUAAAGAGAUAGACUUAUUCCUUGAUGUUGAUGCAGUAAUUAUUUUGGAAGAAACUUUAGAUAUUGUUCCUAUUGAAGAGAGGCUGGGUGUUGAAGUUUUGGCAGCUGUGAUUAUGUACUUCGAUAGUGAUGGUAUUGAUGACUAUGAUUUGAUAGUAUGUGCACUUUAUGGGAGCAUUUCUUAUACUCAUGCAACAAAGAAGCUUGAUUUAGAUCUAAAAAAAUAAAACUAUUCCACCUGCUCACCCAUCUAUUGACUAGCCACCUAUCUUAGAGUUGAAGGCCCUUCCUUCUUAUUUGUGAUAUAUAUUUUUGAGGGCCAACAGUAUUUUUUCGGUAAUCAUUAUAGCUAAUUUGAUAGAAACAAAAUUUGAAACUUUGUUAUAAGUGUUACAAGAAUUCAAGUAGGCCAUUGGUUGAUCCAUUGCAGAUAAAGUGGGUAUCCUACCUGGUUUGUAAUCAUAAAAUUUAACUUGAGAUGGAUUAUAUUUCAAGUGUAGAGAAUCAAUUUCAACUCAAUCCUCCAAUAUAGGAGGUGGUGAAUAAAGAGAUAAUCAAGUUGUUAGAUACUGGUGUAGCGUAAUUGUUGAUAAUAAGUAGGUCAGUUCGAUACAAUGUGUUCUAAAGAAAGGUGGUAUUAUUAUUGUUCCAUAUGAGAAAAAUGAGCUAGUUCCAUGAGGCGAGUAAUAGGAUGGAGAGUACGCAUGGAUUAUAGAACAUUGAAUGCAUGGACUCAGAAGGACCAUUUUCCUAUACCCUAUAUGGACCAGAUGUUGGAUAGACUUACGGGAAGAGGAUGGUACUAUUUUUUGAAUGAGUAUUUGAGUUAAAACCAAAUCACUAUUUAACCUGAAGACCAAGAGAAGACAACCUUUAUUUGUCCUUAUGGGACCAUUGUAUUUAGAUGUAUGAUAUUCGUGUUAUGUAAUGUUCCAGCCAUAUUUUAGAUAUGUAUAAUGUCAAUCUUCUUUGAUAUGUUAGAAGACACCAUUGAAGUAUUUAUGGAUGAUUUUUAGUCAUUUGUGAUUCUUUUGAUGAUUGCUCAAUGCACUUGGCUAAUGUUCUUUGAAUGUGAGAGGAAUGCAACUUAGUGCUUAACUGGGAAAAAUGUUAUUUAGGCUCAAAGAAGGUAUUGUGCUUGGGCAUAAGAUUUCACAAAGGGGUAUUGAGGUAGAUUGAGAAAAAAUUGAAAUGAUCGAGAAAUUACCUCAACCAAUUUUUAUGAAGGGUGUUCGUAGCUUUUUAGGACAUGAUGGGUUUUAUAGGUGAUUCAUCAAGGAUUUGUCAAAGAUUGUCAACCCUCAAGGUUUUAUAGGUUUUAUAGGUGAUUCAUCUAGGAUUGGCCUUAGGGGUUAUACUAGGCCAAAGAAAAGAAAAGAUCCUUCAUCCUACCUACUAUGCUAGCAAGGUAUUAAAUCCUACUUAAAAAACUACACAGUUACUGAAUAAGAGUUAUUAGUAGUGAUUUUUGCCUUUGAGAAGUUUACAUAUUAUUUGAUUGGAGCUAAGCUGAUUGUACACACUCAUCAUGCAGCAUUGAGGUACUUUAUGGCUAAAAAAGAUUCAAAUCCUAGACUGAUUAGAUGGGUCUUAUUGUUGUAAGAGUUUGAUUUCAAGGUAAAGGACCAAAAAGGCACUAAGAAUCAAGUUGCAAAUCAUUUGUCUAGACAUGAGGAAGAGGCUAUGAAGAAUAUUGAAAAUGGACUCAAGAUUGAUGAUAGUUUUCCAUAUGAGCAGAUAUUAGCAGAUUUGUAAGAUUUAAUUCCAUGGUUUGUAGAUUAUGAAAAUUAUCUAGCAAGUGAUCUAGUCCCAAAAAAUCUUUCUUUUCAGCAAAAAAAGAAGUUUAUGCAUGAGGUAAGGAAAUUUUUCUGGUAUGAGCCUUAUUUAUUCAGAAUUUAUGCGGAUGGGAUUAUACGUAGAUGUAUACAAGAGGUGGAGUUGAUGAGUAUACUGGAGGUUUUUCACUCUUCACCGGUUGGUGGUCAUCAUGGAGGAACCCAAACAGCCCAUAAAAUUUUACAAUGUAGGUACUAUUUGCCAACAAUCUAAAAGAUGCACAUAAUUUUUCUUCAGCUUGUGAUUAAUGUAAACGAUAAGGUAACAUCUCCAGAUUCCAUAAACUUUCUAUGACUCCUACCUUUGAAUUGGAAUUGUUUAAUGUAUGGGGUAUGGAUUUCAUGGGAUCUUUUAUAAGUUCGUUUGUCAUGAAGUAUAUUCUUAUGGCUAUUGAUUAUGUUUCUAAAUGGGUGAAAGUGGUUGUGCUACCCAAUAAUGAAGCACAUACUGUCACUGUAUUAUUGAAAAAGAACAUCUUCUUUUGAUAGGCACGCCACAUGCCAUCAUUAGUUAUGGUGAGUAAUAUUUUUGUAAUCGUUUAUUCAAAGGUCUUGUUGAGAAGUAUGGAGUGAAACCCAAGGUGGCAAUAUCUCAUCAUCCAUAGACUAGUGGAUAGGUUGAGAUGUCCAAUAGAAAAAUCAAUUAUAUCUUGGCAAAAAUAAUAAAUGCCAACAAGACUGAUUGGUCACAAAAUUUACAUGAUACAAUAUGGGCUUACCACAUAGCUUUCAAGACUCUCAGUGGUGCUUCUCCUUAUCAGUUGGCAUAUGGCAAAGCAUGUCACUUGCAUUUGAACUUUAAAAUAAGGAACUAUGUGCUUUAAAGAAGCUAAACUUUGAGUGGCAUAAUGCAGCCAAGUCAAGGAUGAAAAAGAAGAACAAGUUGGAUGAAUUCCGACUCCAGGCAUAUGAAGUUUUGCACUUUACAAAUAAAAGAAGAAGCUACAUUAUGACUGCAUGAUUGAGAAGAGGAUAUUUGAAAAAGUAACCAGGUUUUUCUCUACAUCUGUAGUCUUUGCUUAUUUCUAAGUAAGUUGAAGUCUAGAUGGUAUGGUCUAUUUACUGUGCUAAGAGUGUUCCCAUAUGGGGCUUUGGAAUUAAAAAGAGAUGAAGAAGCCCCACUCAAAGUGAAUGGGAAAAGAGUAAAGAAUUAUAUGGGUAACAUUCUAGAUGUAAGUGUAAUUUUUGAGAUAGAUCUUAGUGAAGUCUAAGUAACCAAGGUAACUAUGUCGUGCCACAAUAUUAAAUCAAGUGUUGCAUAGGAGGCAACCCAAGACUUGUAUCCAACUUAGCCAUAUUGUCUCGUGAUGUUAAAUAAAGCAUUGUAUGGGAGGCAACCCCUGUUUUUGUACUUAUUAAUUUAUAGUGUAAUAUGUUUGUUCGGUGUGCAGGAAUAAAGAUCGCAGAAAAGAUUAACAAAUUUCAAGAAAAAAGGUCAUACGGACUCUUCAUGAGUCAUAUAUUAAAGUAACGACUCAUGAGCAGGAGUCAUAAAGACCUAGGAAAUAAAGCAGAUUUAGGUUAAAGUUUCUAGAGUCUUUAGGAAUCUUAGAAUAAGUCGUACACUUAGGGUACAAGUCAUUACCUUGAGUCGUAUCGACUCUAAAAUCCAAGUAAAAUACGAGGUAUUUAUAAGUGGAGGUAAAUACCUAUAAGCCUGAUACGAGUCAUCCACAUGACUCAUACUCAAGCUUACCAGGUCAAUGGUCGUGGUUCAACCCAGCCUUCUUGAUUUAAAAUAAAAUAGGGCACCUGAUAUAUGUACCCGAUAUUUGAAUCACUUUAAACCUCUAUUGUAGGCCAACCAUUGAGCUCUAAAUGCAUAAUUUAUCUCCAAAUCAAACACGAAAUUUUCAGUUUAGCUCACAUCGCACAAAUUUUACAAGAAUUUAGAGAAGUAAAGUGAUAACUCAAGCACCUCAAUCUCUCAACCAUUGAAGUAAGUGUUUGAAUGUAAUUGCUCUACAUUUUGAGUUAAAAUUGAUAAUGUGUGAGAUUUUUUAGCUUUUCUUGGAGUUGAAUAUAGGUGUAUGUCAAAAAUAGAAACCCUAGUUCUUAGAAAUAAUAGCUUAAAAUGGAAAUUGGGGAUGAACUUGAUAUUAUAUGUUGAACAUGUGUGUUUGUUGACUGAAAUAGGGUGGUAAUGUUGUGCAUUGAAGGGUAGAAUAGGUAUUGCAAUUUGGGACCAACUCACAAAGUUAAAUCCUUAUGUUACAGUGGAUAUAAGCCAUUUUAUGACUUGUACCCACUAGUAACGAGGCGUAAUGAGACUCAUACCCACUGACAACAUAGAAACAUAAAUAGAGUGUAAGUUCUAGUAUGGGUACAACUUGCCUAUAUGAGUCAUAACCAAACCAUACGACUGGUAAACUUAGGUCGUAAGGACCUGGGAAGUUAACAAAUAAUUGAGUAAUGUUUUUGGUCUACUUAUGAUUGGUACAUGUCCUUACGACUUGUCAGAAAGACUCAUAAGUAUACUAUUGAACAUCCAUAUAUACAUUUUUAUCAUAUGAAUCAAUCAUACGAGUCGUACCCAGAUCAUACAACUCUUACCCCAAGUCGUACCCUAAAUAAAAUAUGAAUGCAAACACAGACUUUUCUUAUAUUUGCCUUUCUUUCCUUAAGGAAUUACUAGGAGUGUAUGUACAUUGGUAUAAUACCUCCAAAAGAUUCCUCAUCUUCAAAACAUGUAGAGAAAAAGGGAAAUAAGAAGGCACUAGUCCAAAGUUCUGAUUCUAUUGAGUCAUCCAGCAGCAGCGGUGACCUUGUUGAAUUCCUAAUGAAGGAAAAGGUCGGGGUAAAAGACUAACGAUAGGAAAGAGGAAAAAAAGUAGUGACUCCAGAGGACACACCUUCAAGAGGACCCAGAAAGAAGAACCCCUACACUUCACCCCAAACACUAUCCCAUUCUGAAGAGCACAGUGGUAAUGACAAAAAAAAUCAAGCUUAAAGGAACAAAGUUUAGCGAAUGCUAGUGUGGAAGAAGUUGAUGCAACUCAUGCUGAUACAUAGGAUCCACCCUUAGCUAUUAAACCUACUCCAGUGCCCACUUUUGAAUGGUGGGGAUGCCUUAGUAUGCAGGAAACUUAUAAAGAUGGGUUCAAUAGACUUGAAAAUGGAAGAAUCAAAAGAAAUCUAUAUUUUGAGAGGCAAUUGGCGACCACUAAGAUGUCUGAUCUGCCCAGAUGUGAGGUCUAAUUCAGCCAAAAUGAGUUUCAGUGGAUGACCACACCACCUAAAAAGUACAAUGUCAUAUUAGUUUGAGAGUUUUAUGCGGAAUACAAGGGAUAACUAAAAAGACAAUAUCUGCAGGGGCAGUUAUGGAGAGGUGGUGAUCACAUCGAGUCACUGACCAUUUUAAGAGUGCGGGUGAAUGUCUCCCAUGAGCUAUUUCUCAAUUCUUAAAUGGACCAAACUUCUAGCCUCCAGUCAACACAAGAGAAACACAAUUUUGCAUGGAUGAAAUACAAAUAACUAUAUGAAAACAACUGGGGUCAGAUGACAAAAUGCGGCACUUUAAGUGGAUCGCCAGUUUGAUUAUUAUGAAUGUAGAGGAUGCAGUUUGGGUGGAAGGAGUCCCAGGAGUGACUUCAUAAAAGAUAGAAAAACAAACCCUGAAUUUUGAGGCCAAGGCAUGGUGGACACUGGCCAGAAAUAGACUUUUUCCCACUACUGGGGAAAAUGUACUCAACCCAAUUUGUACAGCAUUAAUAACUAGGUUGAUGGCUAGGUAAUAGUUUGAUAUGGGAUAUUUCUUUACCCGAGAGAUUUGAUAUCGGGCUGUGGGUGGAGAGAAGGUUUUAUUGGCAUAUCCUUACAUGAUUACAUAGAUUUUCUUAGCUUUGGAGGUGCAGGUACUAUUAGGGAUUAAUGAGCUGCUCGAUCCCAAAAAUAUCUUAGAUCUUGGGUUGAAUCAGGUUGUAGAAAACCUAAUAGCCAGACAGGCAAGGAAAAGAUUUGAUAUAUUAGCAGAGAUAUUUAUAUAGACUUGAUUUGCUAAUGCUGCUAAGAUUGAUUCCACCAUAGGAGGAGAUAUUCGGACUGAUCCAUAACUUCAGAUGCAAUGGGUACAUCUAGUGACCCUCCUACUGGCCACUCUAUACCUCCUCAACCCAUAGCUAUACCAGCUGAUCUAACUGUUAUCUCAUAGUCUAUGUAUGAUGAGGCGAUAAAGAGAUUGACCACAUUGGAGAAUAGAGUUUGGAAUAUGGAUGGGGGUGUAAAGCCAUAGGUUGAAGCAAAGUUAUAAAACCAAGAUAGAAAGGUACAGGGUUGGUUAGAAGCAUUCGAGAAGCGGAUGACCCAACAGUUGGGUAGUAACCAAAUUCCUGAUAAUGCAGAGGUGAAAUCUAAAGUGGCCAAAAUUAAGAAGAUGGUUGACAGCUAUUUAUUCCAGCAUCGGUAGGCAGAGGUGAAGCUAGAUAUCCAUGUUUAAAAUAUCAGGGAGAUUCUAAAUCCAAUUGAGGAUCCCUAAGAGAGAAAAAAUAAAAAGUGAAAGAGAGUUGAAUAAAAUGACUUGAAGAAGGCGAUGAAGGAUAGUGUAUUGAGUGAGAGGGACAGGAAGGUGAGGGUCCAUGAGAUAAAGGAUGGAUCUAGUAGCUCGACACUAACAGUAUAAUGUAUAUGGGGGCAGCGAGGUACCCCUGACAAUUGAUAUACAAGUAAAUAUACUGGUCAUAACCAGUGACACGAUUGAGAAGUAGCUGAGGAUAAUGGGACCUAACUUGAGGGCCCACAAGAUGAUAUUGAAUGAUCCAAUGCCUUGAGCACCCAGGUAGCGUCCAGGUAUGUUCCUAAUCCCUUGGAUUUAUUUUUAGUUGCACUGGGAUAGUGCAUAGCCUUUAAGUUGGGGUGGGGUGUACCAAGGCUACCACGGGCUAUACUUUCCAUGUUUUGAAGCUCAUGGCCAUAAUCUAAAAAGUUAAGAACUGGAAUGUUUUGUGUUUUGUGUGUUAUUUUGUGUUUUGUUAUGUGCUAGGACAGCUGAAAAUAGGAGGAAAAUUUGUACGUGUGGCAGUUGAUGUUGUUUUGAAUAACUAUGUUGAAAUUGGUUGAUUUUGAAAAUAACUAUGCUGGAAAAUUUGACACCACUCCAAAACUUUGUUGUGUGGUGUGUGUAUGUGUGUAAGACAAUUGUGAAUCUGAUAAUGGCAUUAGGAUUAGGGAUAGAACAACGAAAGGAACAAUUGCAUAACUAGAUUAGUAGUACCUAGUAAAAUACCCCUGUGUGAGUGUAUGUGAGGCGCUACUUAGUUCACAGUGUGUCAAAAUCUAGAACUUUCCCAGUUUCUCAUACCCAAGUUUAGGAUAGUUGAGUAGGAGAUAAUCAAAUGACAUUUUUUCUAUAAGUCCACUCGAACUGAAAUGUCCAACCAAAGGUGAUAUGAAUCCCUUUGAUCCAAAUAUUUGAACCUUAACUGACCCAUUUAUUGUUUGAUACACCAAUAUCACCUUCUCAUUCUUACAAUGAACCUAUUUUGGCCCUGGUCCUCCUUGUAGACUAUACACCUUAACUCAGGAAAAUCGCCUAAGUUGAGGGUGGCUAUUAUAGGGGUGCAUAGGGAAAAUGAGUAUGAAGAAAGACAUGUGGAGAAAAAAUGAAAAAGGACAUGUUCGAUGAAAAUAAAAAAAGAAAAGAAAAGGAAAAUUAAAAGAAAAGAAAGAAAAAAAUAAUAAAAAAGAGAAAAGCAAACUGUACCUGGUCUAAGUUGUAUGUUCUUCAAAAUAAAAAGGAAGACAUAAAGGUGGAAAUAAAAGGAAAAAAGGUGAAAAAUAAGUGUACCCUAAAUAAAGCGUAGUGUUAAGGAGGUGUAGUAACUAAAAAUGUCCCAAAAAGGAUACCAUACCAGCGCCUAACCUAAGUUACAAGCAGAAUAAAUUCCUUUAGUGAUCCUACCUUGGUUGUCUAAAAACGUAGAAAGAGAGCAUUUGGGCAAUCUUAUGGUAUCUGUAUAAACCAGUGGUACUUCUUUGUGAGCGAGAGUGUCUUCUGUAUACCCCUGAAUAAUUUGAUUAAUAUUAACUGAGUAAAUGGAUUUUUUUACUGUGAGAACACAUGGGCUAUAUUGUUAGUAGCUAGACUAUCUGGUUAACGUGGUUUGUGUUUAUGCCUGGCUUUCUAUUACUAAUGCAAUGCCAACAUCGGAUUUCUUUAUGUUUCUCCGUGUACAAAAUUGAUGUACACAGUUUGAUUCUUCAAAAGUAAAAAUUAGGAGUGGGAAUAAAAAUGUUGAAAACUGAAUUCAAAUCAUUGCCAUAGGUUUCUUAGCAUCCUUUUGUUUAAGAAUUGUGUUGUGUUAUAGUUUUUUAUUUUUGUUUUGCCUUAGGACGCACAAAAGUCUAAGUUAAGGGUGUUGAUACGCAGUGGAAACAUGCCAUUUUCAAUGCUUAAAAUGAAAAAUUUAUUCUAGUACUAAGUUUGUUUUAGUAGAUAUAAGGUGGUUUUGUGCUUGUUGCGGGUAAAACAGGUCAAUAAUCUCUUUGGGAUAAAAUUAGAAGAAAAAGACUUGUACAGGAUAAAAUAUAAACAUGAUACGAGUAACCAUAUGAGUCAUCAACACAUCAUAUCACUUGUAGGUUGACUCAUAAGCACAACAGAACUAAAGGCUAAGAAGAAAUACUAAGUGAAAAAAUAUAUGACUCAGUCAUUCGAGUUGUAAGAUGAGGAUAUAGGUCAUGUCAAGAAACCGUAAAGAGAACAGAAAAUAAACAUAAGAUUUAGAGUUUAAGUCUCAAAAGAAGAUGUAUCUUAUCAGUGGUAUAAGGAGGGGUAGCAGUGAAGGGGUGAUGAUGUAGAGCUCAUAAAUUGAUUUUGAAAAGGUUAUCUAUAUCAUCUAGUUUUGGUUAAAUAUUCUGACUAUGAAAGUCCUUCUUUGAAUUCUUUCCCCGUAUAUUAUUAAUUGAGUUUGUGAUAUAAUGAUUACUGAGUCUGAAUACUGAUAACAUGAGUGACUACAUCUGACAGUCCUGAUACUAAUGGAACUAGUUGGGUUCCACACUAUAUUGAUUUGAAUGUAUCUGACAGUCCUGGAUUUCUAUAGAACUGAACUGAUUUCUCUUAUUGAAACUGGAUUUGAAACUGAGACUGUGGGAGGUAAUCAUCUAAUCUACAUGCCUCAAAACUGAACUGGUGGGGUCCAACCUGUAACCUAACCUGGAAGGGUGUCAGUACCGUGCCAUGGGUAAAGAAAAGUUGUGAGUAUACCCUCUCUGAUAGGGAGCUCUUUCGUCAACCCUUCCUAGUAGGAAACUCAAAUGAGAUGUAUAAAUCCCUAAAUGUGUAGGGUGCAUCUCAACCUACAUUGGCUAUGUAGUUCUGGAACACAAGGAUUGCUUCUAAGGAUCACACCCUCCGCUGAAUAACAAGUGAGUCCCCAUCCUUGGGUUCACACGGUGCUGAAUCCUACUCCCAACUGAAUAAACACUAAACUGAUUAACUGAACUAAACUGGUACUAAUGGUAUUGUUGAGUAGAGCUAAACUGAGUUCACUGAGUUUCGUUGACUGACAAAAUGCUAUUGAGAUCUGAGGACUGACGGAGAGUACUGAAGUUACUGAGAUUUUUGGGAAUACUGAAGUUACCGAGAUUACUAAGUACUGAUGUUACUGAGACCACUGAGGUCACUGAGAUUUCUGAGUAGGACUAGACUGAUACUGAAUUUACUGAGUUUUCCUGAGUCAUGAGACUGGCUGAAUUCUAAGGAUAAUGGAUUGACUGAGAGUAUCAUGAAAACAUGACACUGGCUCUAGGCACACAGCUAAAUUGUCAGGUACAAGUACCCCCAGGACUCAAUAGCAUUAAACUGACAGAACAUGACACUUUUGGAACACAUGACCAAUAUCAACAAUUCAUAAUACAUUAAUUUGGGGAUUUCAUUAAGCAUAUGGUUAUCAUAGUCUUAUCAAUGGAAUUGCAUAUAAACAUGUCAUACUUUCAUCAACCUAAUCUCAUGGACAUUCCCUCAACUAUUCAUAAUGCACACAGUAUCAUGGAAGUCAUUCUUAGUCAUAGGGUAAAGCAUACACUUAUCACUUGGGUCACAAUUAAGCUAUAAUGCAUAAUUUCUAUUCUCUUAGGCAUUCUAUCAAACACCUAGGAUGCAUGACUUAGGGCACUGGCAUGACCAUCAAAUUUAUACAGCAAAACUUCAUAUUUCAACUCAAUUUCACAUGUUUCAGACCACAUACUAGCAUAGGUUCAUGAACAACACAUAAAGAUUCCAACUUGGGAAUCAUCCAACCAUAAUCACAUGAACAUUAUAAACCCACAACAAAAUAUUCACAAUACAAGAUGUAAAACUUAAUUCUUGGGCUUCAUGGAUGAAAGGAAUCCAUGAAUAAACACUGUGCAUACCUUAGUUCUUGAUUCUACGAAGAUUGACAGAGAGAUUCUUAAAUUUGAGUCUUGGAUUCCAAUCUCCAAUUGAAAACCCUAUCUUGUUCUUGAGAGAAACUUGAGAGAAACAAUAUAUUUUGGGUGAAUUAUGGCUGAAUCAUGUGUUAUUGGGUAUAUAUAGGGGUGAGAAAUUGACCCUUUUAACCCUUGGACGCAUAUUUUAAUUCUCUAAAAAUUUCCCAAUUUUCAUCCUUGGCGCGAUGUGCCACUAUCGCGCCAAGUCACUGGAACUAGACAAUUGGGAAUCUGCAUAGUGGUGCGACGCGGUGCUAUUGCGUUGCCACUUUGUUUGUGUCCUGGAAGUUUGGCACGACGUAGAGACAUUGCACUGAGACACUGGAAAAAGGAUAAUUCUGAAUUAGAGCCUUGGGAUGACGCGCCAUAAUUAUGGAGGCUCACUGGAUUUUGACGAUUGCCAUUUUGGCCUGCUCUGCGAUGCGUUGAUGGCUUAGGUGUCACACGUCCUUACUAAAAAGGCUCUAACUCUUUGCUUGGGUGUCGGAUUUUGGAGAAUUUGGUAUCGAUGGAAAGCUUAUUCAAUUUUCCAAAUGAUAAAAAGUGAAAAUAUUGAAAAUAUUACAUGUAUAAAAGUGGAUUCAUCUUUAAAACCAGAUUUCAACAUUUAUGGGAUGAUUUUAAGCUAGAUAGAAGUACGGGGCAUUACAAAUAGGCAAUGACAUGACCCUGUGGCAUCAAAACGCAUCCAAGACCAACACCAAAUGCAUCAUAAAACACUGUGAAUCCCUCCCCCUCAACUGGAAGAGCUAACACCAGGGUUAAAGUGAGACAAUCUUUGAGCUUUCCAAAGCUCAACUCACACUCCUUGGAACAUUGUAAAGGAACUUCCUUCUGAGUCAAUCUACUCAUACGGGCUGAUAUGGUAGCAAAGCUCUCAACAAAGAGCCUAUAAUAACUAGCCAAACCAAUAAAACUGCAAACCUUAGUUAAAGAUAUAGGCCUAGCCUAAUCACGAAUCGCUGAAAUCUUAGUCGGGUCUACCAUAAUACCCGACUUGGAUACUACAUAUCCAAGAAAUGAUACUUACUCAAGACAAAACUUUCACUUGAAGAACUUUGCAAAAAUAACAUGCUCCCGCAAGACCUAGAGCACAAUCUCAAGUGUUAUGCAUACUCCUUACUACUCCUCAAGUACAAAAGAAUAUAAUUAAUGAACACAAUAACAAAGGAUUCUAGAUAAGGUUUGAACACAUGGUUCAUCAAGUCCAUCAAUGUAAACAACACCAAGAACUCAUAGUGACCAUAACGGGUCCUGAAGGACAUCUUCAGGAUAUCCUCAUCUCGAAUCCUAAACAAAUGAUAAUCGAACCCUCAAAUAUAUCUUAGAAAAUAUAGCUGCAGCCUGAAGCUGGUCGAAUAAAUAAUCAAUACAAGGCAUCGAAUAAUGGUUCUUCAUCGUCUAAUGAAACCCUUACCAAAAAGAUCCUGGAGUUGGGAGUUCAGCUUCUUAAGCUCAGUAGGAGCCAUAUGGUAAGGUGCCAUAGAAAUAGGUAGGUUGCUAGGCUCAAGGUAAAUUAAAAACUCAAUCUCAUGGUCAGGGGGAGUAUUUGAAAGAUCGACAGGAAACACACCAGUAAACUCACACACAACAGGAACAGAGUCAAGAAUUGGACUCUCUACACGAGUGUUAUAUACAUAGGCAAGAUAAAACUUACAACCCCUCAAUAUAAGCCAUUUAGAACAAAUAUAUGAAAUAACUCCCAUUGGCUCAUGUCUAAUCGCUCCCUACUACACGAUUGAGGAUAUGUCGAGCAUGGCUAAGGUAAAUGGUCUUGGCAAAACAAUCCAUGACCGCAUGAUAGUGGGAUAACCAGUCCAUGCACAGAAUCACAUCAAAAUCAAACAUAUUAAAAAUAAAAGAUUAGUAAAAGUAUAAAUAUCACUAACUGUCAUAAAAAAUGAUCUAAAACUUUAUUCAGUAGUAAAGAAUCACCUAUAGGAGUAGAUACAUGCAAAGGCACAGAUAAUAAAUCACUGGUCAAGUCCAACUGUGGUACAUAAUAAGCAGAUAUAUAAGAAUAAUUGGAUCCAGGAUCAAAUAAAGAAAGAGUAAACUUGCGGCAUACAAAAAUUACACCUGUAACUAUAGCAUCCAAAGUCUCAGCCUUGGGUCUAGCAGGUGCUACAUAAAACUAACCGCGUCUGCCACCUGGAUGGGCACCUGACCGACCUCCUAUCCUACCUACCUGAGUACCACCUCAAGCACUCUGGUAACUACCCCUAUGACCUCGAAAACCACCUCUACAUAAAGGAUGAACUACUCUUAUUAGAUUAAUCAACCAUCACCCCAUGACUAGGGUAGUCUCUAGAGAAAUGAUCGAAAAAACUGUAGGUAAAACAAGAAUCAUAAGUAGAACCAGAACUCAUAGAUCCAGCUGAUCUGGCAUAGCUUCCAUGCCUAACAUAACCUAUAGAUGAACCUCUCAAGGAUUGAUCACCAACCUUACUAGAACGGUCACUAGUAAUGGACUGACCCCGUCAGUAGUCUGAAGAGCUACCUGAAUUGGAUAACUAGUAUGACUUGAGGCUAAAAAGAUAGACGUGGAGAAUAUCCAACAUAAGAAAUACCACCCUAAAUUGGGAACUACUAUGGCUCCCACUAAAUCUGCCCUAAAACAUAGGCCUCUUAUCAUGGCCCUCACGCUUUAUGUCCUCCUUCACUCUAGAAUGAUUAAAAAUAUAAGAAAAAGUCCUACCCAUGAUGUGGCAUGGAAACACGACACUUUUGAUGCUUAAAACUGUGAAUUUAUGCAUGAACUUAGGGUAUUUUGUUGGAUAUAAUGUACUUUGGUGUGAAUUGUAAGUAAAAAAGUUUUACUAUAGUUUUUGAAAUAAAGGAGAAGAGAAAGACCAACUCUGAUCAGUAUACAAGUUAGUCUCUGAGUCGUAACCAAUCAAUACAACUCGUAUACUGAAUCAUAUGAGUAACAGAACUAAUAGCCAAACUUGGGAGCCAAGUAUGAGGACGAUAUGACUCAAGUACCCUAGUCGUAAGCCAAGGUACGAGUCAUAUGUAAAAGUUUUGAGCAUAACAAAACCUGUGCUACUAUCCAGGAGUUGAAGCAUCAAGAGUAUACGAGUCAAAAGUUUGAGUACUACUCGAAUAGAGAUGUCAUAUACAAACUAGUGUUUAAAACUUGAAAAGACUAAACUCCCUGGUGGAUACAGAUGAAGGACAUGAAUCACACACUAAGGUUUAACUUGUAAGUGGAAGUCGUAUACUGAAUAGGGAGUUGAAGCCUUAGAAAGAUCAGACACUGGAAUAGAUACGACAAGUCAGGGUAAUACUUCUAAGUUGAGGAUACAAGUGAAGACCGAGUUGUACCAACUGCCAACUUAACUUUAGCUUUCCCAUUUUUAAUUGAAUUUUUUAGUUAUUUUGAGUACUAUAAAUACCCUAGGGUUUAUUUUUCAUUAGGUUAGGCUUUGUGAUAUUUUUUUACAUGCUAUUACGCACUAUUACUCAUUAAUACAUUAUUUCUUAAGAUCUUAGGGUUUUAUUCAAGUAAAAACUUUGGAGUUUAUUCAUCUUAUUCUUGUGCAACUGAUUUUAUGUGUCCUUCAUUGAUAAUCAUAAUUUCUUGCACAAACAUGAGCAACAAAUCUCCUUAUCUAGGGUUGUGGGAACCCUGGUAGAUUAGCUACGUUAAGGAACUGUGACACUUAAUUUUUCUAGGUUUUUCUACAUGUAUCUUAGUUUUUUUUUUUUGCAAUAAUUAAACUUAUAGUAGCAGUAGAUGCUUGAGAUUGCCUGUAUUCGCAUCUACUCGAUAACCAAGAAUUUUGCAUUUAGGAUAAAAGAUUAAGAUGGUGAUUUGAAAUGCAAUAACCAAGAAUUCCAUCUUCUCACCUAAUCCUUCCAAGGCAAAUGUCAUUGAGGCCAUAGAAGGGGGCAACAAGGCAACACCCUAAUAUGAAAACCAAGUAAAAAGGGUGAAAUUUAUCUUCUAGCUUACCCGAUAGCUGAUAAUACUUAUCUUGUAGGCUUUUCAUGCAAAACUAUAGAAUAAGUGGGUUGAUCACAAGAAAUUUAUGCAGUUGAGAUACUAGGGGAAACACAGACCUAGCAUUUAUCUCAUAUUGAUUACAACUCAAAGCACUCAAUAAUUGCUUACUAUUUGCAAUUGAUAAUAAAAUCCCCCCAUUUACUUUUUUGUACUACUCGUGGAUUAUAUCAAGGAAAGUAACUGCUCAUAUUUUCCCUAUGGGAUCGACCCCAACCUUGUUGGGUUACUAUAUUUGCAAUCAACUACAUUAUACUUCUACUUGAGGUGUAGUUUUGGGUGACAUCAAAUUUUGAUGACAUUACCAAGGAAGACAGAUCAGUAGUAAAUUGAAUUGGUAAAGUUUGUGGGUUUUUAAAUUUUUGUUUUUUCUUUGGCAUAUGUUGGAGUAUGCCAAGUAUGAGGAGUAGAGGCAAUCCCUUACUCCUAUUUGAUCCAGAACCACAAAGAAUCCUUCAAACACCUAGAAGGAUAUCAGGACAAGUUCGUAAUGGGUUUAAGACCCCCCAACUAUGGACCCAAAUACAGCACUCCAGCGUGCUCUAUUAGAUCAACAGAAUAUUGUAGACUUAUAGACACAACAAUUGUUGGAGAAAGAAUAUAGAGAAGUAAAAGAAGCAAGACUUGUUGUAGAGGAGAUAGUAGCUCAGCAAAGAGGACUAGUACGGUCGAGACAUGUUUUUGAUCAUUAAGUUCUGAGAGGCAGGGCUCCAUUUAUUCCAGCUUAUCUACACUUAGACUCGUAUGAGGAAAAUAAUGAAGAUCUAGCUCAUGAUACAAAGUCUAGAUCAGUUGUUCCUCCUCCAUCAACCCCUAAUGUGAAGUUUGAUAUUACUAGUGCUAUGAUCUAAUUGAUGAAUCUGAAGGGUAUGUUUUCGGGAGCUACUAAGGAUGAUGCAAACAUGCAUCUUAAAAAUUUUCUUGGAAUCUACACAAAUUACAAUAUUCCAGGGGUUAAUCAAGAAGCAUUAAGAUUGAGGUUGUUCCUAUUUUCUUUGACUGGAGAAGCAUCUCUAUAUUUAGGGGAACUUCCAAAAGGAUCUAUCACUAAUCACACGAGUUAAAGACAGUUUCUGAGCAGAUUCUUCCCUCCUACAUAGAUGUUAUAAUUCAAGUAAGAAAUUUACAAUUUCAGGCAGCUACUUACAGAGUCUAUUUUAUGAGGUGUGGUUUCAAUUUAAUAAGAAGCUGAGGAUGGUACCAAAUCAUUGAAUUAGAAGAUCUAACUUAUCUGAGAUCUUCUAUCGAUCACCAAAUGAUAGUUCAAGAGCAAUGAUAGAUACUAUUUCAGUAGGAGCAUUUAUGCGUCUAUGCUGGGAAGCUGCACUGGAAAUGUUACAUGAUAUUUUUGUUAACAAUAAAGGAUGGAAUACUCGAGAUUCCAAAUAUGGUGAUGGUACAUAUGCUAUUAGAGCAACAAAUAUAUAUGAGUAAUAAAUGACAUGGUAGCACAAGAGGUUGUACAGCUUCAUACAGAUAUUAGGUUUCUUACAAAACAAUUUAAGGCAAUGAGUACUAACAAGGUGAAUGCAGUAGUGACAUAGGGGUCUACCUCUAAACUAUUUAAGAUUGAAUUUGAAGAAAAGGUAAAGUACCUUGAUUGAAGACUAGCAGAUUUCUGAGCCCAAGGACAAGGAAAUCAAGGUCAGAACUAUUAUAAUGAUAGAUAAAGAGAUAGGAGUAGAGAUAGAGAUAGUGAUUAGUGAUGUAAGGAGGACUAUAAGGAGAAUAGUGACAAAUAUAUUCCACCAGAAAGUAAAGAUACAGAGUCUAGAAUGGAGGCACUUAUGGCCAAGCUGGUCAAAGGAAAGAAAAGUCAAAAGAACUACCUGAAGGAUAUCAAAGUUGACCUAUCAGGAUUGAACCAAAAAGUUAAGUCAUAUGCUACGGCAAUCAAGCAGUCAGAAGAGCAGUUUGGUCAACUGUCAGCCCAAAGUAAAUUAGAGACCGCCUAGCACUCUUCCAAGAAAUAAAAUGGUAAAUCCCAAAAAUUAUAGUCAAUGCCAUUCCAUUACCACUUCGAGUGGUAAGGUUACUACAGAACCACUUGUACCCAUAGCUUAUAAGUAGAAGAGUGAGGAUGAGUUGGUUGAUGUUGAGAGCAGCAGCAAGUCGAAUGAAGGAGAAAAAAAGGCUACAAAGCUUAUGUUGAAGCCCAUUCCAAGACUACUUUCUCCCUAUCCAGAAAGAUUGAGAAAAAAAUAAGAAAAAGGUAAGUAUUAGUAAUUUUUGUCUAUGUUAAAAGGGUUAAUUGUCAAUAUACCGCUUGUAGAGUCAUUGGAAAAGAUGCCAGGAUAUGCAAAAUUCAUGAAGGAUUUUGAUCACCAAUAAAAUGUCAGUUAUUUACAAAACUAUUCACAAUUUUCAUUAUUAUAGUGUUAUAGUCACUAGAUCUUUGGUAGAAAAGAAGGAGGAACCUGGCGCUUUCACAAUACCUUGGACUAUUAGGUAUUUCAACUUUACUCGAGAACUAUGUGAGUUGGGGGCUAGCAUCAACCUCAUUCCCUUUGUUGUAUUCAAACUAUUAGGGUUGGGAGCUCCCAAACCAACUACUAUGAAACUAGUAAUGGCAAACAGGACAAUGAAGAACUUAUUGUUUUCCUUUAUGAUGUUUUGGUAAAAGUGUCUUCUUUCAUAUUUCUUGUUGAUUUUGUUAUAGUAGAUUUUAAAGUGGACUUUCAAAACCCCAUUAUCUUGGGAAGACUAUUUUUGGCUACAGGUAGGACAUUGAUUGAUCUUGAGAAAGAAAUUUGAUGUUGUGACUCAAUAAUAAAUAGGUGACAUUCAAUAUAUGCAAAUCUAUAAAGCAACCUGAUAAAUUAAGAGUGGAGUGUGUGAUUGAUAUAGGUGAUAAGAAGAUGAUUUUGAUGUAGUUACUCUUUAGGAUGAUGGUUUUGAUAUGAUUAUUCCUAUUGAAGAGAGGUUAGGUGUUUAAAAUCUUGCAACUGUGAUUAUGAAUUUCAACUCUAAAGGUAUCAAGGAGUAUGAGGAGUUAGUGGGUGAAUUGCAUGGUGAUGGUUAUAAGUAUGCACCAAAUAAGCUUCAUCUAGAUUUAAAGAAUUGAACUACCCCACUUGCUCGCCCAUCUAUUGAGGAACCGCCGGUGUUAGAGUUGAAGGCCCUCCUAUCUCAUUUAUAAUAUGCAUUUUGGGGGGACAACAAUACUUUGUCUAUUAUUAUUGCACCUGAUCUAAGACAUUCGAAGAUAGAAGCAUUACUGUCAGUGUUAAAGAUUUUAAAGAGGGCCAUUGGAUGGUCCAUUGCUGAUAUUAUGGGUAUUCCACCUGGUCUGUGUACUCAUAAAAUAAAGCUUAAGCCUAAUUGUGUUCCAUCUAUUUAUCAUCAACAUCGACUCAAUCCUCAUAUGAAGUAGAUGGUUAAGAAGGAGAUCAUUAAGUGGUUGGAUACAGUUAUAGUGUUUCCCAUUGCUGAUAGAAAAUAGGUUAGUUCGAUUUAAUGUGUCCUAAAAAAGGGCGGAAUAAUUAUCACACCUAGCAAGAAGAAUGAAAUAGUGCCUAUGCGACCAAUCACAAAAUGGAGAAUCUGCAUGGAUUAUAGGAAGCUAAAUGUAUGGACUCAUAAGAACAAUUUUCCUAUGUCGUUCAUGGAUCAGAUGCUGGACCGAUUAGCAGGCUGAGGAUGGAAUUGUUUUCUUAAUGGAUACUCAGGUUAUAAUCAGAUCACUAUUGCAUUUGAGGACCAAGAGAAGACUGCCUUUACAUGUACUUAUGGGACCUUUGCAUUUAAAUGACUUUUAUUUGGGCUAUGCAACACUCCUGCCACAUUUUAGAGAUGUAUGAUGUUCAUUUUCUUUGAUAUGGUCAAAGACACUAUUGAAUUUUUUAUGGAUGAUUUUUUAGUUGUUGAUGAUUAAUUUGAUGACUGCCUUAUGUACUUGAAAAUGGCUCUUCAAAGGUAUGAGGAGUGCAACUUGAUACUUAAUUGGUAGAAGUACCAUUUCAUGGUCAAAGAAGAAAUUGUGCUCGGGCAUAAAAUUUCGAAGAAAGGCAUAGAGGUUGAUCGACCGAAGAUUGGGGUGAUUGAAAAAUUACCUUAUCCAAUUUAUGUAAAGGGAAUUUGGAGUUUUCUAGGGCAUGCAGAUUUUUAAAAGUGAUUUAUCAUGGACUUCUCGAAGAUUGCUAAUCCACUUUGAAAGAUUCUUGAGAAGGAGGUAAAAUUUGAUUUUGAUGAUGCAUGUAAGAAGGCUUUUGGAAGCCUAAAAGAGAAGUUGGUUUCUUCUCCAAUAAUUGUAUCUCCUGAUUGGUCUUCACCUUUCAAAAUUAUGUGUGAUGCUAGAGGAUUGGCCUUAAAGGUUGUACUAGGCCAAAGAAAACAAGAGAUCCUUCAUCCCAUCUAUUAUGCUAGUAAGGCACUAAAUCCAACUCAAAAGAACUAUACCAUGAUGGGGCAAGAGUUAUUGGCAGUUAUAUUUUCCUUCGAAAAGUUUAGAUCUUAUUUGAUUGGGACAAAGUUGAUUGUUCACACAUACCAUGCGGCAUUUUGGUACUUAAUGCGUAAGAAGAAUGCAAAGUCGAGCCUUAUCCAUUGGGUGCUAAUGUUUCAAGAAUUUGAUUUCAAGGUGAAAGAUAGAAAAGGCAUAGAAAAUCAAGUUGCGGUUCACUUGUCUAGACUAGAGGACGAAGCUAUGUAGAAGGUUACUAAGGGAUUAGAGAUUGAUGACAAUUUUCCAGAUGAACAGAUAUUAGCAGCUUCCCAAGAUUUAAUUCCAUGGUUUGCAGAUUAUGCAAAUUACUUAGCAAGUUAUCUAGUCCUAGAGGAUCUUUCAUAUCAACAAAGAAAGAAGUUCAUGCAUAAGGUAAGAAAAUUUUUCUCGGAUGAACCUUAUCUUUUUAAAAUUUGUGCAGAUGGAAUCAUUCGCAGAUGCAUACCUAAAAUGGAGAUGAUAAGCAUACUUAAAGCUUAUCAUUUAUCGCCAGUUUGGGGUCAUCAUGGAGGGCGCUGUACAGCUUAUAAGAUUCUGCAAUGUAGCUAGUAUUGGCCAACUAUAUAUAAAGAUGCUCGUGACUAUUCUGCUACCUAUGAGUAAUGCUAACGAAAAGUCACUAUUUCUAGAAGACAUGAAUUAGAUAUGACCCCUAUUUUAGAAUUGGAAGUGUUUGAUGUAUGGGGCAUAGAUUUCAUGGGACCUUUUGUGAGUUCAUAGGGCAUGAAGGACAUACUUGUGGAUUUUGACAAUGUUUCAAAGUGGGUGGAGGCAAUUCCACUUCCUAAUAAUGCAGUAAGGAGUGUUACCGCAUUUUUUUAGAAGAACAUCUUCUCUCCAUUUGGUAUACCACGUGCUAUUAUUAGUGAUGGAUGGACAUAUUUUUGCAAUCAUCUAUUCAAGAGUCUUGAUAAAUAUGGAGUGAAUCACAAGGUGGCAACACCUUAUCAUCUACAGACUAGUGGACAAGUUGAAGUGUCCAAUAGAGAAAUUAAGUCGAUAUUGGAGAAGAUUGUAAAUGCCAAUAGGACUGAUUGGGAAAGAAAUUUAGAUGAUGUAUUAUGGGCUUACCGUACAGCUUAUAAAAGCCCCAUAGGUGCUUUACCCUAUUAGUUUGUGUAUGGAAAGGCUUGCCAUUCACUAAUUGAGCUUGAGCAUAAGGCACUAUGGGCAUUGAAGAAGCUGAAUUUAGAGUGGAAGGAUGCAUCUAAAUCUAGGUUGAAUGGCAUAAAUGAGCAGGAUGAAUUCUGGCCCCGGGCAUAUAAAAGUUCAGCUUUUUACAAUGAAAAGAUGAAGUUGUAUCAUGAUUGGAAUAUUGAUAAAAGGGUAUUUGAAAAGGGUGACCAAGUGCUACUACACAAUUCAAGGCAUCAUUUGUUUCCAGGUAAGCUAAAUCUAAGAUGGCAUGUCUAUUCACAGUGACAAAGGGUUAACCCUAUAGUGCUUUCGAAAUAAAAAAGGAUGGUGCAAGCCCAUUCAAGGUAAACGAAAAAGGAGUAAAGAACUAUAUAGGAAACAUAGAAGAGGUGAAUGAAUUAGCUGACAUUAACCUUGAUGAAGUCUGAGUAAUCAAGGAAAUUGCAUCGUGUCGCAACAUUAAAAAAACAACUGAAUGGGAGGUAACCCAUGAGGCUAGUUGGUGAAAUUUGAGUAUCCAACUUAUCCACAUCGUGUCACAACGUGAAAUCAAGUGUUGCGUGGGAGGCAACCCAUGUUUUUGUACUUAUUUCAGUUAUAGGGCAAUGUGUUUAUUCAAUGUACAGGAUUAAAAGAAUGCAGGCAAAAUCUAGAAAAGUAAUGAAGUUAUCAUACGGACUCUUUAUGAGUCGUAUCUAUAUGGUACGACUUGUGAGUAGGAUUUGUAUUAACCUGGGAGAAAAAUCAAAAUCAGGCAUAAGUUUCUGGAAUACAUUCCCAAAAUGAGUCGUAUCCUUUGGAUGCAGUGCGUAACUAAGAAUCGUACCCAGUCCAUAACCCAGGUAAGUCACCAGGCUAUACGAGUCAAAGAAAUUACCCAUAAGCCUGGGUACUAGUCAUAAAUACAACUCGUACCCGAUCUUACUAGGUUAGAUCUCAGGUUUGACCUGGCCCAGUGCUUGGUUAAAAUAAGAAAAAGGGCACAAUCGGGCACCUAAUCGAUACCACUCGUACCCAUUCUCGUUUUCACUCAAAUUUUAGCUUCCAAUCCACAAAACAAAGUGUUUCCAACAUAAUUUAGCUACCAACAUCUUCCAAUUACACAUAUUUUAAGAUUUAAACUCGAAUUUGGGGACAUUAAGAUCCAAAAUAAAGAACUCACUUCUUUAAGCAACAAAUAAGUUUCUAAACUUCUUUUUCUUUACGUUGUAAGUCGAAAUGAGUUGUGAUUUACAUUAUAAACUUGUUUUGCAUAGGAAUUAUGCAUAAAUUAGGUUUUUUAUAGCAUAGAUUGGGUCUUAUUAUGGAAAAUAGGAAUUUGGGGAAGAACUAGGGUUUAGAAGGGAAUUUUUAUAUGUAUAUGUGUGUUAAAAUGCUGGAUAUAGUUGAAAAUAGUAGUGGCUAUUUUGGAAAAUUUCCAUUUAAGUCAAACUUUGAAGUUGAACUUCUAUGUUGCAGUGGAUACGAGAUUUCUUAUGACACGUACCCACCGUUACGGGAGUUAUAAUAAGACUUGUACCCACUGACAACAUAGAAAUCUAAAAAAUUCAAAAUUCUAGAUGGGAUAUGACUCGACCAUAAAAGUCAUAUCCUAACCUUUCAACUUGUACACAUUAUUAAUACCCACCUGGGAAAGAAUUCAACUAGAAUAAAUAUUUCUGACCAGCUUACGAUUGUUGGUCAUGAGUCGUACCUAUCUAGUACGACUUAAGCUGACCUGUGAAUACCUAUCAUGCACUAUCAAGGAUACAAAUUGGAUAUACGAGUCAUACCCAGUGGAUACGGCCAAUACCCACCACUCGUACCCAACUGAUACAAAGCACAUUGAACUUUAGUUUUAAAUUUUGCUUUUAUUUUAUUUUCUUAGGUACUAAUAAUAGUGUAUUUGUAGGUACAAUGCCUCCAAAGAAUUCUUCAUCCUCUAAACUAAGUGACAACACCCAGGAGCACAUGCAAGUGUAUUCGAUAUAUCAAGUAGUAAAGUGGCCUAAUGAAAGCCAAGUAUCAAUCCCAUAGGGACUUUUUUUAACAACCUUUAAUUCUAGUUCACAAGUUAGAUUCAAUUGGUGCAAGAGUAACCGAGAGAGAGUUUGUAAUUUGUAACUAAAGAAAAGUGAACAAUGUGGAAAAUAAAAGUACUUGAGACAAUCAAUGGAGUAAAGCCCAGGGUUAAGGAACUUUGAAUAGUCAUACUAUGUUAUUGAACUCCAUUCGUUGACUUGCUUAUCUUAGUUGUUGAUUUGUAGGGUUAAUUGCAUAAUCAUGGUCUCCCAGCCUCUAACCGUUUACCUAAUUUGGAUCUUAAAACUAUAUCAUUGAGAAGGGAUGUAAUAAUCCAAUUAAGUUCUUUAAGCUCUGAUCCUAUGUGUGAAUCAACUAAGGCAUCUAAGUACAUCUCUAUCCUAGAUACUAAUUUGAAUUCCUUAUUUCAUAAAAGAAUACAAACUAUACUUUGUUUAUUCCCAUGUUCCAUCUCCCUAUUCCCUCUCCUGAGAUCACAAGGUUGACAAUUGAUGCAUUCUAAGGUGACCAAGCCUUAAAAUAAUUAUAGUUAAAUUAAACAAACAACCAAUAAUUAUAGGCAAGUUAAACAAAAUCAAUUCAAAACAAUAAUACUCAUGUUCUUAGCUUUAACCUGGACAUGGAGUUUCUAGCCAAUAAUAUUCAUAAUUACGAUCCAAAUAAUUGAAUGCAUGUUAUGAUAUAAUUAAAAGAUAAUUAAAGAAAAUAUUAAAACCUAAAAUACUGUGUAGAAGCUCCUCAAAAUAAUCCACGAUGUCCCCACCUGUCCAGCUGCCUAACAACUUGUGUGAAUAUAUAAUACACUAAUCCUAAACUUUGUAGGAUUAAGAAAAAAAUGUCAUAAUGAUCCAAGGAUUCCAAGAUCCCAACAUACCACGUGGGAACUAUAUUAUAUUUAUAGUAUACAUCCGUGUAUAAGUGGGAAUUUGUCCAUAGUUGGAGCACUGGAAUGAAGGGAGUGACACACGCAUGGGAGCACCUAACUGAAACUCAUGUCGGGUGCAUGGCUACACCGAAAUGAAGCUUGCAUCAUG